AAUCUCUUUGCAAACUUUACUGUUUGCAAACACUGAGAAUUGACGCGCUUGAAAAAGGUUUUCCAAAGGAGAUGAGCAAUUUGAUUAGCAUGAGACAUCUUCACUAUUUUCAUGAUGAUACAAGAUGCAAAAUCAAUUUGAUUAGCAUGAGACACCUUCACUAUUUUCAUGAUGAUACAAGACGCAAAAUCCAAAUGCCAUCCGGGAUUGGACGAUGGACUUGUCUUCAAACAUUGGAGUUCUUUAACAUAGGUCGUCAAGAGGAAGGUCGUGGUAUCCAAGAGCUUGGAACCUUGGAAGAUCUUAAAGGCUCCUUGGAGAUCAGAAAUCUUGAAUUAGUAAAUGGCAAAGAUGAUGCUGAACUGGCGAACCUAUCUAAAAAGCCAAAUCUGUAUCGGUUGGUAUUUGAGUGGGGCAAUAGGGAUCGGGAAAGUAAUAAAUGCGAUGAAAAUGUGUUGGAAGGCCUCCAACCUCACCCAAAUUUAAAAGAGUUGCAUAUCCGGAAUUUUAGGGGUGAACAGAUUCCACAAUGGCUUGUGAACUCAUCAACAUUAGUGGAAUUGUACUUUGUCAAUUGCCAUGUUUUGCUGGCAGAAAAGGUUUUGAGCAAUAUAACCACACUCUCGUCCCUUAAAUUAAAUGGUGACUUAAAUCUCUUUGGUAAUCAACGCGUCGAGUCUCUAAAAUUAGUGAUACGACCAGAGAGCAGCUUGAGCGACUCUGUCUUUUUCCAACUCUUCAGCGUGUAGUAUUGGGGGAUGCCCAUAAUGUAACAACAUUAAGAGGAAUGAGUUGCGCCGCUUGUCUUAAGAGAUUGGAGAUAGACCGUUGCAAGAAUUUACGAGAGUUGCCAGAAGAUCUGUAUCAAUUUCAAGCUUUAGAGCACUUGGCGAUACGGGGUUGCCGGAGAAUUGAUUCAUUUGGAUAUCCAAAUCCUAAAAAUUCAUUUGGACAGAAAGGCCUCCUUAAGUCUCUUGAGCGAUUUACUGUCGAAAGGUGCGGUGCAUUAACAAGUUUGCCAGUGGAGAUGUUCGAGUCGUGUACGUCUCUCCGAAAGCUGAAUUUGUCCAAUUGCCGCAGUCUGGUCUCCUUUCCCCUUGAUUUGCGACGAACCCCUUCUCUUGAGAGCUUCUCAUUAUACUGGUGUGCCAACUUGAUUGCUGGGAUGCCUAGUGGAUUUGGCUAUCUUACCAGCUUAAGGGAAGUGCACAUUGGUCCCUUCUCAGAUUACUCAGUAAUCGAAUUUGAUUGGGCUGGAUUAGCAUCUUCAUCAUCACUCCGACACGUGUCUUUUCGUGGAACGCCUGAAUUGAAAUCUCUGCCACAUCAGCUUCAAGACUUGACUACCAUCACAUCACUGUCUCUACAUCUCUUCGGAGCAAUCGAGGCCUUACCAGAUUGGCUUGGGAACCUUGCGUCUCUUGAUGAGCUAAUCCUCCGUGGAUGCCCAAAGCUUGAAUAUUUACCCUCCGUAGAUGCCAUGGAACGCCUCAAAUUAAGACGUCUGGAAAUUGACGGUUGUCCUCUAUUAACCGGAGGAUGCACACCUGAAAGCGGCUCCGAGUGGCCCAAGAUCUCUAAUAUUUCAGAGCGUGAAAUUUAUUGAUCCGGUAAGAUCUCAUCUCAAAAUUUUAAUUAAUUCCUUCUCAUUAUUGGAUCAUCUUAUUCUACCCGUAUUUCUCCGGGUAUACCUUCCAUUCCUAUUUUAUUGACAUUAAAACUUAAGUAUAAGAUUAAAGCCAUCAUAUCUUAUAUAACACAGUAAGAAUCCCAAUACACGAAAGAAGUAGUAGUGUUUUGCUGUUAAUUUUCUUGUUUGCUUAUUUUCAAUUAUAUUCCUAAAAUGCAUUUUAACUUGAGUAACAGAAAUAUGUGAAACAAAUGAAUGACAAUUUUGGAACAUUAACUUAUCCAAAUAAUUGUAAUAUACUUUCUAAAUUAAAACUUAGAUAAAAACUACUAACAUUAUACAUACAACAAAUAAUUAUCAAUCUGAUACAACUACUUAUAUUGUUAAGAAUAUGUAAAAUAAAUUUGCAAAUCACAUGACUAAUAUACUCUAUUCUAAAUCUAGAAAAAAUCAUAAAUUAGAACUAAAAUCAUUAGCAAUUACAAAUAAAUAAAGAAAUUCAUACAAAUAAAUUAACAAAUCUUUUCUGAAAUAGCCAAUAUGUACUUCUGAGGUUUCGGCCGAACCAAAGUGGUGUCGGAAAGAAACACAUUCAAAAGUUGAAUUGAUAUCUUUAAAAGCCCACUACACUCAACAGCACUUGAAGGUGACAAUUUUUGGUUUUUACCGCUAGCAUUUAACGGGUGGAUAUGUUCUUAAUAUUCUCUCUGUAAGACUCUGAAUUAUGAUUGCCGUAAAAUUAGCUCAAUGUCGAUUAAGUUGAAAUUGUUUGCAGAGGAACUAGGCUGCUGCUAAAACUAUAAAUUCUUAUCAUCUUUUAAAAUUUUUGAAAUUCAGAUACUAUAACUAGCUACUUUUCUAUUUUGUGAAUUGGAUUGAUAAUAUUAUGGCCUUGUAGGCCACAAGUGUCAGUGAAGCAGCAAGCAGUGAUAGCGCCGAAACAUUGUGAAAGGCUCAAAAGUGUGCUUAAGGCAGAGUCGGCCUGGAACCUCUAGAGCAUCUUAUUGCACUUUUCGCAUUCUCUAACUGCAACAUCAGGUUGUGGUUUCGAAUCAUUUUUGAAGAAAGAUGAGGAGGUAUGUGGUUUGGAAAUGACUCCACCCAACUUACUCGAAGUACAGGGGAAUUGGUCCAGUUUGUAUCUGACAUAGAUGAUGAUUCUUGAGACUCAUACUGCUGAAAAUUCAUUGGCCCUGUUGUAUAAUUAUAACUGAAGUUAUCCCACCAUCCUUGAUCAUACCCGUUUGGAUUAGGGUUAUACCACGUUUGAGACCAGAGUGAAAAAUCUCCAUAAUUAUUGAGUGGGACACUCAGAUUAUCUUGAUAUUCGGGGCACAUACCGGUUGAAUGAUCCCUGGCAUAACAAAUUUUACAGGUUGCAGCAGCCAUUCUAUCUCUAAUAGAGUUUAGUGCCUCUGAAUAUGCAAACUUAGCAAAAAAACUAGCCUCAUUGCCUUCCCUGGAAACAAAAUCCAGUCUAUCACCAAAAUACGGAGUGUUAGAAGCCAUAAACUAUAAAAAAAAAAUAAGAGAAAAAUAAAUAAAAUAAAAUAAAAACACGAUGAACUCAAAAAGAAACAAAUAAUCUGGCACCAGUCCCCAGCAACGGCGCCAAAAAUUGACAGGGUGUCGAGCCUGUGCAAUAAUAAAUACCUGCUCAAAUAAAAUAUAAUUUCUAUAGAUAGUGAUAAGUAGGGUCGAAUCCACAGGGAUUGGGGAUAAUUUAUUUCUUUUAGAGUCCGAAGUAUGGGGGGUUUUUUUGGAAAAUAUAAAAUAACUAAUUAGCUAACUAAUAAAACAACUAAUAGAAAUAAAUAGAAAUUAAUCAAUAACCAAUAUGACUCUAGCCAAAGGUACAACUUUUCAGACACGGUCCAUGCAACUGAUCAUCGACGCAAAGAUAAUUCAAUUACUCAUUAAUAGAUUGGUUAUAGUUGCCAUACACGCGAUGAACAACCAACCUUUCCUUAAUUUCUCGAUAGUUAAGGUACGACCGUUAAUGAUAGAACCGUUAUUUGGCACGUUUUGCAGUGUUAUUUUGUCCUGAUUUUGGCUAUUUACUGUGCUAAGUACUGAGGUUUAACUUAUAUUUCAUAUUUGUACGAAUUAUAGGUGGUCGGCACUAAAAUGAUCUCUUGAGGCAAAUUUACAGAAGACCCUUUGUCUCAAAGCGUGGCCACGCUUUACAAGGUAGACGUUACCGAAAAGACGGACCGUGGUCCACGUGAACCCGAAGCGCUGGAUUAGAACCUUUAACAAAAAUUGUGGGCCUCCUAACCCUGGAAAGACGUCUCCUACGGCUGCUUCAAAUGAAAAAAGAAUAGGAAGGACCCACGAUGGCUGAUGAAGACUUCAGCUUUUAGUUUUUCUUGGGUUUUUUUUUGUCAGACGCUUUCCGUCGUUUUUGCUUCUUCUUCGGCAGCAAAUUAGAUAGCCAGAUUGACAUUGAAUCAAAAUAGUAGCUUUAGUUUUUCUUUUCCCAGGCGCUAGACGUCGCUUUCCUCUUUUGACUUUUAACUUUUCCGCUGGACAAUUCAUUCGUAGCUUUGGCUUUGUAAUUGGGACUCCAAAGCAGAGACGAAGGCAGGGCCUUUACUGUUGCUAUUGCAGUUAAUUCCCCUUUCCCAAUUCUUUGGCAAAUAAUUGAAUGAAUUCAAUUAAACCACGCGGGAUUGAAAUGAUGAGGAGCGGCUAAUUUUCCCCUCUACCCAAAGGUUGACGCAAGGGCGUGGUCUAUAAUAUCUGUGAGAUCCAAUCAAGCUUUCAUUAUUUCCUCCAAUUUGUUGCUAUUCGUGCGUUUUCUGAAUUAAUUGUUCAUGGGUAUUUUAUUAAUUGAAUAUCAACGGUCGGGUAUUUGAUUUAAUUUAAUAGCCUACUGCCACGUUAAUUAAAUAGAAUCCGUAAUUGUUCAUUUAGUUAAUACCCCGUGGCAACCACCAUAAUUGGCUUUAUGAUGGGGAAACGCAAGAUCUAAUUUAAAUAAACCCUCUCAGCGUGUUUAUUGGUUAGGGUUGGGUUCUUCUAGAUUUAAUGCAAUUGGGUAAUUAAAUUCCUACGGUCGUACCUAGGGUUGUUAUCUGAUUAGGGAAGCAGUCAAUGGUCGUAUCUUGACUGUCGAAAAGGUAAGGAAGAACUGGUUGUCAGAGCUUAUUGAUAACUAUAACCAACCUAGUGAUGAAUAGAUGAAAUAUCUUUGCAUCGAUGAUCAUUUAAUUGGACCGUGUCUGAGCAGUUGAUCCUUUGGGUAGAACUUUUAUUAAUUGCUAUUUUUAGUGAAUUGUGCUUUGUGAGUUAGUUUUGAAUUUAGUUCGCUUUAUUUUUAUUUUACUUUUAUUUUAUUUAUUUCUCUCCCAGUGAAAAUCCCCCAAUUUUGUUCUAUUGAUUUGGAAAGAAAUAAUUUCCUACCCGCUCCCUGUGGAAUCGACCCUACUUGCCAUUAUAUGCAAAAAUUAAUAUUUUUAUAGACAAAUCCGAUAUAUCGGAUCAAGCAAACUCUUCGGGAACAGGGUGAAUCAAGUAACCCAUUGCACACCUAGGGUCCCUGCUCCAGUACUUGGAUUUGUUUUAUAAUUAUUUAAUUGAGGUGGUAAUUAGAACUUUUUUUUUAGUAAUUAUUAUUGCACAGGUUCGGCACCUGUCAAUUUUUGGGGCCGUUGUCGGGGAGUUGGCGUUUGGAUUAUUUGUUUCUUUUUAAAUUCAAUUUUUAUUUUAUUUUAUUUUUCUUGGUAUUUUUGCUAGUUUAUGCCCCGUUCUUCUAGCAUAGGUGAAUUGAUAUACGAUCCUAAGGUUGAGAAGGCAGCGCGUAGGCGGAGGCAAGAGACCAAGAGACGAAAAGAAGGGCACUUAUUUGUUGCAAACGAGUCAGUAGAAGACGAAAUAAGCAUGGCCAACACCCAAACAUUAAGGGAGCUGGCUGCCCCGGAGUUGACUCACCAGCCCUUAUGCAUCACAUUCCCCACUUUGGCAGAGAAUACUGUUUUCGAACUGAAGUCAGGGCUGAUUCACCUCUUACCUUCUUUCCAUGGUCUCUCUGGCAAAGAACCCCACAAACAUGUCAAGGAGUUCGAGGUAGUUUGCUCUAGCAUGAAACCUCCUGGGGUCAUUGAAGAACAAAUAAGACUUAGAGCUUUCCCCUUCUCUCUCAAGGAUGCAGCAAAAGAUUGGCUAUACUACCUACCAGCGGGUAGUAUUACCACAUGGGCACAGUUAAAAAAGAAGUUUUUGGAAAAAUUCUUCCCUGCAUCCCGGGCUGCGAGUUUGAGGAAAGAGAUCUGCGGCAUUAAACAAUAUCCUGGUGAGUCCUUGUAUGAAUAUUGGGAAAGGUUUAACAAGUUGUGCACUAGAUACCCGCAGCAUCAAAUUAGUGAACAACUGUUAAUCUAAUACUUCUAUGAAGGGCUCCAAUCAACCGAUAGGAGUAUCAUUGACGCUGCGAGUGGGGGAGCACUUGCAAACAAGACACCGAGGGAAGCGUGGGAGUUCAUCGAAGCCAUGGCAGAGAACUCCCAGCAAUUUGGCUUCCGUGAGAGCAACCCUCCCCGUAGAGUCAACGAGGUAGAGACUUCAUCUAUACAGCAGCAACUGUCAGAAUUGACGUCUGUUGUUAGGCAAUUAGCCAUGAGAGACACACCGCGAGUGAAGGUGUGUGGAAUCUGUACUAACAUGGACCACUGCACGGACACGUGCCCCAUUUUGCAAGAGGACGGGACGGAACAGGUAAACAUGGCCGGAGGCGUGCCCACGCCCCGCAGACAGUACGACCCAUACUCCAAUACGUACGAUCCGGGCUGGAGGGACCAUUCCAAUCUCAGUUAUGGGAACAGGCAACAAAAUUCAUUUCCGAAUCGUCCACCAAGAUUCCACCAGCCAUGGCAACCAAAAUCUCAACCCUCGUCCUCCAAUUCAAGAAGCUCCCUGGAGGACCUAGUCAAAAGCCCAAAAAUUGACAGGUGCCGAACCUAUACAAUAAUAAUUACUAAAAAAAAAGUCCUAAUUACGACCUCAAUUAAAUAAUUAUAAAACAAAUCCAAGUACUGGAGCAGGGACCCUAGGUGUGCAAUGGGUUACUUGAUUCACCCUGUUCCCGAAGAGUUUGCUUGAUCCGAUAUAAUGGAUUUGUCUAUAAAAAUAUUAAUUUUUGCAUACAAUGGCAAGUAGGGUCGAUUCCAUAGGGAGCGGGUAGGAAAUUAUUUCUUUCCAAAUCAGUAGAACAAAAUUGGGGGAUUUUCACUGAGAGAGAAAUAAAUAAAAUAAAAGUAAAAUAAAAAUAAAGCGAACUAAAUUCAAAACUAACUCACAAAGCACAAUUCACUAAAAAUAGUAAUUAAUAAAAGUUCUACCCAAAGGAUCAACUGCUCAGGCACGGUCCAAUUAAAUGAUCAUCGAUGCAAAGAUAUUUCAUCUAUUCAUCACUUGGUUGGUUAUAGUUAUCAAUAAGCUCUGACAACCAGUUCUUCCUUACCUUUUCGACAGUCAAGGUACGACCGUUGACUGCUUUCCUAAUCAGAUAACAACCCUAGGUACGACCGUAGGAAUUUAAUUACCCAAUUGUAUUAAAACUAGAAGAACCCAACCCUAACCAAUAAACACGCUGAGAGGGUUUAUUUAAAUUAGAUCUUGCGUUUCCCCAUCAUAAAGUCAAUUAUGGUGGUUGCCACGGGGUGUUAACUAAAUGAACAAUUACGGAUUCUAUUUAAUUAACGUGGCAGUAGGCUAUUAAAUUAAAUCAAAUACCCGGCCGUUGAUAUUCAAUUAAUAAAAUACCCAUGAACAAUUAAUUCAGGAAACGCACGAAUAGCAACAAAUUGGAGGAAAUAAUGAAAGCUUGAUUGGAUCUCACAGAUAUUAUGGACCACGCCCUUGCGUCAACCUUUGGGUAGAAGGGGAAAUUAGCCGCUCCUCAUCGUUUCAAUCCCGCGUGAUUUAAUUGAAUUCAUUCAAUUAUUUGCCAAAGAAUUGGGAAAGGGGAAUUAACUGCAAUAGCAACAGUAAAGGCCCUGCCUUCGUCUCUGCUUCGGAGUCCCAAUUACAAAGCCAAAGCUACGGAUGAAUUGUCCAGCGGAAAAGUUGAAAGUCAAAAGAGGAAAGCGACGUCUAGCGCCUGGGAAAAGAAAAACUAAAGCUACUAUUUUGAUUCAAUGUCAAUCUGGCUAUCUAAUUUGCUGCCGAAAAAGAAGCAAAAACGACGGAAAGCGUCUGACAAAAAAAAACCCAAGAAAAACUAAAAGCUGAAGUCUUCAUCAGCCGUCGUGGGUCCUUCCUAUUCUUUUUUCAUUUGAAGCAGCCGCAGGAGACGUCUUUCCAGGGUUAGGAGGCCCACAAUUUUUGUUAAAGGUUCUAAUCCAGCGCUUCGGGUUCACGUGGACCACGGUCCGUCUUUUCGGUAACGUCUACCUUGUAAAGCGUGGCCACGCUCUGAGACGAAGGGUCUUCUGUAAAUUUGUCUCAAGAGAUCAUUUUAGUGCCGACCACCUAUAAUUCGUACAAAUAUGAAAUAAAAGUUAAACCUCAGUACUUAGCACAGUAAAUAGCCAAAAUCAGGACAAAAUAACAUUGCAAAACGUGCCAAAUAACGGCUUUAUCAAAUCCCCCCACACCUAGAUAAUGCUUGCCCUCAAGCAGUUCGGAGCUCAGAAGUACAACCAGGAGAGCAGAGGUCAUGCAGCAGUCUAUACUAACAUAAGCAUUUCAGAUCCCUAACAAUAUCGUCAAAAUUAGAACACACCGGACAGAUUGUAAUUUAAAGAAGAUAUAUGAAUACUAGGAACGCUCAAAUCAACAUCACAGAAUGUCAUUACCAUAGGCUUGCACAUUUAUCACAUCUCCACCACUCAAAAGUGAACUAAAUACAUAAUCAAAGGGACUUUAAUAGGGUUGUAAUGGGGCUUCGGGUGAAAGGCGAGUUAAGAAGGUGUAGAUAGGGGGUAAAGUGUCAAGAAAAUGUCCGAAAUUCACCAAUAACCACAGUGCCUUACCGGAGGGGUUCCACAAACAAGGCAGUUUUCAUUUGCUGUACACACUGUACAAGUGUCCCCAAUUUUUUUUCUCUUUCUCUCUUUUUUUUUUUUUUUUUGGAGAGAACUGCUCGCAAGGCGUGGGCACGCCUUGUAGCCCUCAGUCCUCUGGUCAAUGGCCUUUUUCCAAUUUCUCCCCCUUUUUACAAGGAUAACAUCAUACAGCUCCCAAUCUAACAGCACUUGCAACCCCAAAUUUUGUUUGCUUUGCACGAAUGAUGGAUUUCAGACAUCCCUUGACAACACAGGGAUAAACAAGAAAGUUUAAAGGGGUUUCGGGUUAACAAACACGGAUAACAACCAAAAGCGAAGGAUAAAGCUCAAAUUGGUUCACUAUUGGGAAACAAUAUGAAUGCAUGAUUUCCUUUCGAAAGCUCAAGGAGGGUCAAAUCCUAAAUGCCCUUAUCAUUUUGAAUGCAUAUAGUUCAACAUAAAUGUGGUCUUGACGUGUACAAAAUAGCAAGUUCUAGAAUGUUCAUACCAUGUGCGAUACCCACUCAAUCAAACAAGAAUAGAGCAAACAAGAAUAAUAUGCUCAAACAAGGCUCAAAAGCUCCCCAAAAGUUUCAAGAAUGGGUCAAUUCCAGCAUAUUCAACAUUCAACGACAUUGCUUAGGGAAACAAAAUGCAUAGCUAGCAUACUUGACCACAUAACCACUCACUUUGAUUGUGUCAUUCAUCAUAGCAACAUGCCCCAACACUUAACAAGCAUAGAAAUAACCAAAAAACCGACUAACUACCAUUUUUUUUUCAUCAUUUUGUUUUUUCAUGUUUUUUUCCCUUUUUUUUAUGAGUAACAAAGCAAAAAGAACUAAUGAAAAAGAGAAAGAACUAAUGAAAAAGAACUAAUGGAAGCCACUCCCCCCACACCUAAUACCUACAUUGUCCUCAAUGUAGAAUAGACAAAUAAAGUAUUUAGGAGGAAAGAAGAGAAACUUUCCUGACCACUGGGGAGGGAAAACGAGAUACUAAAGUGGAGGGGGGUGACGCGGGGUGAAUCCAAUGUGCGCGAAGAAGGCCGCCUGAUUCUCUGCCUGAAUGCGGGCGAAGACCUGGAGCGCCAUAAGACGGCCAUCUAUUCUCGACAGUUGGGUGUUGAGCUUAUCAACAGAAUCUUGGAGGUCCGGGUAGCAGGGGUCCCCAGCAAGAGGAGGAUGAGAGGAGGACGGACCCGCCUGAUCCGGAUGGGGUGGUGAGUCAGUGGAGGGUGCAGUGGGAGGCUCCCGAGGCUGCGGCCCGUCCUCACCAGGGAGCGUAAACUGGUAGACGUCUCCCGCCUUGAAAAUAACUCCCAUUCGCUCCAAACUUCACAAAUCAAGUGGCUCAAUUUCUCGAGCUAGGGUGAAGUUGUGCUCCUUGUCGAGGUCUAGCAAUCCCAAUCGGAUGGCCAAGUGGGUAAUGAGCGAGCCUAGGAUAAUCGGUUUACUGCGCUUGUGAAUGACUGACUCCAUUUGAGUGGCUACCCAACAUCCAAAAUUAACCUUAACAUUGUUGCGCAUGCACCAAAGGAAGUAGAAUUCUGCUUUGGUAAGGGUGCCGGAGGAAUCAUUCCGCCCCGAGAAAUUGUGAGCCAAGAACCUGUGGAUGACCUUCAAGACCGGAUUCUUCAGUUGAGAGGCCUUGGACUGACUCGGAUUAUAAACCUGCCGAUCCGUGGACCACUCCCUCCAGAUGUCGAUAUACUCAGUUUUGAACGGUCUGGUGUAGUUACAAGCACUAUUGAUAUAAGCUCCGGAUGCAACGGUAUCCUCACUGACAAACCCCAAAGUCAGAUUGAACUCAUUGAUGGAGAAAUUAUACUGUGUGCCUUUUAAUCUAAACUGAAUAAUCUCCGGCUCAUCCAAAGUGAUGUAUUCAUUCCUGAUAAACUCAAAAGAGCAGUAGAAUUCACAACAAAGCUCCUCAAACGUGGGGUAGUUAAUGCUCAGAUACUUUUUCCAGCCUAUCGCCGAGAACAACUGCUCAACCUCCCGUGCAAUUCGCAGAUGGUCCAGGGUUGGGGCAUGGAAGCACUUACAAGGGGCAAAAGGUCGAUGCACCAAGGUGUUAAACCGGUCCUGUUGGACCCUUGUAAGAUUAGUGAUCGGUUCCCCCCACUCCCCAGGAGACAUGGUGCUCUUAUUCAGGCCCAAACGGGACCAAAUGGGGGGUUGAACCGUGGCUCGUCUCUUACGCGGUUGGGAGCCAGACGGCCCAGCAGUGGUUGCCUUCUUAGGCGGCAUUUAGGCACCACAGGAAUAAUAAAUCAGCUCAGAGACAGCCAACCAACCACCAAAAGCAGAUAGGGGACCACAGUCAACAAAAAUUACUGAAUAUUCAGCAGCUCAACAACAAAAGGGGACACAAUUACCCCACCAAACAACGACCAGACAACAAACACCACCCAAUGCCCCACUGCCGUCAAUUAGCCGACAACAAUAAAGAAGACCGAUCCAACUCCCCUCAAAGCAAGAUAUCAGUCAAUAAAAAUCUACAAUCAGCGAGCUACUGCCCACUUGAACCAAAAUAUAAUUUCACCAGAGCCCACAGAUAUCCUAACAUAGAUAAUGAAUGAAAAGGCAGAUAUGACGGCUCUCACUUUCAGAUAACAAUCAAAUGGUCCCCCAACCAAAACCAACAAGUAAGUCAACCAGACAGGAGGCAAAAAUUCCCAAUCGAAGUCACCAAUCCAAAAUCCAGCGGCAAAAAUUGUAGUAGAAUAGAGUUACCCAAAUGCACAAGACCGUGGAGAUGACACACGGCAGUCGAGUGAGGCGCGCGAGAGGGGGGAGGUCACUCCGCUGCUGGACUGGGCAAACCGCGCGCGCUGUUCUGCUGGUCGAGUGGGGGCGCGCCUAGGGGAGAAGCUCGCGCGCGCAAGCUGGCACUGGGCUGUGCUUCACAGCUGUUGCGCCUGGCUGACUGCCUGGGUCGCGCGAGACAACUGCUGGCCUGCGCAGGGGAAUGCGGAGCGUGCGCGGGCUGGUGCUAGGCUCUCUGGGCGCGCGGGUGGCGCGCAGGCAGGAGGGUCGCGCGCGCGCUGGGCAUGGGAUAGAGCUGCUGGGUUGCGCACAGAUCUGGUGGUAGUGCGCUAAGGUCGGGCACUGAGUGGGGCUAGCGUCGCGCGCGGCUGGAGUUCUGGCACGAGCAGGCUCUGCACGCGCGCUGGGCGCGGGCUAUCGCGGGCGGCACCGCACGCGGGCUUCUGCGGUUGAGAGGGAGAGGGAGGCGCGCAGGUAGCGUGCCUCUGCUCGCUUGGGCGCAGGUGCGCUGGUGCUUGCGCAGGGGAAGGCGAAGCGCGCGCAACGAGGCACUGUGGAUCUGCUACGGCGGACGAGUCCUUGCGGACGGCAGCGGCGGCGGCGUGACCAAAACAGGGAGAAGAAGUGCAGCGUAGCCAAAAGAAAUUCGGAGGAAAGAGACCCAGACCAGUCAAAGAAGAAGGGAAAGUGGAAGAAGUAGGGUCUUGGUCAAAAAAUUUUUUUUUUUUUGACUUUCGCUAUCGGAGGGGUUGGAAGGCGUGGGCACGCCUUGGAGGAUAUGUUCUUCUGACCACGGCAUCUAAAUGCAGUCCAAACCAAUCUCUGUCAAGGCGUGGGCAUGCCUUGGGGCUGCUAGUCUCUAAUUUUCUCAGGGCACCUGGCGCACUAAACCCCUAUUCUUCUGUCCAUCACCACAAAAACAAUCAAAACCUUAAAAUAAAAUAGAAAAAUUGUAGAGUAAUGAAAAAUGACCACAACUAAUACUGGAAUCCUUGGGUUGCCUCCCAAGCAGCGCCUUUCUUUAACGUCUUUGGCUAGACAUGGCCUUUAACUGUUUAGACUUCACCAUCUGGAUUAUCAGAGAAUAGAACCUCCACUUGCUCACUAUUAUACCCUUCAUAAUAAGGCUUUAGACGGUGACCAUUGACUACGAACCUUUUUUCCGUCUUAAGACUUUGGAUUUCCGCUGCACCAUAAUAAGAAAUAUUAGUAACAACAAAUGAACCAAUCCAACGGGAACGCAACUUACCAGGAAAAAGCUUAAGUCUCGAGUGAUAAAGUAGGACUUUUUGCCCUAUGACAAACGACUUUCUCGACACUUGUUGGUCAUGAAAAAUUUUACUCUUCUCCUUAGAUAUUGCAGCGUUUUCAUAGGCUUCAUUCCUUAGCUCCUCCAACUCUUGUAAUUGGAGCUUCCUAUUUCCUCCGGCCUCCAUAAGGUCCAUAUUACACCGCUUAAGCGCCCAGAAUGCUCUGUGUUCAAAUUCCACCGGAAGGUGGCAAGGCUUCCCAAAAACUAAUCUAUAUGGGGACAUCCCAAUUGGUGUCUUAUAUGCAGUGCGGUAAGCCCAGAGAGCAUUUUCCAACUUCAGACUCCAGUCUUUCCUAUCAGGCCUCACCAUUUUCUCCAAGAUGGACUUAACUUCCCUAUUUGACACUUCGGCCUGACCAUUCGUCUGUGGAUGAUAUGGAGUGGACAUUUUGUGGAGCACACCAUACUUACGAAACAAUGCAGUGACUGUCUUAUUACAGAAAUGGGUGCCCCUGUCACUCACUAUAGCUCUCGGCAUUCCAAAACGGACAUUAGCCCGGGUGGCUUUUGUCUCCACCCAUUUAGAAACAUAGUCAACAGCAAGUAUAAUGUACAAGAAACCAAAAGACGAGGGGAAGGGACCCAUGAAAUCUAUACCCCAAACAUAAAAAAUCUCAACAAAUAAUAUGGGGGUUUGACUCAUUUUGUCUCUACGAGAGAUAUUCCCCACCCUUUGACACUUAUCACAAGAUUUGCAAAACAAAUAUGUAUCCUUAAACAGAGUAGGCCAAUAAAAACCACUUUCUAACACUUUACGAACUGUUCGCUUUGGCCCAAAGUGCCCUCCACAUGCAAAUGAAUGACAGAAAGUCAAAAUAGACUGAAACUCACCUGCACUUACACGCCUUCUUAUCACUUGGUCCGAGCAUUGCCUCCACAGGUACGGUUCAUCCCAAAUAUAGUGUUUGGCAUCACUCUUUAGCUUAUCUCUUUUAGCUUUUGACCACCCUAUCGGUAAUUGAUUUGUUACCAAAAAAUUGACAAUGUCAGCGUACCAAGGUAUUGACGAAUCAAUGGCCAAUAAUUGUUCCUCAGGAAAUGAGUCUCUUAACGGUAGAUCCGCUUGAUUUGUGAGCAACCGGCUCAAAUGAUCAGCCACCAAAUUCUCAACUCCGCUCUUAUCCCUGAUUUCUAGGUCGAACUCCUGCAGGAGCAAAAUCCACCUGAUCAGCCUUGGUUUAGCAUCUUUCUUCGCUAGCAAGUACCUCAAGGCUGCAUGAUCAGAGAAAACUAUUACUUUUGCACCCAAUAAAUAUGACCUAAAUUUUUCUAGUGCAAAAACAACAGCUAGUAAUUCUUUCUCCGUCGUGGAUUAAUUAAACAACAGCUAGCCAAAGGUACAACUUUUUAGACACGGGGCAUGCAACUGAUCAUCGACGCAAAGAUAAUUCAAUUACUCAUUAAUAGAUUGGUUAUAGUUGCCAUACACGCGAUGAACAACCAGCCUUUCCUUAAUUUCUCGAUAGUUAAGGUACGACCGUUAACUAUUUCUCUAACCAAGAAAUAACCCUAGGUACGACCAUAGGAUUUAAUUACUUGACUGCAUUAAUAAUUAGAAAAACCCAACCCUAACCAACAAACACGCUACGAGGGUUUGUUUAAGUUAGAUCAUACGUUUCCCUAACAUGAAACCAAUCACGCUAGUCGCCACUGGUAUUAAUCGAUAGAACAAUUACGGAUUCAAUCAAUUAAUAUGACAGUAGAUUAUUAGGUUAAUUCGAAUAUCGGGCCCUUAACAUUCAAAUAACAAAACAAUCUUAAACAAUUAAAUCAAGAAACGUACAAAUACCAAUAAAUAAAAGAAAUAAAUAAAAUAAUUAGAUCUCACAGAUGUUCGGAACCGAGUCCUCAAAUUGACCUUCGACUAGAUGAGAAACUUAGCCACGCCUCAUGAGAAAAUCUCCACGUAAUUUAAUUGAGGUCCAGGCCAUCAAAGGAACCAAGAAAGAAUAAAACUAAACUAUGCUAAAAACUAAGCUAAAACUAUUGAUCUCCAAAACCUCCUGUACGUUUGUCUUCUUAAAGCCAAAAGAAAUGACUCAAGUUAUCUAGUGGUCCCCACGGAUUAGAAGUCAAGGAGCAAAAGAAUUGGAGCCCUGCCGAAUUGCUUGUUUCCUAUUGCCAGUAGAGCUCUAAUCUCCUAAUCAGCAAGCAAAUGCAGUCCAUCUCUUCCUCUCCUUGUGGGCCAGGUCGAUGGAGCCUUCUUGAAGUCUCCCACUUAUGGAGCAAGUCCCUACUUUUUUGUAGUUUCUUGCUCCAAUCCCUGGAAUUAAGUCCAAAUACCAUAUAUAACCAAAUAUAAGUAGAUAUUAACAAUUAAAACAAUAUUUGGCAGGGACAAAGGGAAAAUUAAUAAUAAAAUAACUGACAAUUAAGACCCUAUCAAGCAUGGUAGCUGGUACUGGAGAGCUAUCAAGGUACAAGACUUGCUUGAAGAAAACUGGACGUGCUAAUUCUCAUGCUGUAAAUUCUAAAAUUCUGCGAGUUGGUAUUUAAUUAAACUCUUUCAAAAUUAGAUUUUUACAAUUCUUUUCUCAUCUUUUCUCUCUAGAAUUUUUCCACUCAAAAUCUCUUUCACCUCUCCCAUAGAAGAGAUCAAAUAUGGUCUUGCCCCAUCAUAAGGAACUUUCUUUCUAGUUUUUUAGUUUCUCUUAUUUAAAUAAAUUCUCUCCAAAAGUUUUUCAAUGAGAGAUUCUUCUCUUUUAAGAUCUUUUAGUGAGAUGCUUUUCUCUCCUAGAUUGUUUUCUUCUAAUGAGAGGCUUUUCUUUCUUAGAUUGUUUUAGUAAGAGUUUUAUCCUUUCCUGAAAUUUUUCUUGUGAGAGUUUUUUUAGUUUUAGUCUUUUUUUUUUUUUGUGAAAUUUGAGAUUUUGUAUAUCUAGGAUAUAGUUUCUUAGAUUUGCAAUUUUCUAUUAUUGUCAAAUUUAAAUUUCUCUUUGAACUUGAACUACUUUUAAUCAAAUCUAACUGUCAAAAGACAUCCACAAAUCAUGCACAUGGCAUGCACAGAUGUAUUGGUUAAAAAACUUUCACAAGGAAAAAUCAAUGAAAGAAUAAAACUCUCACUAUAAUAAUUUAUGAGAGAAUAAACUCUCACUAACUGAUCCUAGGAGAGAAAGAAUAUCUCAUUAGUGAAUCCUAGGAGAGAAUUUAUUCAAACAAGAGAAAAUUACAGAGAGGGUUCCCUCCCUUGGGGAAAGACCACAUUUGGUCCCUCUCUCAUGAGAGAGAUGGAGAUUUUGAGUGAAAGAAUCUAGAGAGAAGGAGGAGAAAAGAGUUUUAGAGGAGGGAUUAAAUUUUUUUUUCUCUAUUUCAUAUCCUAGAAAGGGAAACAGCGUGAUUGUUGCUGGAGUCCUUGAUAUUCCCAUGAUAUUGUGAGAUUUUGGGGUCGAACAUUCUGAAGAAAUCAUCGAUAAUACCAUCUCCAAAGUGAGGUCGAAUGAUGGGUUCAUAAGCAGCUCCUGGUUAUACACUUGCCACUGGUGUUUUUAUCGAAAGCGUAAUUCUUCCCAUAAUCGGCAGCCUCCACAUCAACCCAUUGCACUUCAAUGAUAUCCAAAUAUCCUAUCUUAAAUGCAUGAUUUUUCUCAAUUAUGGUCCUUAGUUCUUCCACAGAGGGCUGAUAAUGUGGAAGGUUGAAAUUGUCAACUGCUUUUUCCUCAAUAAGUCCCUGAUCAAUUACACUUCCUCCAUCAGUUGUCCAGCUAAUUAGUUCCAAAUACGUUUUCAUUAAUGAAAUUAAUCGUUAACGUUUCGAAACAAAGGAAAAAAAAAUAAAUUUUGCUGUGAUAUUUUCAUAAUUGUGUACCUCUGUAACCAUGUCAUUCAUUGUCAUCCCUAACAAAUCAUGAUAGUUAUAAGUAUAGGUGGCAAACUAUGUUUUCAGAACCGGACCGGAUAGCGACUCGGCCAAGGUCAGGGGUCAGGGGUCAAUGGGUUCGACCGGGGGUCGAUAGGGGUCGAACCGGAUGACGUCAUAAAUAAAAAUUAUUUAAAAAUUAAAAUAUUAUAUAUAUCAUAUCUAAUAAUAUAUUGAUAUUAAUAAAGGUAUAUUCAUAUAUAUUUGUUGUUUCAAAUAUAUUUAACAAGAAAAUACAAAGAAAUUAGAACAAUCAAGUAACAAUUUAUAUUAUUUAAUAAAUAUUAACAAGUUUAGAAUUAAAAUUAUGAAUUUAAUUGAAAAAUAACAUCAAAUUGUAGAACAAUAUUUAUAAAGUAUCAAAUAUUUGAGGUAUAUCAAUAAGUUUUAACAAUUUAGGGGGUCAAAACAUAAUAUUAUAAAGUUUGAAUUUUUUUUAAAAAAAUUACUGUUGAACCGGAAAAAUCGGUUUUUUCCCGGUCAAACCCGGUUUUUGACCGGCUUUGACCGGGUUUUAAAAUUUCCGGUUUUCUAAUAUGACUCGGACCGGCUACCUGGCCGAUUCCCGGUUCGACCGGCCGGUCCGGUCCGAGUUUUAAAACAGAGGUGGCAAACCAACCCACUUAACUAAAUUUACCCAUACCCGUCCAUGAAUAGAUGGGUAUGAGUAUCUUAAAAUUUUGUAGAUGGAUAUGAAUUAUAAAUGGAUAUUAUUGGGUAACCCAUCAAACCCAAUUAACCCAUUUAGAAUUCUCUUCCCCUAAGUCUCUUCUCUUCCCCCACCCAUUUUUUUUUUUCAAAUUUUUCAUUUUGUCAUGAUAUUAACUACUUUUGUUUCAUUAUUAUUAUUAUUUGUUGAUUUUAUCUUAUUAUUUUAUUUUCUCUUAGUUUGUUAACUUGCUCAUUUUUUAGCAUUACUAAUUUAUGAUAAGUUUUAGCCUCUUUUCUUAUCUUUCUAAAAUGAAAUUUUAAAUUUAUAUAUGAAAAAAAUGUUAGGGGUUAAAAAUUUUUGGAUUAAAUUUUUAUAUUAACUUUUAUAGUACUUAGUUCAAAUUUUUUUAUUCUUAUUAUUCAAUUAUUAAAUAAUAUCUAAUUUUGUGACAUAGAGUAUAAAUGGGAAAAAAUUGGUAAUUAGGCUUAUUGAGCAUUAUAAGUAAAUAUUUAAAAUUAAUAAUGGGUACAAAGAGAGGUAUAAAUUGAUAACUUAGUUUGCAAAAAUAAAUUUAAAUGAGUUUACAAAAAAUUAAAAUAAAUGGGUUAUAAAUGGGUAAUUGGGUUAUUCAAUUCAUUUUUUGACUUAUCCAUUUAUACCCAUCUAAUUAAAUGGGUAUAAAUGCGUUGACUCACUUAUAUCCAUUACUUAUUUUACCCAACCCAAACCCACCCAAGUCACCCAUUUUGACACCUCUAGUUAUAAGCAACAAGGUCCUCGUUGUUAGAUGACAAGGUGAGAAGUAAGCGUCGCCCAGACACCGUUUCAGCAGCACGGGCACUCUAAAAAGUUUGUAAAAUCUUUGUCAAACUGAUCCAAAUACGGGAGCAGGCACACUUCUAGGACUUGUUUUUCCUAUGUAAAUGUUGCCUUUGCUCAGUGGCAUGCCUUUCUGAGUCACCAGCCCUCUAGGAACCUGGAGCCAGGUAAGUAAAUUAGUCAAUAAUUUUUCAAAUUGACAGCAAGGAAUCAAUCACAUUAGUUUGUUUAACAUAAUUGGACGACUUAGUAAAACUUUUUAUAGAUUGAAACUAAAUUGAACAUCUUAAAAAAGUUAAAAGGGUAAUUUACCACUAAAUUACAGGAGGGGGGAAUCACUAUUUUAGUCCUUACAACUUCUUUAACUUGAACCAGUGUCAUCCUUCAUCUUCUAUUUGGCUGAAUUUAGAGCCAAUUGAAUCCUUGUACUUGGCACCACCAAUUAAAUUGUGUUUUGCUCAAAAUCUUCCGGCCAACAAAGGGUGAUUGAGGAACUUCAAGCCAAGGCCGUAUAAAACAAGCAAAGAAAAUUGAAAUUUGCAUUAUUAGAUUGGGAGGUAUACACAAAUUUGCAUUAGAUUGUGCAAUUGGAAAGUCACGAUGUCAGUGCUUCAAAGUCGCUCACGUGAUUUGGGAAUUUGGAAAUCUGGGAGUCAAGUGGCUGUCGUGACUGAAAAUGAAAUAUCAAUUAAGUUGUUUUUACAUAAUAUGAUAGAAAAUAGAAAAUAUUCUAAUUAAUUCUACCUGGAAAACUAUUUUGGGUAAAUAGUUUUGGCAGGACCUUUGAGAAUAUGAAGGCUGGUGAUGGAGGUUAGGUUGAGAGAUAAGGGCGAGAUCAUACAUUUUUAUUUUCUAUUUUGACGUCCAACUUUAUAGCUAAUGCAUGUUCUGUUCCCUGAAACAACGGAAAAUUUUUGUUUUUCCUCUUUUUAGUAAAAUACUUGGCUUGUGGUUCCUAAACUGCCCUUGUUUGGCUAGAGAUAUUGAGCAAAACAUAAUUCAAUUGGUGGGGUGCCGCUCUAAAAGUAUUCUAUUGGCAACAAAAUUCACAUUUUCAUCAUUAUCAUUAUCAUUAAUGUACGAUGAGUCUUGACAAUAGGGAGUGCAAGAAUGCAAGCAUAUUUUGAUUUUAGUUUUUGUUAUGGCUAAAUUGUCCUAAUGCCUUUUAAUUGGAGUUAUUACAUCCCUUUUAAUUACAGUUAUUGCAUUUCAAUGAUGACACUAAUUAGAGUUAUUGUUAUGCCUAAAUUACCCUCAUGCCUUCUGACAAAAAAAAAGGAAAAAUUAAUAGUUUCAAGAAAUUACAUCUCAAAAAUGUUGGUAAUUAAAAUUUAAAAUUGUCCAAUUACAACUACAUUCACCAAUCAUUUCCCUCAUCUCCAAUUAUUGUAUGUGUUAAAAUUAUAUCCAAUUAUUAUAUUGUUAUGCAUGAUAAUUAAAGUUAACUAUAUUUUAUAUACAUAUUGGUUUAGAAGAAAAUCAUGAUUAAUAAGAAGACAAAAAGUUAUAAACAAUUUAUAAGAAAAUAAAAGGUUAAACUGAUGAUUAAAUUCAUUAUGUCAUAUUGAUUAAGAAAACUCCCAAAAAAAGUUGUCUACAGCUACUGAAAUUAAUAAAGAUUUGUUGUAUCCAAAUCAGACUGUUUUAGAAUAUAUUUUGCUCACGUUUUAUUGCAUACAUGGCUUAACACAACAUAGAAAAUUUUCCCUUCUUACUAUUAUAAUCCAAAUAAAAAAUGCAACAACUUAGUUUAGAUACAAUAUUAUUCCAUUUUUAGAGUUUUGUAAUUGUAAUAUGCACAAUAAACUUUUAAUUAGUUUGUUAAUAUUAAACAUUUUGUACAACUAACAAUUGCUUAAUUUUGUUUAUUCUAUGGUUUCUUAGGCAAUAUUAUACCAACAACUUAACUUAAAUAUGAUAAUAUUCCAUUUUCAAAGUUUUUAUAACUGUAAAAUACACAAUAAACUUUUAAUUGCUCUGUAUACAAUAAACAUUUUGUACCACUAUCAAUUGUUUAAUUUUGUUCAUUAUACAGUUUCUUAGUUUAUAUUGUGCCAAUAAUCAAAGUUUUACAUAGAAAUUUAGUAUAUUAAAGGUUUUAUUUCUGGGAAAAAUAUAUUCACGUACAAAGCGUGUGAAUUAUUACUAGUUAAAUAAAAUAUGGGGGAUGAAAUUGGUUUAACGUAACAAAGAUGGUGGACUAAAUUAACAAAUUUCCCUUACACGAAUUCUUAAGUUCACUAAGACUUCCUUAAGCAAUAUAAGUUAGGUGAUAGUAUCUGCAGGUAAGGUCUAUAUGUGACCACUUCAGUUCGGUCAAAUUUUCAAAGUAAAAAAAAAAAAAAUUGGAAAUGAUGUAGCCCAAUUUGAACCAUAAAAAGCACUCUGUUGCAAUCUACUCAAGGGGAGGGGCAUCGGAUCCUUUUUUUACGUUAGCAAUUAUGAGACAUUCAUUGACCGGAAAGAAGAGAAUAAGGUCACAAGAUUGCCACACCUGAGACAGCCAGUGAAGACUAUAGCAAGAGUGUAUAAAAUGCAUGGAGUUGUCCGGAAAAAGUUUUCCAUGGAAUGACCCGGGCAUAGCUGCAAUGAAGCAUGACCCUGGACUGCGUUCGUAAUACUUCUCAAGUCUUUGAUAAAAAAAUUAGGCAAUUAUUGGAAAAUGGAAUUGAAAUCGUUGGACACUCGAUCAGUCAAGAAAACUUGUAUCCUAGGUAGCUCAAGAUAAAUUUUCGAGUCAUGGCAUUCUCUGUCGAUGUUCUCUAUGAUGUCUUGAAUCGCCAAAAGCGUAUUUGGCCCCUAUGCACAUCCCAGAUCUGUUAUGCUUAUGCACCCUGCUGCUGUUGGUAGGUUGGCUCUGCAAAACUCUUGGAUGCUUUGUUUGAGUUCACUGCUGACCUUCAUUGAUAUUAAUUUCUGAAUGCUAGAAAGUGAUUAGAGAGGUCUCCCUCAUACACAGGGCCGGGAGAAAGAGAUCAUUAAUUGACAUGUAUUAAGGGUCUUAUCGUAUCUCACUUACUUGAAAUGAUGAAUUUUUUCCAUAGCUCGCAUGGUCGUCCCCUCUUCUCAUGUGAAGAACUUGUUGCAGUUCCAUCUUUGCUACUCUUCUGCAAUUUGGAACCAUGGAUUGAACUUCUUCUCUAUGUGUGUACUUGUGUGUGUAGAUCAUGCCUUACUUAGAACCAUAAAACAAAGAACUAGGUCAAACACGAGGUUGUUGUAAAGGGACCCUUUCCUGAUUUAUAUCAUUUUUUACAAGUCUUAUUCUAGUAUAUUAGGUACCGAUCAAUAUUUUGUAAUUAACCUACUAAUCUCAAGGAGUAUCAAUUAAUCUGCUACAAUAAUUGGCGCCUAAACAGUUCUUUAUUCAUCAUGGCAACUUUCACAAGUAUGUUAGUUGACUCGUAACUUUCGCGAGGAUUAUUCGAUUAGAGAAUAGCUAGCUUAAUCCAGUUAAUUAAGAGCUUCUCUGGACCUUCUAUCCCGUGACAUCCUUCUGUUGGCCUUUCCCCUUCACUCCCUCCAGCCCGAAAGAGAAAUCAGAAUCUUCAAAGAGAAACUAAUUAAGCUGGUUUUGCUCCUUAAUUGUAUCCAACAUUAAUUGAUAGCCAAACUCUAAAAUGGAUAUAUCAAGAAAACUUCACCAAAUGAAAUGUUGUAAGAUGAGAAGAUUUGGAACAAACCUAUCCAGAUAGUCGCUAUUUUACCAUAAAGAAAUGGGUAAAUUACAUUUUACCCCCUAUGAUUUAACCUUUUUUACAUAACUCCCCUAUGGUUUCAAAAGCUAUACAUAACCCCCUCAUGGUUUGGAUUAAAGUGUGAAAGUAACGGAAAUAUUCACUCGUAACGGAAUUGAUCUGAGCAAGAUGCACAACAUGAUUUAUGGUUUCGAUCUUACUUUCCGUCAGUAUAUAUUGUAUAUCAGUCAAUAUAUCAGGAAUUGGAAUAGUUUUUUGCAGUAUCUGUGAUUGAACUCAGCUGCAGGAUUUUUGGAAGUUGGAUUUCUGGUAUAGUUUUCCAAAAUAAAACCAAUCAAAGUGAAGAGAUAGAAAUAGCUCUUGGUCCCAAGUUUAGGGAACCAACCUCAGAUUGGCAUACACAACUUCACCGCAUAUUAUGUGUUUUGCAUGGAGUCUUGGAAGUUGCUCCAACUUGAAAUUGAUCAAGGAAUAAGAUCGAAGUACAUAAAAGGCAGCAUCAUUUUCAUUUCCAGUGUCUCUUGACCUAAACCAGAUACCACAUUUUACGAGAUUUCUAUCAUUUUCAAUUGAAAGCCCCUGCAGAAUAAAUCAACUCAAACUGGAAAUGAAAUGCUUCUUGGCAUGGACUUUGUUCAAGCGGAGUUAGAAAAGUAUCACUUACUCCUUCAUUGCCUGCGUAAACUUAUGUACAAAAAUCAGUUUGGCAAUCUUUUUUGGAUCACAGUCAACUUGCCUAGAAAAGUGAGUUUAACAAGUUGAGUGAGCUCAUGCUCGCAAUUCCAUUUUUUUUCUCCUCUUUUCUUUUUUGAUUAAAGUAUUAGAUUAUUUUGUAAUUUUAUUUGCAUUGAUUAAUUUUGUUUUUUCAAAAAUACAAGGUUAAAUAAAAAUUGAUAAAGCCCCACCACCAUAAUAAUACUACUAUAUAUGAUCCACCAUGGCCUAGAUUUGUCCCAACCACAUUUUGGGUACAAAAUUUUUCCCGAUUAAUUAUUUGGUGUGGUAUGCAAAUAUGUGCUUGAUUUUCUCAUAUUGGGAUUCUUAAAACCCCAGCAAGUAGAACAUAUUGUUCUUUUUGGAUUUUGGUUGUAUUCAUUGGUCUGUACCUUUUUCUUGAGACUGAGCUGCUAUUUUUUUUUGUUAUCCUCUCGUGUUGGAUAGCAGAAACUAGAGCAAAUGCAUUAAAUUUUGCCAAUGAUUUGGUACACGUAAGGUCAAUCCGUGGUGCUACACUACGAAUACGCAUUCAAUUGUUCAUUCUGUUAAAUAUUCAGCUUAUAUGACAUAACCAUGAAAUUAGUACCUUCAUUAAAGGUCAUGAAUUGAUGCUUGGUUUUAUACUUUGUUGGCUAAACAAAGCCAAAAGAAGAUGAUGUUCCGUUCCAACUUCCUAGCAAGCAAGCAUGCAAGAAAGCAGAAAAGAGUCAGUCCAGAUGCCACUGCCAGUACUGUACUCACCAGUCAGUAGCCAUUUUCUCUGAGAUGGCGCCCCCCCCUUCCCUUUCCAAAUUCAGGUUCUCUGAAAUGUCUGACCAGCUUGUCUCUAGAGUUUCAAACAGUUCACAAAAAAGGAAAAAUCGAAGAUGGGGAAAAGCAUUUAGGAAUGGUGAUGGCUGGUGAUCAUCAUGCAGGCACAGAUGUUAAUGCAGAAUUUGUAUAUCCUAGGAUGGGAAUUGUUGCAAAUAUUCCUGAUGACAAUAGAAAUGGACAAGAUGUUCGAAGCUGCGGCUUUAAGGUUAAGAAUGAUCUGACUAUGAAAGAGUUUAAUCCAAUGACUGUGCAACCAUUCUGGAACUGUGCUACAUUAUCAGGGUAUGCAAUAGUUGAGUUCAACAAGAACUAGGCUGGAUUGUCUUGAGGCUAUGGCUUUUGAUUUUGGGUAAAAAGCAAAGAAUUGGCAAAUAUUGUGACAAGAAUUGGCUUCAAAUCGUGAUAGAAAUCACUUUCCUUUAGGCUUUAUUUGUCCGAUAUAAAGUGCAAUACCUUGGACAAAUAUCCUUCAGGAUAAGAUGAAAUUUUGUUUGUCUUAUACUCUUGCACAAAGCAAGACAAACCCUUUGUGAACUAAGGAGUGCUUUUGAGAGAGUAAGGAUAGUAGGAAAGUGAUUUUCUGCAGCAAACCACUCUCUACUUGAUCUCUUUAUAUAGGAAGAUUGUUUGGGAAACAAAAGAUCUCAUUAAACACUUGUAUGAACAGAUUCAAAGUAUUGUGUACACAUUCAUGCACUUUAAUUCAUGCAUCUCAUGAUCAUUAGAUCAAAACAUGAAUCUAUCCUUUCAUUCAAUAAUUCCCAUAUACAUGAAUACAUUCAUAAAUGAAUGUACAUUUUAGGAACAUUCACAAUACUAUACAUAUACCAAAAAUCAAUGAAUAUACAUUAAUUUCAUGUAUGUACAUCAUACAAAUUUUGAAAAGUUUCCAACAAUCCCCCGCCAUUUUCAAAAUUUAGAAAAUGGAUUUCUAAAAGGUCACCAAGUAAUCUGACACUCAUAUGCAUAAAUAAUGGUGUCUUUCGAUUGAACCACUAUCUUAGUGAAGGUUCUUUGAAAUCAAUCCUUCAAGAUGGUAGACAAGCUUUGAACCACUUGGACAUUGGACCAACCUCAUAAACACAUCACACACUGAGCAAUGCACAACCAUAAGUUCUUCAACGAUACAUUUUACGGCCUUGUAUCACUAUCCUUUCAUGAAUGUUUACAAAGUAAAGUCCUUAACUUUGUGGUUUGCCGAAAACCAACAUUCAUAUAGGCGACAUCUUAGUGCCCCCGCCAUAGAUAGCACUUUUAAGAUUCGUUAAGAGUCCAAUGACUCAUCCUUACAUUUGCACUGGCGAGAAUAACAUGCACUAUUCAACAUUGGGAUGACUAAACUUCACAUAGUGCACCAACCACUAGAAUGGUGUACUUUCACUCAUUGAAUUCAAGACUAGACGUUGUAUCUAGCGUUGAAUUGAGGUUCCACCAUUAGUGAUCAAGAAUUUUGGACUUUAAACCCAUCCCCCUUGAUGUCUUUGACACCAAAUUUCUUGAUAAUCCUUUUGUCAAAGGAUCACUUAAAUUUUCAUUUGAUCUCACAAAGUCAAUUGAUAUGACUCCAUUUGUAAUCAAAUCUUUGACAUAACUAUGUCUCAAACCGAUAUGUCUUGAUUUACCAUUAUACACUUGACUAUAUGCUUUAGCAAGUGUAGCUGCACUAUCACAAUGGAUUGAGAUAGGCGACAAAGGUGUUGGCCACAAUGGUAUAUCACAAAGUAAAUUACGUAGCCAUUCAGCUUCUUUACAGGCCGAAGCAAGUGCUACAAACUCUGCUGCCAUUGUUGAAUCGGUGAUACAAGUCUGUUUCUUAGAACCCCAAGAAAUUGCACCUCCACCAAGCAUAAAGAUCCAACCACUUGUCGACGAGUGAUCAUCUUUAUUGGUGAUCCAACUAGCAUCUAAAAAUCCUUCUAAAACUGAAGGAUAACCGGUAUAACAUAUACCAUAGUCCUUAGUGGCCUUUAAAUACUUUAAAAUUCUGGUUACACCUUGCCAAUGUAACCUACUAGGGUUGCUUGUAUAUCUGCUCAAUAUACCAACUGCAUAUGCAAUAUCAGGUCUAGUACAAGUCAUUGCAUACAUUAAACACCCUAUAACCUUGGCAUAUUCCAUUUGAGAUUUUGGAUCCCCCUCAUUUUUCACAAAAUUUAUUUUGGGAUCCAAUGGUGUUGAGACUGGAAUACAAUCACUUUGAUUGAAUUUGUUAAGAAUCUUUUCAAUAUAAUGUGUUUGAGACAACAUUAUAUUGUUAUCAUGUUUGAAGAUUCUCAUACCAAGAAUGACAUCUGCCUCACCCAUGUCUUUCAUGUCAAAUUUGCUUGAAAGCAAAGUUUUUGUGACUUCAACUUGUUCCAAGUCAGUCCCAAAAAUCAACAUGUCAUCAACAUAUAAACAAAUUAUGACACCUUUGCCAUCAUCAAACUUGCUAUAAAUACAUUUAUCAGAUUCAUUUAUUUUGAACCCACUAGCAAGAAUAACUUGGUCAAAUUUCUGAUGCCAUUGCUUCGGUGCUUGUUUUAGUCCAUAUAAAGACUUUACAAGUUUACACACCUUAUGCUCUUGACCAGGUAUCACAAACCCUUCGGGUUGCUCCAUAUAUAUUUUUUCAUCCAAAUCACCAUUCAAGAAUGCUGUUUUAACAUCCAUUUGGUGAACUAGAUUUUGGAUAGAAGCUAUAGCAAGUAGCACUCUAAUUGUAGCAAUUCUAGCUACUGGUGAAUAUGUGUCAAAAUAGUCCACACCAUACUUUUGUGUGAACCCUUUGGCAACCAACCUGGCCUUGAACUUAUCAAUAGUUCCGUCGAUCUUCAUUUUCUUCUUGAAGAUCCACUUACAACCAAUUGGUUUUGAACCAGGUGGUAAGUCUACUAAUUUCCAGGUUUUAUUACCCAUGAUUGAGUCCAUCUCAUCAUUAAUAGCUUCCUUCCAAAAGGGAGCAUCUUGUGAGUUCAUUGCUUCUUCAUAGGUCUUGGGAUCAGCCUCAAUAUUGAAGCAAUAUGAGAUUUGGUUGCUCACUGUAUCUCUAGUUCCUUCAACUAGAUACAUAUAAAAGUCCGAACCGAAGUCUUUUGACUUUCUAGCUCUUUUGCUCCUUCUCAAUUCAAUGGUUUCAUUUUCACCAUCUUUUGUCAAUUCACUUGAUUUUGGAAUAACAUCUUUUAUAGAGGUGAACCUAUUCUCUUCAAAAAUAGCAUCUCUAGACUCAAUUAUGGUAUUAACCGAAAUUGAAUCAUUAGGUUCAAUUACCAUGAACCUAUAUGCUUUGCUAUUUUGUGCAUAUCCUAAGAAUAUACACUCCACACCUCUUUCUCCCAAUUUCCUUUUUUGAGAUUCUGGGAGUUUUACAACAGCUCUACAACCCCAAACUUUCAAAUAGUUUAGGUUGGGCUUUCUUUUAUUCCAAAAUUCAUAAGGGGUUAUAGAACUCCUUUUAUUAGGAACUCUAUUUAGGAUAUGACAAGCCGUUAACAAGGCUUCACCCCAAAAUCCUUGACUUAAACCAGAUUUUGACAAAAGUGCAUUAACCAUUUCUGUCAAUACACGAUUUUUCCUUUCGGCUACACCAUUUUGUUGUGGUGUGUAAGGAGCAGUCACCUCAUAUUUUAUCCCAACAGACUCAAAAUAGGUAAUAUCAUAAUAUUCCCCACCUCUAUCUGUCCUUAGACAUUUGAUAAAGGAUUCACAAUGAAGUUCAACUUCUGAUUUGUAUGCCUUAAAUUUUUGCAAAGCUUCACCUUUUGAGUGUAACAAGAAAACAUGACAGUAUCUACUAUAAUCAUCAAUAAAAGUCACAAAGUACUUUUUACCACCCAAAGUAGGAGUACCAUGCAAAUCACAUACAUCACUAUGAAUAAGAUCCAAGAUUUUAGAUGAUCUUUCAACUUUAGGAAACGAAUUUCUUGUGAUUUUCGUUAGCAUGCAUGUAUUGCAUUUUCCUUCAAUCUUAUCACAAUAUGGCAGCAAAUCAAGUCUCAUCAUUUCAUGCAUUCUUUUGUAAUUAACAUGACCAAUCCUAUUAUGCCACAAUUCAAAAGAAGACUCAACCAAAUACGCAGAAAUAAUAUCACUCUUAUUAUUUCUAAUAGCAAGUACAUUCAACUUAAACAUCCCAUUGCAAAGAUAACCCUUGCCUACAAACAUACCACCUUUAGACAAAAUAAAUUUGUCAGACUCAAACACAAGUCUAAAGCCAAAUUUAUUUAACAGCCCAGCCGACACCAAGUUCUUCCUAACUUCCGGUACAUAAAACACAUUUGUCAAGGUUACAACAUUUCCGGAAGUAAAUUUUAAUUCUACUUCUCCAAUGCCUUGAACCGGAAUUGUAGCAGAAUUUCCCAUGUAAACAACGGUGCUUUCAUCCACCGGUUUCAUGGACUUGAAGAACGUUCUAUUGUUGCACACGUGUCGCGUAGCUCCAGAAUCAACCCACCAAGCAAAAUCAUCUUCAAUCAUAUUGAUUUCAGAUAUCAUUGCUACAAGAUUUUUGCUUGUGUUUUGGGAAGACUCUUGCUUCUUCUUCUUGUUUUGAAGAAUCUUGCACUCGGACUUGUAGUGUCCCUCUUUCUUGCAAUAGAAGCAUUGUCCCUUCUUUCUUUUCUUGGAUUGAUUUUUGGGUUGUUGGCCCUUCUUGCUUCCUUGAGACUUUUCAGUUUGCCUCUCUUCAAUCACAUGCACUUUUGAAGUAGAAUCUUUGUUCUCUUCAAGGAUUUGACUAUCUUUCUUUUCUUGCAUGCGAAUUUCCUCUUCUACUCGAAGAGAUUUAGCAAGAAUCUCAAGAGAGAUAUCCUCUUUCUUAUGUUUGAGGUCUCUUUUGAAAUCUUUCCAAGAAGGUGGUAACUUAUCUAUUAUAGAGCAAACAAUAAUGGCUUCAUCCAUGUGUAGAUUGUGUUGUGUGAAGUGAUUAAGAAGCCUUUCAAUCUCACUAAAUUGCUCCAUAACAGACUUAUUAUCUACCAUUUUAUAAUUAUUAAAAGACGAGACAAGAAACUUCUUACUUGUAGCAUCUUCUUGCAUGUACUUGGACUCCAAUCGAUCCCAAAGUUCCUUGGCGGUAGCAAUUGAAUGGUAGACAUCGAACAGGUUGUCACUCAUGGUAUUGAGGAUGUGACCACGGCAUAUUUCAUCGUCGUUCUCCCAUUUCUGACGGUUUCGGAUGUCUUCAAGAGUUUCUUCAUCGGGAUUGAUCAAUGGUUUUGGUGUGGUCAAAACAUAGACCACUUUGAGUGCAGUGAGAAGGAAACGAACACGUUUUUGCCAACGAAUGAAAUUCCCUCCAUCAAACCUCUCGAGCUUGACAAUAUUGGAUGCCAAAUCUUUCAAGGUACCGGCCAUUGUAGAGUAUAAAUAAAGCCUAAAGAUUUUUGGGUAAAAAGCAAAGAAUUGGCAAAUAUUGUGACAAGAAUUGGCUUCAAAUCGUGAUAGAAAUCACUUUUCUUUAGGCUUUAUUUGUCCGAUAUAAAGUGCAAUACCUUGGACAAAUAUCCUUCAGGAUAAGAUGAAAUUUUGUUUGUCUUAUACUCUUGCACAAAGCAAGACAAACCCUUUGUGAACUAAGGAGUGCUUUUGAGAGAGUAAGGAUAGUAGGAAAGUGAUUUUCUGCAGCAAACCACUCUCUACUUGACCUCUUUAUAUAGGAAGAUUGUUUGGGAAACAAAAGAUCUCAUUAAACACUUGUAUGAACAGAUUCAAAGUAUUGUGUACACAUUCAUGCACUUUAAUUCAUGCAUCUCAUGAUCAUUAGAUCAAAACAUGAAUCUAUCAUUUCAUUCAAUAAUUCCCAUAUACAUGAAUACAUUCAUAAAUGAAUGUACAUUUUAGGAACAUUCACAAUACUAUACAUAUACCAAAAAUCAAUGAAUAUACAUUAAUUUCAUGUAUGUACAUCAUACAAAUUUUGAAAAGUUUCCAACAGAGCUAGAAAGUCAAAAGACUUCGGUUCGAACUUUUAUAUGUAUCUAGUUGAAGGAACUAGAGAUACAGUGAGCAACCAAAUCUCAUAUUGCUUCAAUAUUGAGGCUGAUCCCAAGACCUAUGAAGAAGCAAUGAACUCACAAGAUGCUCCCUUUUGGAAGGAAGCUAUUAAUGAUGAGAUGGACUCAAUCAUGGGUAAUAAAACCUGGAAAUUAGUAGACUUACCACCUGGUUCAAAACCAAUUGGUUGUAAGUGGAUCUUCAAGAAGAAAAUGAAGAUCGACGGAACUAUUGAUAAGUUCAAGGCCAGGUUGGUUGCCAAAGGGUUCACACAAAAGUAUGGUGUGGACUAUUUUGACACAUAUUCACCAGUAGCUAGAAUUGCUACAAUUAGAGUGCUACUUGCUAUAGCUUCUAUCCAAAAUCUAGUCAUUCACCAAAUGGAUGUUAAAAUAGCAUUCUUGAAUGGUGAUUUGGAUGAAGAAGUAUAUAUGGAGCAACCCGAAGGGUUUGUGAUACCUGGUCAAGAGUAUAAGGUGUGUAAACUUGUAAAGUCUUUAUAUGGACUAAAACAAGCACCGAAGCAAUGGCAUCAGAAAUUUGACCAAGUUAUUCUUGCUAGUGGGUUCAAAAUAAAUGAAUCUGAUAAAUGUAUUUAUAGCAAGUUUGAUGAUGGCAAAGGUGUCAUAAUUUGUUUAUAUGUUGAUGACAUGUUGAUUUUUGGGACUGACUUGGAACAAGUUGAAGUCACAAAAACUUUGCUUUCAAGCAAAUUUGACAUGAAAGACAUGGGUGAGGCAGAUGUCAUUCUUGGUAUGAGAAUCUUCAAACAUGAUAACAAUAUAAUGUUGUCUCAAACACAUUAUAUUGAAAAGAUUCUUAACAAAUUCAAUCAAAGUGAUUGUAUUCCAGUCUCAACACCAUUGGAUCCCAAAAUAAAUUUUGUGAAAAAUGAGGGGGAUCCAAAAUCUCAAAUGGAAUAUGCCAAGGUUAUAGGGUGUUUAAUGUAUGCAAUGACUUGUACUAGACCUGAUAUUGCAUAUGCAGUUGGUAUAUUGAGCAGAUAUACAAGCAAUCCUGGUAGGUUACAUUGGCAAGGUGUAACCAGAAUUUUAAAGUAUUUAAAGGCCACUAAGGACUAUGGUAUAUGUUAUACCGGUUAUCCUUCAGUUUUAGAAGGAUUUUCAGAUGCUAGUUGGAUCACCAAUAAAGAUGAUCACUCGUCAACAAGUGGUUGGAUCUUUAUGCUUGGUGGUGGUGCAAUUUCUUGGGGUUCUAAGAAACAGACUUGUAUCACCGAUUCAACAAUGGCAGCAGAGUUUGUAGCACUUGCUUCGGCCUGUAAAGAAGCUGAAUGGCUACGUAAUUUGCUUUGUGAUAUACCAUUAUAGCCAACACCUUUGUCGCCUAUCUCAAUCCAUUGUGAUAGUGCAGCUACACUUGCUAAAGCAUAUAGUCAAGUGUAUAAUGGUAAAUCAAGACAUAUCGGUUUGAGACAUAAUUAUGUCAAAGAUUUGAUUACAAAUGGAGUCAUAUCAAUUGACUUUGUGAGAUCAAAUGAAAAUUUAAGUGAUCCUUUGACAAAAGGAUUAUCAAGAAAUUUGGUGUCAAAGACAUCAAGGGGGAUGGGUUUAAAGUCCAAAAUUCUUGAUCACUAAUAGUGGAACCUCAAUUCAAUGCUAGAUACAACGUCUGGUCCUGAAUUCAAUGAGUGAAAGUACAUCAUUCUAGUGGUUGGUGCACUAUAUUAAGUUUAGUCAUCCCAAUGUUGAAUAGUGCAUGUUAUUCUCGCCAGUGCAAAUGUAAGGAUGAGUCAUUGGACUCUUAACGAAUCUUAAAAGUGCUAUCUAUGGCGGGGGCACUAAGAUGUCGCCUAUAUGAAUGUUGGUUUUCGGCAAACCACAAAGUUAAGGACUUUACUUUGUAAACAUUCAUGAAAGGAUAGUGAUACAAGGCCGUAAAAUGUAUCGUUGAAGAACUUAUGGUUGUGCAUUGCUCAGUGUGUGAUGUGUUUAUGAGGUUGGUCCAAUGUCCAAGUGGUUCAAAGCUUGUCUACCAUCUUGAAGGAUUGAUUUCAAAGAACCUUCACUAAGAUAGUGGUUCAAUCGAAAGACACCAUUAUUUAUGCAUAUGAGUGUCAGAUUACUUGGUGACCUUUUAGAAAUCCAUUUUCUAAUUUUGAAAAUGGCGGGGGAUUGUUGGAAACUUUUCAAAAUUUGUAUGAUGUACAUACAUGUAAUUAAUGUAUAUUCAUUAAUUUUUGGUACAUGUAUAGUAUUGUGAAUGUUUCUAAAAUGUACAUUCAUUUAUGAAUGUAUUCAUGUAUAUGGGAAUUAUUGAAUGAAAGGAUAGAUUCAUGUUUUGAUCUAAUGAUCAUGAGAUGCAUGAAUUAAAGUGCAUGAAUGUGUACACAAUACUUUGAAUCUAUUCAUACACAAUACUUUGAAUCUAUUCAUAAUGGAUCUUUUGUUUCCCAAACAAUCUUCCUAUAUAAAGAGGUCAAGUAGAGAGUGGUUUGCUGCAGAAAAUCACUUUCCUACUAUCCUUACUCUCUCAAAAGCACUCCUUAGUUCACAAAGGGUUUGUCUUGCUUUGUGCAAGAGUUUAAGACAAACAAAACUUCAUCUUAUCCUAAAGGAUAUUUGUCCAAGGUUAUUGCACUUUAUAUCGGACAAAUAAAGCCUAAAGGAAAGUGAUUUCUAUCACGAUUUGAAGCCAAUUCUUGUCACAAUAUUUGCCAAUUCUUUGCUUUUUACCCAACAAUCUUUAGGCUUUAUUUAUACUCUACAAUGGCUGGUACCUUGAAAGAUUUGGCAUCCAAUAUUGUCAAGCUCGAGAGGUUUGAUGGAGGGAAUUUCAUUCGUUGGCAAAAACGUGUUCGUUUCCUUCUCACUGCACUCAAAGUGGUCUAUGUUUUGACCACACCAAAACCAUUGAUCAAUCCCGAUGAAGAAACUCUUGAAGACAUCCGAAACCGUCAGAAAUGGGAGAACGACGAUGAAAUAUGCCGUGGUCACAUCCUCAAUACCAUGAGUGACAACCUGUUCGAUGUCUACCAUUCAAUUGCUACCGCCAAGGAACUUUGGGAUCGAUUGGAGUCCAAGUACAUGCAAGAAGAUGCUACAAGUAAGAAGUUUCUUGUCUCGUCUUUUAAUAAUUAUAAAAUGGUAGAUAAUAAGUCUGUUAUGGAGCAAUUUAGUGAGAUUGAAAGGCUUCUUAAUCACUUCACACAACACAAUCUACACAUGGAUGAAGCCAUUAUUGUUUGCUCUAUAAUAGAUAAGUUACCACCUUCUUGGAAAGAUUUCAAAAGAGACCUCAAACAUAAGAAAGAGGAUAUCUCUCUUGAGAUUCUUGCUAAAUCUCUUCGAGUAGAAGAGGAAAUUCGCAUGCAAGAAAAGAAGGAUAGUCAAAUCCUUGAAGAGAACAAAGAUUCUACUUCAAAAGUGCAUGUGAUUGAAGAGAGGCAAACUGAAAAGUCUCAAGGAAGCAAGAAGGGCCAACAACCCAAGAAUCAAUCCAAGAAAAGAAAGAAGGGACAAUGCUUCUAUUGCAAGAAAGAGGGACACUACAAGUCCGAGUGCAAGAUUCUUCAAAACAAGAAGAAGAAGCAAGAGUCUUCCCAAAACACAAGCAAAAAUCUUGUAGCAAUGAUAUCUGAAAUCAAUAUGAUUGAAGAUGAUUUUGCUUGGUGGGUUGAUUCUGGAGCUACGCGACACGUGUGCAACAAUAGAACGUUCUUCAAGUCCAUGAAACCGGUGGAUGAAAGCACCGUUGUUUACAUGGGAAAUUCUGCUACAAUUCCGGUUCAAGGCAUUGGAGAAGUAGAAUUAAAAUUUACUUCCGGAAAUGUUGUAACCUUGACAAAUGUGUUUUAUGUACCGGAAGUUAGGAAGAACUUGGUGUCGGCUGGGCUGUUAAAUAAAUUUGGCUUUAGACUUGUGUUUGAGUCUGACAAAUUUAUUUUGUCUAAAGGUGGUAUGUUUGUAGGCAAGGGUUAUCUUUGCAAUGGGAUGUUUAAGUUGAAUGUACUUGCUAUUAGAAAUAAUAAGAGUGAUAUUAUUUCUGCGUAUUUGGUUGAGUCUUCUUUUGAAUUGUGGCAUAAUAGGAUUGGUCAUGUUAAUUACAAAAGAAUGCAUGAAAUGAUGAGACUUGAUUUGCUGCCAUAUUGUGAUAAGAUUGAAGGAAAAUGCAAUACAUGCAUGCUAACGAAAAUCACAAGAAAUUCGUUUCCUAAAGUUGAAAGAUCAUCUAAAAUCUUGGAUCUUAUUCAUAGUGAUGUAUGUGAUUUGCAUGGUACUCCUACUUUGGGUGGUAAAAAGUACUUUGUGACUUUUAUUGAUGAUUAUAGUAGAUACUGUCAUGUUUUCUUAUUACACUCAAAAGGUGAAGCUUUGCAAAAAUUUAAGGCAUACAAAUCAGAAGUUGAACUUCAUUGUGAAUCCUUUAUCAAAUGUCUAAGGACAGAUAGAGGUGGGGAAUAUUAUGAUAUUACCUAUUUUGAGUCUGUUGGGAUAAAACAUGAGGUGACUGCUCCUUACACACCACAACAAAAUGGUGUAGCCGAAAGGAAAAAUCGUGUAUUGACAGAAAUGGUUAAUGCACUUUUGUCAAAAUCUGGUUUAAGUCAAGGAUUUUGGGGUGAAGCCUUGUUAACGGCUUGUCAUAUCCUAAAUAGAGUUCCUAAUAAAAGGAGUUCUAUAACCCCUUAUGAAUUUUGGAAUAAAAGGAAGCCCAACCUAAACUAUUUGAAAGUUUGGGGUUGUAGAGCUGUUGUAAAACUCCCAGAAUCUCAAAAAAGGAAAUUGGGAGAAAGAGGUGUGGAGUGUAUAUUCUUAGGAUAUGCACAAAAUAGCAAAGCAUAUAGGUUCAUGGUAAUUGAACCUAAUGAUUCAAUUUCGGUUAAUACCAUAAUUGAGUCUAGAGAUGCUAUUUUUGAAGAGAAUAGGUUCACCUCUAUAAAAGAUGUUAUUCCAAAAUCAAGUGAAUUGACAAAAGAUGGUGAAAAUGAAACCAUUGAAUUGAGAAGGAGCAAAAGAGCUAGAAAGUCAAAAGACUUCGGUUCGGACUUUUAUAUGUAUCUAGUUGAAGGAACUAGAGAUACAGUGAGCAACCAAAUCUCAUAUUGCUUCAAUAUUGAGGCUGAUCCCAAGACCUAUGAAGAAGCAAUGAACUCACAAGAUGCUCCCUUUUGGAAGGAAGCUAUUAAUGAUGAGAUGGACUCAAUCAUGGGUAAUAAAACCUGGAAAUUAGUAGACUUACCACCUGGUUCAAAACCAAUUGGUUGUAAGUGGAUCUUCAAGAAGAAAAUGAAGAUCGACGGAACUAUUGAUAAGUUCAAGGCCAGGUUGGUUGCCAAAGGGUUCACACAAAAGUAUGGUGUGGACUAUUUUGACACAUAUUCACCAGUAGCUAGAAUUGCUACAAUUAGAGUGCUACUUGCUAUAGCUUCUAUCCAAAAUCUAGUCAUUCACCAAAUGGAUGUUAAAACAGCAUUCUUGAAUGGUGAUUUGGAUGAAGAAGUAUAUAUGGAGCAACCCGAAGGGUUUGUGAUACCUGGUCAAGAGCAUAAGGUGUGUAAACUUGUAAAGUCUUUAUAUGGACUAAAACAAGCACCGAAGCAAUGGCAUCAGAAAUUUGACCAAGUUAUUCUUGCUAGUGGGUUCAAAAUAAAUGAAUCUGAUAAAUGUAUUUAUAGCAAGUUUGAUGAUGGCAAAGGUGUCAUAAUUUGUUUAUAUGUUGAUGACAUGUUGAUUUUUGGGACUGACUUGGAACAAGUUGAAGUCACAAAAACUUUGCUUUCAAGCAAAUUUGACAUGAAAGACAUGGGUGAGGCAGAUGUCAUUCUUGGUAUGAGAAUCUUCAAACAUGAUAACAAUAUAAUGUUGUCUCAAACACAUUAUAUUGAAAAGAUUCUUAACAAAUUCAAUCAAAGUGAUUGUAUUCCAGCCUCAACACCAUUGGAUCCCAAAAUAAAUUUUGUGAAAAAUGAGGGGGAUCCAAAAUCUCAAAUGGAAUAUGCCAAGGUUAUAGGGUGUUUAAUGUAUGCAAUGACUUGUACUAGACCUGAUAUUGCAUAUGCAGUUGGUAUAUUGAGCAGAUAUACAAGCAACCCUAGUAGGUUACAUUGGCAAGGUGUAACCAGAAUUUUAAAGUAUUUAAAGGCCACUAAGGACUAUGGUAUAUGUUAUACCGGUUAUCCUUCAGUUUUAGAAGGAUUUUCAGAUGCUAGUUGGAUCACCAAUAAAGAUGAUCACUCGUCGACAAGUGGUUGGAUCUUUAUGCUUGGUGGAGGUGCAAUUUCUUGGGGUUCUAAGAAACAGACUUGUAUCACCGAUUCAACAAUGGCAGCAGAGUUUGUAGCACUUGCUUCGGCCUGUAAAGAAGCUGAAUGGCUACGUAAUUUACUUUGUGAUAUACCAUUGUGGCCAACACCUUUGUCGCCUAUCUCAAUCCAUUGUGAUAGUGCAGCUACACUUGCUAAAGCUUAUAGUCAAGUGUAUAAUGGUAAAUCAAGACAUAUCGGUUUGAGACAUAGUUAUGUCAAAGAUUUGAUUACAAAUGGAGUCAUAUCAAUUGACUUUGUGAGAUCAAAUGAAAAUUUGAGUGAUCCUUUGACAAAAGGGUUAUCAAGAAAUUUGGUGUCAAAUACAUCAAGGGGGAUGGGUUUAAAGUCCAAAAUUCUUGAUCACUAAUGGUGGAACCUCAAUUCAACGCUAGAUACAACGUCUAGUCUUGAAUUCAAUGAGUGAAAGUACACCAUUCUAGUGGUUGGUGCACUAUGUGAAGUUUAGACAUCCCAAUGUUGAAUAGUGCAUGUUAUUCUCGCCAGUGCAAAUGUAAGGAUGAGUCAUUGGACUCUUAACGAAUCUUAAAAGUGCUAUCUAUGGCGGGGGCACUAAGAUGUCGCCUAUAUGAAUGUUGGUUUUCGGCAAACCACAAAGUUAAGGACUUUACUUUGUAAACAUUCAUGAAAGGAUAGUGAUACAAGGCCGUAAAAUGUAUCGUUGAAGAACUUAUGGUUGUGCAUUGCUCAGUGUGUGAUGUGUUUAUGAGGUUGGUCCAAUGUCCAAGUGGUUCAAAGCUUGUCUACCAUCUUGAAGGAUUGAUUUCAAAGAACCUUCACUAAGAUAGUGGUUCAAUCGAAAGACACCAUUAUUUAUGCAUAUGAGUGUCAGAUUACUUGGUGACCUUUUAGAAAUCCAUUUUCUAAUUUUGAAAAUGGCGGGGGAUUGUUGGAAACUUUUCAAAAUUUGUAUGAUGUACAUACAUGUAAUUAAUGUAUAUUCAUUAAUUUUUGGUACAUGUAUAGUAUUGUGAAUGAUUCUAAAAUGUACAUUCAUUUAUGAAUGUAUUCAUGUAUAUGUGAAUUAUUGAAUGAAAGGAUAGAUUCAUGUUUUGAUCUAAUGAUCAUGAGAUGCAUGAAUUAAAGUGCAUGAAUGUGUACACAAUACUUUGAAUCUAUUCAUACACAAUACUUUGAAUCUAUUCAUACAAGUGUUUAAUGAGGUCUUUUGUUUCCCAAACAAAUCUUCCUAUAUAAAGAGGUCAAGUAGAGAGUGGUUUGCUGCAGAAAAUCACUUUCCUACUAUCCUUACUCUCUCAAAAGCACUCCUUAGUUCACAAAGGGUUUGUCUUGCUUUGUGCAAGAGUUUAAGACAAACAAAACUUCAUCUUAUCCUAAAGGAUAUUUGUCCAAGGUUAUUGCACUUUAUAUCGGACAAAUAAAGCCUAAAGGAAAGUGAUUUCUAUCACGAUUUGAAGCCAAUUCUGGUCACAAUAUUUGCCAAUUCUUUGCUUUUUACCCAACAAUCUUUAGGCUUUAUUUAUACUCUACAAUGGCUGGUACCUUGAAAGAUUUGGCAUCCAAUAUUGUCAAGCUCGAGAGGUUUGAUGGAGGGAAUUUCAUUCGUUGGCAAAAACGUGUUCGUUUCCUUCUCACUGCACUCAAAGUGGUCUAUGUUUUGACCACACCAAAACCAUUGAUCAAUCCCGAUGAAGAAACUCUUGAAGACAUCCGAAACCGUCAGAAAUGGGAGAACGACGAUGAAAUAUGCCGUGGUCACAUCCUCAAUACCAUGAGUGACAACCUGUUCGAUGUCUACCAUUCAAUUGCUACCGCCAAGGAACUUUGGGAUCGAUUGGAGUCCAAGUACAUGCAAGAAGAUGCUACAAGUAAGAAGUUUCUUGUCUCGUCUUUUAAUAAUUAUAAAAUGGUAGAUAAUAAGUCUGUUAUGGAGCAAUUUAGUGAGAUUGAAAGGCUUCUUAAUCACUUCACACAACACAAUCUACACAUGGAUGAAGCCAUUAUUGUUUGCUCUAUAAUAGAUAAGUUACCACCUUCUUGGAAAGAUUUCAAAAGAGACCUCAAACAUAAGAAAGAGGAUAUCUCUCUUGAGAUUCUUGCUAAAUCUCUUCGAGUAGAAGAGGAAAUUCGCAUGCAAGAAAAGAAGGAUAGUCAAAUCCUUGAAGAGAACAAAGAUUCUACUUCAAAAGUGCAUGUGAUUGAAGAGAGGCAAACUGAAAAGUCUCAAGGAAGCAAGAAGGGCCAACAACCCAAGAAUCAAUCCAAGAAAAGAAAGAAGGGACAAUGCUUCUAUUGCAAGAAAGAGGGACACUACAAGUCCGAGUGCAAGAUUCUUCAAAACAAGAAGAAGAAGCAAGAGUCUUCCCAAAACACAAGCAAAAAUCUUGUAGCAAUGAUAUCUGAAAUCAAUAUGAUUGAAGAUGAUUUUGCUUGGUGGGUUGAUUCUGGAGCUACGCGACACGUGUGCAACAAUAGAACGUUCUUCAAGUCCAUGAAACCGGUGGAUGAAAGCACCGUUGUUUACAUGGGAAAUUCUGCUACAAUUCCGGUUCAAGGCAUUGGAGAAGUAGAAUUAAAAUUUACUUCCGGAAAUGUUGUAACCUUGACAAAUGUGUUUUAUGUACCGGAAGUUAGGAAGAACUUGGUGUCGGCUGGGCUGUUAAAUAAAUUUGGCUUUAGACUUGUGUUUGAGUCUGACAAAUUUAUUUUGUCUAAAGGUGGUAUGUUUGUAGGCAAGGGUUAUCUUUGCAAUGGGAUGUUUAAGUUGAAUGUACUUGCUAUUAGAAAUAAUAAGAGUGAUAUUAUUUCUGCGUAUUUGGUUGAGUCUUCUUUUGAAUUGUGGCAUAAUAGGAUUGGUCAUGUUAAUUACAAAAGAAUGCAUGAAAUGAUGAGACUUGAUUUGCUGCCAUAUUGUGAUAAGAUUGAAGGAAAAUGCAAUACAUGCAUGCUAACGAAAAUCACAAGAAAUUCGUUUCCUAAAGUUGAAAGAUCAUCUAAAAUCUUGGAUCUUAUUCAUAGUGAUGUAUGUGAUUUGCAUGGUACUCCUACUUUGGGUGGUAAAAAGUACUUUGUGACUUUUAUUGAUGAUUAUAGUAGAUACUGUCAUGUUUUCUUAUUACACUCAAAAGGUGAAGCUUUGCAAAAAUUUAAGGCAUACAAAUCAGAAGUUGAACUUCAUUGUGAAUCCUUUAUCAAAUGUCUAAGGACAGAUAGAGGUGGGGAAUAUUAUGAUAUUACCUAUUUUGAGUCUGUUGGGAUAAAACAUGAGGUGACUGCUCCUUACACACCACAACAAAAUGGUGUAGCCGAAAGGAAAAAUCGUGUAUUGACAGAAAUGGUUAAUGCACUUUUGUCAAAAUCUGGUUUAAGUCAAGGAUUUUGGGGUGAAGCCUUGUUAACGGCUUGUCAUAUCCUAAAUAGAGUUCCUAAUAAAAGGAGUUCUAUAACCCCUUAUGAAUUUUGGAAUAAAAGGAAGCCCAACCUAAACUAUUUGAAAGUUUGGGGUUGUAGAGCUGUUGUAAAACUCCCAGAAUCUCAAAAAAGGAAAUUGGGAGAAAGAGGUGUGGAGUGUAUAUUCUUAGGAUAUGCACAAAAUAGCAAAGCAUAUAGGUUCAUGGUAAUUGAACCUAAUGAUUCAAUUUCGGUUAAUACCAUAAUUGAGUCUAGAGAUGCUAUUUUUGAAGAGAAUAGGUUCACCUCUAUAAAAGAUGUUAUUCCAAAAUCAAGUGAAUUGAUAAAAGAUGGUGAAAAUGAAACCAUUGAAUUGAGAAGGAGCAAAAGAGCUAGAAAGUCAAAAGACUUCGGUUCGGACUUUUAUAUGUAUCUAGUUGAAGGAACUAGAGAUACAGUGAGCAACCAAAUCUCAUAUUGCUUCAAUAUUGAGGCUGAUCCCAAGACCUAUGAAGAAGCAAUGAACUCACAAGAUGCUCCCUUUUGGAAGGAAGCUAUUAAUGAUGAGAUGGACUCAAUCAUGGGUAAUAAAACCUGGAAAUUAGUAGACUUACCACCUGGUUCAAAACCAAUUGGUUGUAAGUGGAUCUUCAAGAAGAAAAUGAAGAUCGACGGAACUAUUGAUAAGUUCAAGGCCAGGUUGGUUGCCAAAGGGUUCACACAAAAGUAUGGUGUGGACUAUUUUGACACAUAUUCACCAGUAGCUAGAAUUGCUACAAUUAGAGUGCUACUUGCUAUAGCUUCUAUCCAAAAUCUAGUCAUUCACCAAAUGGAUGUUAAAACAGCAUUCUUGAAUGGUGAUUUGGAUGAAGAAGUAUAUAUGGAGCAACCCGAAGGGUUUGUGAUACCUGGUCAAGAGCAUAAGGUGUGUAAACUUGUAAAGUCUUUAUAUGGACUAAAACAAGCACCGAAGCAAUGGCAUCAGAAAUUUGACCAAGUUAUUCUUGCUAGUGGGUUCAAAAUAAAUGAAUCUGAUAAAUGUAUUUAUAGCAAGUUUGAUGAUGGCAAAGGUGUCAUAAUUUGUUUAUAUGUUGAUGACAUGUUGAUUUUUGGGACUGACUUGGAACAAGUUGAAGUCACAAAAACUUUGCUUUCAAGCAAAUUUGACAUGAAAGACAUGGGUGAGGCAGAUGUCAUUCUUGGUAUGAGAAUCUUCAAACAUGAUAACAAUAUAAUGUUGUCUCAAACACAUUAUAUUGAAAAGAUUCUUAACAAAUUCAAUCAAAGUGAUUGUAUUCCAGUCUCAACACCAUUGGAUCCCAAAAUAAAUUUUGUGAAAAAUGAGGGGGAUCCAAAAUCUCAAAUGGAAUAUGCCAAGGUUAUAGGGUGUUUAAUGUAUGCAAUGACUUGUACUAGACCUGAUAUUGCAUAUGCAGUUGGUAUAUUGAGCAGAUAUACAAGCAAUCCUAGUAGGUUACAUUGGCAAGGUGUAACCAGAAUUUUAAAGUAUUUAAAGGCCACUAAGGACUAUGGUAUAUGUUAUACCGGUUAUCCUUCAGUUUUAGAAGGAUUUUCAGAUGCUAGUUGGAUCACCAAUAAAGAUGAUCACUCGUCGACAAGUGGUUGGAUCUUUAUGCUUGGUGGAGGUGCAAUUUCUUGGGGUUCUAAGAAACAGACUUGUAUCACCGAUUCAACAAUGGCAGCAGAGUUUGUAGCACUUGCUUCGGCCUGUAAAGAAGCUGAAUGGCUACGUAAUUUGCUUUGUGAUAUACAUUAUUGUGGCCAACACCUUUGUCGCCUAUCUCAAUCCAUUGUGAUAGUGCAGCUACACUUGCUAAAGCAUAUAGUCAAGUGUAUAAUGGUAAAUCAAGACAUAUCGGUUUGAGACAUAGUUAUGUCAAAGAUUUGAUUACAAAUGGAGUCAUAUCAAUUGACUUUGUGAGAUCAAAUGAAAAUUUAAGUGAUCCUUUGACAAAAGGAUUAUCAAGAAAUUUGGUGUCAAAGACAUCAAGGGGGAUGGGUUUAAAGUCCAAAAUUCUUGAUCACUAAUGGUGGAACCUCAAUUCAAUGCUAGAUACAACGUCUGGUCCUGAAUUCAAUGAGUGAAAGUACAUCAUUCUAGUGGUUGGUGCACUAUAUUAAGUUUAGUCAUCCCAAUGUUGAAUAGUGCAUGUUAUUCUCGCCAGUGCAAAUGUAAGGAUGAGUCAUUGGACUCUUAACGAAUCUUAAAAGUGCUAUCUAUGGCGGGGGCACUAAGAUGUCGCCUAUAUGAAUGUUGGUUUUCGGCAAACCACAAAGUUAAGGACUUUACUUUGUAAACAUUCAUGAAAGGAUAGUGAUACAAGGCCGUAAAAUGUAUCGUUGAAAAACUUAUGGUUGUGCAUUGCUCAGUGGGUGAUGUGUUUAUGAGGUUGGUCCAAUGUCCAAGUGGUUCAAAGCUUUUCUACCAUCUUGAAGGAUUGAUUUCAAAGAACCUUCACUAAGAUAGUGGUUCAAUCGAAAGACACCAUUAUUUAUGCAUAUGAGUGUCAGAUUAAUUGGUGACCUUUUUGAAAUCCAUUUUCUAAAUUUUGAAAAUGGCGGGGGAUUGUUGGAAACUUUUCAAAAUUUGUAUGAUGUACAUACAUGAAAUUAAUGUAUAUUCAUUGAUUUUUGGUACAUGUAGAGUAUUGUGAAUGGUUCUAAAAUGUACAUUCAUUUAUGAAUGUAUUCAUGUAUAUGGGAAUUAUUGAAUGAAAGGAUAGAUUCAUGUUUUGAUCUAAUGAUCAUGAGAUGCAUGAAUUAAAGUGCAUGAAUGUGUACACAAUACUUUGAAUCUAUUCAUACACAAUACUUUGAAUCUGGAGGUUUGAUGGAGGGAAUUUCAUUCGUUGGCAAAAACGUGUUCGUUUCCUUCUCACUGCACUCAAAGUGGUCUAUGUUUUGACAACACCAAAACCAUUGAUCAAUCCCGAUGAAGAAACUCUUGAAGACAUCCGAAACCGUCAGAAAUGGGAGAACGACGAUGAAAUAUGCCGUGGUCACAUCCUCAAUACCAUGAGUGACAACUUGUUCGAUGUCUACCAUUCAAUUGCUACCGCCAAGGAACUUUGGGAUCGAUUGGAGUCCAAGUACAUGCAAGAAGAUGCUACAAGUAAGAAGUUUCUUGUCUCGUCUUUUAAUAAUUAUAAAAUGGUAGAUAAUAAGUCUGUUAUGGAGCAAUUUAGUGAGAUUGAAAGGCUUCUUAAUCACUUCACACAACACAAUCUACACAUGGAUGAAGCCAUUAUUGUUUGCUCUAUAAUAGAUAAGUUACCACCUUCUUGGAAAGAUUUCAAAAGAGACCUCAAACAUAAGAAAGAGGAUAUCUUUCUUGAGAUUCUUGCUAAAUCUCUUCGAGUAGAAGAGGAAAUUCGCAUGCAAGAAAAGAAGGAUAGUCAAAUCCUUGAAAAGAACAAAGAUUCUACUUCAAAAGUGCAUGUGAUUGAAGAGAGGCAAACUGAAAAGUCUCAAGGAAGCAAGAAGGGCCAACAACCCAAGAAUCAAUCCAAGAAAAGAAAGAAGGGACAAUGCUUCUAUUGCAAGAAAGAGGGACACUACAAGUCCGAGUGCAAGAUUCUUCAAAACAAGAAGAAGAAGCAAGAGACUUCCCAAAACACAAGCAAAAAUCUUGUAGCAAUGAUAUCUGAAAUCAAUAUGAUUGAAGAUGAUUUUGCUUGGUGGGUUGAUUCUGGAGCUACGCGACAUGUGUGCAACAAUAGAACGUUCUUCAAGUCCACGAAACCGGUGGAUGAAAGCACCGUUGUUUACAUGGGAAAUUCUGCUACAAUUCCGGUUCAAGGCAUUGGAGAAGUAGAAUUAAAAUUUACUUCCGAAAAUGUUGUAACCUUGACAAAUGUGUUUUAUGUACCGGAAGUUAGGAAGAACUUGGUGUCGGCUGGGCUGUUAAAUAAAUUUGGCUUUAGACUUGUGUUUGAGUCUGACAAAUUUAUUUUGUCUAAAGGUGGUAUGUUUGUAGGCAAGGGUUAUCUUUGCAAUGGGAUGUUUAAGUUGAAUGUACUUGCUAUUAGAAAUAAUAAGAGUGAUAUUAUUUCUGCGUAUUUGGUUGAGUCUUCUUUUGAAUUGUGGCAUAAUAGGAUUGGUCAUGUUAAUUACAAAAGAAUGCAUGAAAUGAUGAGACUUGAUUUGCUGCCAUAUUGUGAUAAGAUUGAAGGAAAAUGCAAUACAUGCAUGCUAACGAAAAUCACAAGAAAUUCGUUUUCUAAAGUUGAAAGAUCAUCUAAAAUCUUGGAUCUUAUUCAUAGUGAUGUAUGUGAUUUGCAUGGUACUCCUACUUUGGGUGGUAAAAAGUACUUUGUGACUUUUAUUGAUGAUUAUAGUAGAUACUGUCAUGUUUUCUUGUUAUACUCAAAAGGUGAAGCUUUACAAAAAUUUAAGGCAUACAAAUCAGAAGUUGAACUUCAUUGUGAAUCCUUUAUCAAAUGUCUAAGGACAGAUAGAGGUGGGGAAUAUUAUGAUAUUACCUAUUUUGAGUCUGUUGGGAUAAAACAUGAGGUGACUGCUCCUUACACACCACAACAAAAUGGUGUAGUCGAAAGGAAAAAUCGUGUAUUGACAGAAAUGGUUAAUGCACUUUUGUCAAAAUCUGAUUUAAGUCAAGGAUUUUGGGGUGAAGCCUUGUUAACGGCUUGUCAUAUCCUAAAUAGAGUUCCUAAUAAAAGGAGUUCUAUAACCCCUUAUGAAUUUUGGAAUAAAAGGAAGCCCAACCUAAACUAUUUGAAAGUUUGGGGUUGUAGAGCUAUUGUAAAACUCCCAGAAUCUCAAAAAAGGAAAUUGGGAGAAAGAGGUGUGGAGUGUAUAUUCUUAGGAUAUGCACAAAAUAGCAAAGCAUAUAGGUUCAUGGUAAUUGAACCUAAUGAUUCAAUUUCGGUUAAUACCAUAAUUGAGUCUAGAGAUGCUAUUUUUGAAGAGAAUAGGUUCACCUCUAUAAAAGUUGUUAUUUCAAAAUCAAGUGAAUUGACAAAAGAUGGUGAAAAUGAAACCAUUGAAUUGAGAAGGAGCAAAAGAGCUAGAAAGUCAAAAGACUUCGGUUCGGACUUUUAUAUGUAUCUAGUUGAAGGAACUAGAGAUACAGUGAGCAACCAAAUCUCAUAUUGCUUCAAUAUUGAGGCUGAUCCCAAGACCUAUGAAGAAGCAAUGAACUCACAAGAUGCUCCCUUUUGGAAGGAAGCUAUUAAUGAUGAGAUGGACUCAAUCAUGGGUAAUAAAACCUGGAAAUUAGUAGACUUACCACCUGGUUCAAAACCAAUUGGUUGUAAGUGGAUCUUCAAGAAGAAAAUGAAGAUCGACGGAACUAUUGAUAAGUUCAAGGCCAGGUUGGUUGCCAAAGGGUUCACACAAAAGUAUGGUGUGGACUAUUUUGACACAUAUUCACCAGUAGCUAGAAUUGCUACAAUUAGAGUGCUACUUGCUAUAGCUUCUAUUCAAAAUCUAGUCAUUCACCAAAUGGAUGUUAAAACAGCAUUCUUGAAUGGUGAUUUGGAUGAAGAAGUAUAUAUGGAGCAACCCGAAGGGUUUGUGAUACCUGGUCAAGAGCAUAAGGUGUGUAAACUUAUAAAGUCUUUAUAUGGACUAAAACAAGCACCGAAGCAAUGGCAUCAGAAAUUUGACCAAGUUAUUCUUGCUAGUGGGUUCAAAAUAAAUGAAUCUGAUAAAUGUAUUUAUAGCAAGUUUGAUGAUGGCAAAGGUGUCAUAAUUUGUUUAUAUGUUGAUGACAUGUUGAUUUUUGGGACUGACUUGGAACAAGUUGAAGUCACAAAAACUUUGCUUUCAAGCAAAUUUGACAUGAAAGACAUGGGUGAGGCAGAUGUCAUUCUUGGUAUGAGAAUCUUCAAACAUGAUAACAAUAUAAUGUUGUCUCAAACACAUUAUAUUGAAAAGAUUCUUAACAAAUUCAAUCAAAGUGAUUGUAUUCCAGUCUCAACACCAUUGGAUCCCAAAAUAAAUUUUGUGAAAAAUGAGGGGGAUCCAAAAUCUCAAAUGGAAUAUGCCAAGGUUAUAGGGUGUUUAAUGUAUGCAAUGACUUGUACUAGACCUGAUAUUGCAUAUGCAGUUGGUAUAUUGAGCAGAUAUACAAGCAAUCCUGGUAGGUUACAUUGGCAAGGUGUAACCAGAAUUUUAAAGUAUUUAAAGGCCACUAAGGACUAUGGUAUAUGUUAUACCGGUUAUCCUUCAGUUUUAGAAGGAUUUUCAGAUGCUAGUUGGAUCACCAACUUAUGAAUUUUGGAAUAAAAGGAAGCCCAACCUAAACUAUUUGAAAGUUUGGGGUUGUAGAGCUGUUGUAAAACUCCCAGAACUCAAAAAAGGAAAUUGGGAGAAAGAGGUGUGGAGUGUAUAUUCUUAGGAUAUGCACAAAAUAGCAAAGCAUAUAGGUUCAUGGUAAUUGAACCUAAUGAUUCAAUUUCGGUUAAUACCAUAAUUGAGUCUAGAGAUGCUAUUUUUGAAGAGAAUAGGUUCACCUCUAUAAAAGAUGUUAUUCCAAAAUCAAGUGAAUUGACAAAAGAUGGUGAAAAUGAAACCAUUGAAUUGAGAAGGAGCAAAAGAGCUAGAAAGUCAAAAGACUUCGGUUCGGACUUUUAUAUGUAUCUAGUUGAAGGAACUAGAGAUACAGUGAGCAACCAAAUCUCAUAUUGCUUCAAUAUUGAGGCUGAUCCCAAGACCUAUGAAGAAGCAAUGAACUCACAAGAUGCUCCCUUUUGGAAGGAAGCUAUUAAUGAUGAGAUGGACUCAAUCAUGGGUAAUAAAACCUGGAAAUUAGUAGACUUACCACCUGGUUCAAAACCAAUUGGUUGUAAGUGGAUCUUCAAGAAGAAAAUGAAGAUCGACGGAACUAUUGAUAAGUUCAAGGCCAGGUUGGUUGCCAAAGGGUUCACACAAAAGUAUGGUGUGGACUAUUUUGACACAUAUUCACCAGUAGCUAGAAUUGCUACAAUUAGAGUGCUACUUGCUAUAGCUUCUAUCCAAAAUCUAGUCAUUCACCAAAUGGAUGUUAAAACAGCAUUCUUGAAUGGUGAUUUGGAUGAAGAAGUAUAUAUGGAGCAACCCGAAGGGUUUGUGAUACCUGGUCAAGAGCAUAAGGUGUGUAAACUUGUAAAGUCUUUAUAUGGACUAAAACAAGCACCGAAGCAAUGGCAUCAGAAAUUUGACCAAGUUAUUCUUGCUAGUGGGUUCAAAAUAAAUGAAUCUGAUAAAUGUAUUUAUAGCAAGUUUGAUGAUGGCAAAGGUGUCAUAAUUUGUUUAUAUGUUGAUGACAUGUUGAUUUUUGGGACUGACUUGGAACAAGUUGAAGUCACAAAAACUUUGCUUUCAAGCAAAUUUGACAUGAAAGACAUGGGUGAGGCAGAUGUCAUUCUUGGUAUGAGAAUCUUCAAACAUGAUAACAAUAUAAUGUUGUCUCAAACACAUUAUAUUGAAAAGAUUCUUAACAAAUUCAAUCAAAGUGAUUGUAUUCCAGCCUCAACACCAUUGGAUCCCAAAAUAAAUUUUGUGAAAAAUGAGGGGGAUCCAAAAUCUCAAAUGGAAUAUGCCAAGGUUAUAGGGUGUUUAAUGUAUGCAAUGACUUGUACUAGACCUGAUAUUGCAUAUGCAGUUGGUAUAUUGAGCAGAUAUACAAGCAACCUAGUAGGUUACAUUGGCAAGGUGUAACCAGAAUUUUAAAGUAUUUAAAGGCCACUAAGGACAAUUUAGUGAGAUUGAAAGGCUUCUUAAUCACUUCACACAACACAAUCUACACAUGGAUGAAGCCAUUAUUGUUUGCUCUAUAAUAGAUAAGUUACCACCUUCUUGGAAAGAUUUCAAAAGAGACCUCAAACAUAAGAAAGAGGAUAUCUCUCUUGAGAUUCUUGCUAAAUCUCUUCGAGUAGAAGAGGAAAUUCGCAUGCAAGAAAAGAAGGAUAGUCAAAUCCUUGAAGAGAACAAAGAUUCUACUUCAAAAGUGCAUGUGAUUGAAGAGAGACAAACUGAAAAGUCUCAAGGAAGCAAGAAGGGCCAACAACCCAAGAAUCAGUCCAAGAAAAGAAAGAAUGGACAAUGCUUCUAUUGUAAGAAAGAGGGACACUACAAGUCCGAGUGCAAGAUUCUUCAAAACAAGAAGAAGAAACAAGAGUCUUCCCAAACCACAAGCAAAAAUCUUGUAGCAAUGAUAUCUGAAAUCAAUAUGAUUGAAGAUGAUUUUGCUUGGUGGGUUGAUUCUGGAGCUACGCGACACGUGUGCAACAAUAGAACGUUCUUCAAAUCCAUGAAACCGGUGGAUGAAAACACCGUUGUUUACAUGGAAAAUUCUGCUACAAUUCCGGUUCAAAGCAUUGGAGAAGUAGAAUUAAAAUUUACUUCCGGGAAUGUUGUAACCUUGACAAAUGUGUUUUAUGUACCGGAAGUUAGGAAGAACUUGGUGUCGGUUGGGCUGUUAAAUAAAUUUGGCUUUAGACUUGUGUUUGAGUCUGACAAAUUUAUUUUGUCUAAAGGUGGUAUGUUUGUAGGCAAGGGUUAUCUUUGCAAUGGGAUGUUUAAGUUGAAUGUACUUGCUAUUAGAAAUAAUAAGAGUGAUAUUAUUUCUGCGUACUUGGUUGAGUCUUCUUUUGAAUUGUGGCAUAAUAGGAUUGGUCAUGUUAAUUACAAAAGAAUGCAUGAAAUGAUGAGACUUGAUUUGCUACCAUAUUGUGAUAAGAUUGAAGGAAAAUGCAAAACAUGCAUGCUAACGAAAAUCACAAGAAAUUCGUUUCCUAAAGUUGAAAGAUCAUCUAAAAUCUUGGAUCUCAUUCAUAGUGAUGUAUGUGAUUUGCAUGGUACUCCUACUUUGGGUGGUAAAAAGUACUUUGUGACUUUUAUUGAUGAUUAUAGUAGAUACUGUCAUGUUUUCUUGUUACACUCAAAAGGUGAAACUUUGCAAAAAUUUAAGGCAUACAAAUCAGAAGUUGAACUUCAUUGUGAAUCCUUUAUCAAAUGUCUAAGGACAGAUAGAGGUGGGGAAUAUUAUGAUAUUACCUAUUUUGAGUCUGUUGGGAUAAAACAUGAGGUGACUGCUCCUUACACACCACAACAAAAUGGUGUAGCCGAAAGGAAAAAUCGUGUAUUGACAGAAAUGGUUAAUGCACUUUUGUCAAAAUCUGGUUUAAGUCAAGGAUUUUGGGGUGAAGCCUUGUUAACGGCUUGUCAUAUCCUAAAUAGAGUUCCUAAUAAAAGGAGUUCUAUAACCCCUUAUGAAUUUUGGAAUAAAAGGAAGCCCAACCUAAACUAUUUGAAAGUUUGGGGUUGUAGAGCUGUUGUAAAACUCCCAGAAUCUCAAAAAAGGAAAUUGGGAGAAAGAGGUGUGGAGUGUAUAUUCUUAGGAUAUGCACAAAAUAGCAAAGCAUAUAGAUUCAUGGUAAUUGAACCUAAUGAUUCAAUUUCGGUUAAUACCAUAAUUGAGUCUAGAGAUGCUAUUUUUGAAGAGAAUAGGUUCACCUCUAUAAAAGAUGUUAUUCCAAAAUCAAGUGAAUUGACAAAAGAUGGUGUAUAUGAAACCAUUGAAUUGAGAAGGAGCAAAAGAGCUAGAAAGUCAAAAAACUUCGGUUCGGACUUUUAUAUGUAUCUAGUUGAAGGAACUAGAGAUACAGUGAGCAACCAAAUCUCAUAUUGCUUCAAUAUUGGGGCUGAUCCCAAGACCUAUGAAGAAGUAAUGAACUCACAAGAUGCUCCCUUUUGGAAGGAAGCUAUUAAUGAUGAGAUGGACUCAAUCAUGGGUAAUAAAACCUGGAAAUUAGUAGACUUACCACCUGGUUCAAAACCAAUUGGUUGUAAGUGGAUCUUCAAGAAGAAAAUGAAGAUCGACGGAACUAUUGAUAAGUUCAAGGCCAGGUUGGUUGCCAAAGGGUUCACACAAAAGUAUGGUGUGGACUAUUUUGACACAUAUUCACCAGUAGCUAGAAUUGCUACAAUUAGAGUGCUACUUGCUAUAGAUUCGAUCCAAAAUCUAGUCAUUCACCAAAUGGAUGUUAAAACAGCAUUCUUGAAUGGUGAUUUGGAUGAAGAAGUAUAUAUGGAGCAACCCGAAGGGUUUGUGAUGCCUGGUCAAGAGCAUAAGGUGUGUAAACUUGUAAAGUCUUUAUAUGGACUAAAACAAGCACCGAAGCAAUGGCAUCAGAAAUUUGACCAAGUUAUUCUUGCUAGUGGGUUCAAAAUAAAUGAAUCUGAUAAAUGUAUUUAUAGCAAGUUUGAUGAUGGCAAAGGUGUCAUAAUUUGUUUAUAUGUUGAUGACAUGUUGAUUUUUGGGACUGACUUGGAACAAGUUGAAGUCACAAAAACUUUGCUUUCAAGCAAAUUUGACAUGAAAGACAUGGGUGAGGCAGAUGUCAUUCUUGGUAUGAGAAUCUUCAAACAUGAUAACAAUAUAAUGUUGUCUCAAACACAUUAUAUUGAAAAGAUUCUUAACAAAUUCAAUCAAAGUGAUUGUAUUCCAGCCUCAACACCAUUGGAUCCCAAAAUAAAUUUUGUGAAAAAUGAGGGGGAUCCAAAAUCUCAAAUGGAAUAUGCCAAGGUUAUAGGGUGUUUAAUGUAUGCAAUGACUUGUACUAGACCUGAUAUUGCAUAUGCAGUUGGUAUAUUGAGCAGAUAUACAAGCAACCCUAGUAGGUUACAUUGGCAAGGUGUAACCAGAAUUUUAAAGUAUUUAAAGGCCACUAAGGACUAUGGUAUAUGUUAUACCGGUUAUCCUUCAGUUCUAGAAGGAUUUUCAGAUGCUAGUUGGAUCACCAAUAAAGAUGAUCACUCGUCGACAAGUGGUUGGAUCUUUAUGCUUGGUGGAGGUGCAAUUUCUUGGGGUUCUAAGAAACAGACUUGUAUCACCGAUUCAACAAUGGCAGCAGAGUUUGUAGCACUUGCUUCGGCCUGUAAAGAAGCUGAAUGGCUACGUAAUUUACUUUGUGAUAUACCAUUGUGGCCAACACCUUUGUCGCCUAUCUCAAUCCAUUGUGAUAGUGCAGCUACACUUGCUAAAGCUUAUAGUCAAGUGUAUAAUGGUAAAUCAAGACAUAUCGGUUUGAGACAUAGUUAUGUCAAAGAUUUGAUUACAAAUGGAGUCAUAUCAAUUGACUUUGUGAGAUCAAAUGAAAAUUUAAGUGAUCCUUUGACAAAAGGAUUAUCAAGAAAUUUGGUGUUAAAGACAUCAAGGGGGAUGGGUUUAAAGUCCAAAAUUCUUGAUCACUAAUGGUGGAACCUCAAUUCAACGCUAGAUACAACGUCUAGUCUUGAAUUCAAUGAGUGAAAGUACACCAUUCUAGUGGUUGGUGCACUAUGUGAAGUUUAGACAUCCCAAUGUUGAAUAGUGCAUGUUAUUCUCGCCAGUGCAAAUGUAAGGAUGAGUCAUUGGACUCUUAACGAAUCUUAAAAGUGCUAUCUAUGGCGGGGGCACUAAAAUGUCGCCUAUAUGAAUGUUGGUUUUCGGCAAACCACAAAGUUAAGGACUUUACUUUGUAAACAUUCAUGAAAGGAUAGUGAUACAAGGCCGUAAAAUGUAUCGUUGAAGAACUUAUGGUUGUGCAUUGCUCAGUGUGUGAUGUGUUUAUGAGGUUGGUCCAAUGUCCAAGUGGUUCAAAGCUUGUCUACCAUCUUGAAGGAUUGAUUUCAAAGAACCUUCACUAAGAUAGUGGUUCAAUCGAAAGACACCAUUAUUUAUGCAUAUGAGUGUCAGAUUACUUGGUGACCUUUUAGAAAUCCAUUUUCUAAUUUUGAAAAUGGCGGGGGAUUGUUGGAAACUUUUCAAAAUUUGUAUGAUGUACAUACAUGUAAUUAAUGUAUAUUCAUUAAUUUUUGGUACAUGUAUAGUAUUGUGAAUGAUUCUAAAAUGUACAUUCAUUUAUGAAUGUAUUCAUGUAUAUGGGAAUUAUUGAAUUAAAGGAUAGAUUCAUGUUUUGAUCUAAUGAUCAUGAGAUGCAUGAAUUAAAGUGCAUGAAUGUGUACACAAUACUUUGAAUCUAUUCAUACACAAUACUUUGAAUCUAUUCAUACAAGUGUUUAAUGAGGUCUUUUGUUUCCCAAACAAUCUUCCUAUAUAAAGAGGUCAAGUAGAGAGUGGUUUGCUGCAGAAAAUCACUUUCCUACUAUCCUUACUCUCUCAAAAGCACUCCUUAGUUCACAAAGGGUUUGUCUUGCUUUGUGCAAGAGUUUAAGACAAACAAAACUUCAUCUUAUCCUAAAGGAUAUUUGUCCAAGGUUAUUGCACUUUAUAUCGGACAAAUAAAGCCUAAAGGAAAGUGAUUUCUAUCACGAUUUGAAGCCAAUUCUUGUCACAAUAUUUGCCAAUUCUUUGCUUUUUUUUCCCAACAAUAUUGUUGGAAACUUUUCAAAAUUUGUAUGAUGUACAUACAUGAAAUUAAUGUAUAUUCAUUGAUUUUUGGUAUAUGUAUAGUAUUGUGAAUGUUCCUAAAAUGUACAUUCAUUUAUGAAUGUAUUCAUGUAUAUGGGAAUUAUUGAAUGAAAGGAUAGAUUCAUGUUUUGAUCUAAUGAUCAUGAGAUGCAUGAAUUAAAGUGCAUGAAUGUGUACACAAUACUUUGAAUCUGUUCAUACAAGUGUUUAAUGAGAUCUUUUGUUUCCCAAACAAUCAUCCUAUAUAAAGAGGUCAAGUAGAGAGUGGUUUGCUGCAGAAAAUCACUUUCCUACUAUCAUUACUCUCUCAAAAGCACUCCUUAGUUCACAAAGGGUUUGUCUUGCUUUGUGCAAGAGUUUAAGACAAACAAAACUUCAUCUUAUCCUAAAGGAUAUUUGUCCAAGGUUAUUGCACUUUAUAUCGGACAAAUAAAGCUUAAAAGAAAGUGAUUUCUAUCACGAUUUGAAGCCAAUUCUUGUCACAAUAUUUGCCAAAUUCUUUGCUUUUUACCCAACAAUCUUUAGGCUUUAUUUAUACUAUACAAUGGCCAUACCGAUGAAAGAUUUGGCAUCCAAUAUUGUCAAGCUCGAGAGGUUGAUGGAGGGAAUUUUCAUUCGUUGGCAAAACGUGUUCGUUUCCUUCUCACUGCACUCAAAGUGGUCUAUGUUUUGACCACACCAAAAUCAUUGAUCAAUCCCGAUGAAGAAACUCUUGAAGACAUCCGAAACCGUCAGAAAUGGGAGAACGACGAUGAAAUAUGCCGUGGUCACAUCCUCAAUACCAUGAGUGACAACCUGUUUCGAUGUCUACCAUUCAAUUGCUACCGCCAAGGAACUUUGGGAUCGAUUGGAGUCCAAGUACAUGCAAGAAGAUGCUACAAGUAAGAAGUUUCUUGUCUCGUCUUUUAUAAUUUAUAAAAUGGUUAGAUAAUAAGUCUGUUAUGGAGCAAUUUAGUGAGAUUGAAGGCUUCUGAAUCACUUCAACACACAAUCUACACAUGGAUGAAGCCAUUAUUGUUUGCUCUAUAAUAGAUAAGUUACCACCUUCUUGGAAAGAUUUCAAAAGAGACCUCAAACAUAAGAAAGAGGAUAUCUCUCUUGAGAUUCUUGCUAAAUCUCUUCGAGUAGAAGAGGAAAUUCGCAUGCAAGAAAAGGAUAGUCAAAUCCUUGAAGAGAACAAAGAUUCUACUUCAAAAGUGCAUGUGAUUGAAGAGAGGCAAACUGAAAAGUCUCAAGGAAGCAAGAAGGGCCAACAACCCAAGAAUCAAUCCAAGAAAAGAAAGAAGGGACAAUGCUUCUAUUGCAAGAAAGAGGGACACUACAAGUCCGAGUGCAAGAUUCUUCAAAACAAGAAAAAGAAGCAAGAGACUUCCCAAAACACAAGCAAAAAUCUUGUAGCAAUAAUAUCUGAAAUCAAUAUGAUUGAAGAUGAUUUUGCUUGGUGGGUUGAUUCUGGAGCUACGCGACAUGUGUGCAACAAUAGAACGUUCUUCAAGUCCAUGAAACCGGUGGAUGAAAGCACCGUUGUUUACAUGGGAAAUUCUGCUACAAUUCCGGUUCAAGGCAUUGGAGAAGUAGAAUUAAAAUUUACUUCCGAAAAUGUUGUAACCUUGACAAAUGUGUUUUAUGUACCGGAAGUUAGGAAGAACUUGGUGUCGGCUGGGCUGUUAAAUAAAUUUGGCUUUAGACUUGUGUUUGAGUCUGACAAAUUUAUUUUGUCUAAAGGUGGUAUGUUUGUAGGCAAGGGUUAUCUUUGCAAUGGGAUGUUUAAGUUGAAUGUACUUGCUAUUAGAAAUAAUAAGAGUGAUAUUAUUUCUGCGUAUUUGGUUGAGUCUUCUUUUGAAUUGUGGCAUAAUAGGAUUGGUCAUGUUAAUUACAAAAGAAUGCAUGAAAUGAUGAGACUUGAUUUGCUGCCAUAUUGUGAUAAGAUUGAAGGAAAAUGCAAUACAUGCAUGCUAACGAAAAUCACAAGAAAUUCGUUUUCUAAAGUUGAAAGAUCAUCUAAAAUCUUGGAUCUUAUUCAUAGUGAUGUAUGUGAUUUGCAUGGUACUCCUACUUUGGGUGGUAAAAAGUACUUUGUGACUUUUAUUGAUGAUUAUAGUAGAUACUGUCAUGUUUUCUUGUUAUACUCAAAAGGUGAAGCUUUACAAAAAUUUAAGGCAUACAAAUCAGAAGUUGAACUUCAUUGUGAAUCCUUUAUCAAAUGUCUAAGGACAGAUAGAGGUGGGGAAUAUUAUGAUAUUACCUAUUUUGAGUCUGUUGGGAUAAAACAUGAGGUGACUGCUCCUUACACACCACAACAAAAUGGUGUAGUCGAAAGGAAAAAUCGUGUAUUGACAGAAAUGGUUAAUGCACUUUUGUCAAAAUCUGAUUUAAGUCAAGGAUUUUGGGGUGAAGCCUUGUUAACGGCUUGUCAUAUCCUAAAUAGAGUUCCUAAUAAAAGGAGUUCUAUAACCCCUUAUGAAUUUUGGAAUAAAAGGAAGCCCAACCUAAACUAUUUGAAAGUUUGGGGUUGUAGAGCUAUUGUAAAACUCCCAGAAUCUCAAAAAAGGAAAUUGGGAGAAAGAGGUGUGGAGUGUAUAUUCUUAGGAUAUACACAAAAUAGCAAAGCAUAUAGGUUCAUGGUAAUUGAACCUAAUGAUUCAAUUUCGGUUAAUACCAUAAUUGAGUCUAGAGAUGCUAUUUUUGAAGAGAAUAGGUUCACCUCUAUAAAAGUUGUUAUUUCAAAAUCAAGUGAACUGGCAAAAGAUGGUGAAAAUGAAACCAUUGAAUUGAGAAGGUGCAAAAGAGCUAGAAAGUCAAAAGACUUCGGUUCGGACUUUUAUAUGUAUCUAGUUGAAGGAACUAGAGAUACAGUGAGCAACCAAAUCUCAUAUUGCUUCAAUAUUGAGGCUGAUCCCAAGACCUAUGAAGAAGCAAUGAACUCACAAGAUGCUCCCUUUUGGAAGGAAGCUAUUAAUGAUGAGAUGGACUCAAUCAUGGGUAAUAAAACCUGGAAAUUAGUAGACUUACCACCUGGUUCAAAACCAAUUGGUUGUAAGUGGAUCUUCAAGAAGAAAAUGAAGAUCGACGGAACUAUUGAUAAGUUCAACGCCAGGUUGGUUGCCAAAGGGUUCACACAAAAGUAUGGUGUGGACUAUUUUGACACAUAUUUACCAGUAGCUAGAAUUGCUACAAUUAGAGUGCUACUUGCUAUAGCUUCUAUUCAAAAUCUAGUCAUUCACCAAAUGGAUGUUAAAACAGCAUUCUUGAAUGGUGAUUUGGAUGAAGAAAUAUAUAUGGAGCAACCCGAAGGGUUUGUGAUACCUGGUCAAGAGCAUAAGGUGUGUAAACUUAUAAAGUCUUUAUAUGGACUAAAACAAGUACCGAAGCAAUGGCAUCAGAAAUUUGACCAAGUUAUUCUUGCUAGUGGGUUCAAAAUAAAUGAAUCUGAUAAUGUAUUUAUAGCAAGUUUGAUGAUGGCAAAGGUGUCAUAAUUUGUUUAUAUGUUGAUGACAUGUUGAUUUUUGGGACUGACUUGGAACAAGUUGAAGUCACAAAAACUUUGCUUUCAAGCAAAUUUGACAUGAAAGACAUGGGUGAGGCAGAUGUCAUUCUUGGUAUGAGAAUCUUCAAACAUGAUAACAAUAUAAUGUUGUCUCAAACACAUUAUAUUGAAAAGAUUCUUAACAAAUUCAAUCAAAGUGAUUGUAUUCCAGUCUCAACACCAUUGGAUCCCAAAAUAAAUUUUGUGAAAAAUGAGGGGGAUCCAAAAUCUCAAAUGGAAUAUGCCAAGGUUAUAGGGUGUUUAAUGUAUGCAAUGACUUGUACUAGACCUGAUAUUGCAUAUGCAGUUGGUAUAUUGAGCAGAUAUACAAGCAAUCCUGGUAGGUUACAUUGGCAAGGUGUAACCAGAAUUUUAAAGUAUUUAAAGGCCACUAAGGACUAUGGUAUAUGUUAUACCGGUUAUCCUUCAGUUUUAGAAGGAUUUUCAGAUGCUAGUUGGAUCACCAAUAAAGAUGAUCACUCGUCAACAAGUGGUUGGAUCUUUAUGCUUGGUGGUGGUGCAAUUUCUUGGGGUUCUAAGAAACAGACUUGUAUCACCGAUUCAACAAUGGCAGCAGAGUUUGUAGCACUUGCUUCGGCCUGUAAAGAAGCUGAAUGGCUACGUAAUUUGCUUUGUGAUAUACCAUUAUAGCCAACACCUUUGUCGCCUAUCUCAAUCCAUUGUGAUAGUGCAGCUACACUUGCUAAAGCAUAUAGUCAAGUGUAUAAUGGUAAAUCAAGACAUAUCGGUUUGAGACAUAAUUAUGUCAAAGAUUUGAUUACAAAUGGAGUCAUAUCAAUUGACUUUGUGAGAUCAAAUGAAAAUUUAAGUGAUCCUUUGACAAAAGGAUUAUCAAGAAAUUUGGUGUCAAAGACAUCAAGGGGGAUGGGUUUAAAGUCCAAAAUUCUUGAUCACUAAUAGUGGAACCUCAAUUCAAUGCUAGAUACAACGUCUGGUCCUGAAUUCAAUGAGUGAAAGUACAUCAUUCUAGUGGUUGGUGCACUAUAUUAAGUUUAGUCAUCCCAAUGUUGAAUAGUGCAUGUUAUUCUCGCCAGUGCAAAUGUAAGGAUGAGUCAUUGGACUCUUAACGAAUCUUAAAAGUGCUAUCUAUGGCGGGGGCACUAAGAUGUCGCCUAUAUGAAUGUUGGUUUUCGGCAAACCACAAAGUUAAGGACUUUACUUUGUAAACAUUCAUGAAAGGAUAGUGAUACAAGGCCGUAAAAUGUAUCGUUGAAGAACUUAUGGUUGUGCAUUGCUCAGUGUGUGAUGUGUUUAUGAGGUUGGUCCAAUGUCCAAGUGGUUCAAAGCUUGUCUACCAUCUUGAAGGAUUGAUUUCAAAGAACCUUCACUAAGAUAGUGGUUCAAUCGAAAGACACCAUUAUUUAUGCAUAUGAGUGUCAGAUUACUUGGUGACCUUUUAGAAAUCCAUUUUCUAAAUUUUGAAAAUGGCGGGGGAUUGUUGGAAACUUUUCAAAAUUUGUAUGAUGUACAUACAUGAAAUUAAUGUAUAUUCAUUGAUUUUUGGUAUAUGUAUAGUAUUGUGAAUGUUCCUAAAAUGUACAUUCAUUUAUGAAUGUAUUCAUGUAUAUGGGAAUUAUUGAAUGAAAGGAUAGAUUCAUGUUUUGAUCUAAUGAUCAUAAGAUGCAUGAAUUAAAGUGCAUGAAUGUGUACACAAUACUUUGAAUCUGUUCAUACAAGUGUUUAAUGAGAUCUUUUGUUUCCCAAACAAUCUUCCUAUAUAAAGAGGUCAAGUAGAGAGUGGUUUGCUGCAGAAAAUCACUUUCCUACUAUCCUUACUCUCUCAAAAGCACUCCUUAGUUCACAAAGGGUUUGUCUUGCUUUGUGCAAGAGUAUAAGACAAACAAAACUUCAUCUUAUCCUGAAGGAUAUUUGUCCAAGGUUAUUGCACUUUAUAUCGGACAAAUAAAGCCUAAAGGAAAGUGAUUUCUAUCACGAUUUGAAGCCAAUUCUUGUCACAAUAUUUGCCAAUUCUUUGCUUUUUACCCAACAAUCUUUAGGCUUUAUUUAUACUCUACAAUUCUGGUACCUUGAAAGAUUUGGCAUCCAAUAUUGUCAAGCUCGAGAGGUUUGAUGGAGGGAAUUUCAUUCGUUGGCAAAAACGUGUUCGUUUCCUUCUCACUGCAUUCGAAGUGGUCUAUGUUUUGACCACACCAAAACCAUUGAUCAAUCCCGAUGAAGAAACUCUUGAAGACAUCCGAAACCGUCAGAAAUGGGAGAACGACGAUGAAAUAUGUCGUGGUCACAUCCUCAAUACCAUGAGUGACAACCUGUUCGAUGUCUACCAUUCAAUUGCUACUGCCAAGGAACUUUGGGAUAGAUUGGAGUCCAAGUACAUGCAAGAAGAUGCUACAAGUAAGAAGUUUCUUGUCUCGUCUUUUAAUAAUUAUAAAAUGGUAGAUAAUAAAUCUGUUAUGGAGCAUUUUAGUGAGAUUGAAAGGCUUCUUAAUCACUUCACACAACACAAUCUACACAUGGAUAAAGCCAUUAUUGUUUGCUCUAUAAUAGAUAAGUUACCACCUUCUUGGAAAGAUUUCAAAAGAGACCUCAAACAUAAGAAAGAGGAUAUCUCUCUUGAGAUUCUUGCUAAAUCUCUUCGAGUAGAAGAGGAAACUCGCAUGCAAGAAAAGAAGGAUAGUCAAAUCCUUGAAGAGAACAAAAAUUCUACUUCAAAGGUGCAUGUGAUUGAAGAGAGACAAACUGAAAAGUCUCAAGGAAGCAAGAAGGGCCAACAACCCAAGAAUCAAUCCAAGAAAAGAAAGAAGGGACAAUGCUUCUAUUGCAAGAAAGAGGGACACUACAAGUUCGAGUGGAAGAUUCUUCAAAACAAGAAGAAGAAGCAAGACAAUACUAUACAUGUACCAAAAAUCAAUGAAUAUACAUUAAUUUCAUGUAUGUACAUCAUACAAAUUUUGAAAAGUUUCCAACAAUUCCCCGACACUUUCAAAAUUUAGAAAAUAGAUUUCAAAAAGGUCACCAAUUAAUCUGACACUCAUAUGCAUAAAUAAUGGUGUCUUUCGAUUGAACCACUAUCUUAGUGAAGGUUCUUUGAAAUCAAUCCUUCAAGAUGGUAGACAAGCUUUGAACCAUUUGGACAUUGGACCAACCUCAUAAACCCAUCACACACUGAGCAAUGCACAACCAUAAAUUCUUCAACGAUACAUUUUACGGCCUUGUAUCACUAUCCUUUCAUGAAUGUUUACAAAGUAAAGUCCUUAACUUUGUGGUUUGCCGAAAACCAAUAAUUCCCAUAUACAUGAAUACAUUCAUAAAUGAAUGUACAUUUUAGAAACAUUCACAAUACUAUACAUGUACCAAAAAUUAAUGAAUUUACAUUAAUUACAUGUAUGUACAUCAUACAAAUUUUGAAAAGUUUCCAACAAUCCCCCGCCAUUUUCAAAAUUAGAAAAUGAAUUUCUAAAAGGUCACCAAGUAAUCUGACACUCAUAUGCAUAAAUAAUGGUGUCUUUCGAUUGAACCACUAUUUUAGUGAAGGUUCUUUGAAAUCAAUCCUUCAAGAUGGUAGACAAGUUUUGAACCACUUGGACAUUGGACCAAUCUCAUAAACACAUCACACACUGAGCAUUUGUCCGAUAUAAAGUGCAAUACCUUGGACAAAUAUCCUUCAGGAUAAGAUGAAGUUUUGUUUGUCUUAUACUCUUGCACAAAGCAAGACAAACCCUUUGUGAACUAAGGAGUGCUUUUGAGAGAGUAAGGAUAGUAGGAAAGUGAUUUUCUGCAGCAAACCACUCUCUACUUGACCUCUUUAUAUAGGAAGAUUGUUUGGGAAACAAAAGAUCUCAUUAAACACUUGUAUGAACAGAUUCAAAGUAUUGUGUACACAUUCAUGCACUUUAAUUCAUGCAUCUCAUGAUCAUUAGAUCAAAACAUGAAUCUAUCCUUUCAUUCAAUAAUUCCCAUAUACAUGAAUACAUUCAUAAAUGAAUGUACAUUUUAGGAACAUUCACAAUACUAUACAUAUACCAAAAAUCAAUAAAUAUACAUUAAUUUCAUGUAUGUACAUCAUACAAAUUUUGAAAAGUUUCCAACAAUCCCCCGCCAUUUUCAAAAUUUAGAAAAUGGAUUUCUAAAAUGAAUGUAUUCAUGUAUAUGGGAAUUAUUGAAUGAAAGGAUAGAUUCAUGUUUUGAUCUAAUGAUCAUGAGAUGCAUGAAUUAAAGUGCAUGAAUGUGUACACAAUACUUUGAAUCUAUUCAUACACAAUACUUUGAAUCUGUUCAUACAAGUGUUUAAUGAAAUCCUUUGUUUCCCAAACAAUCAUCCUAUAUAAAGAGGUCAAGUAGAGAGUGGUUUGCUGCAGAAAAUCACUUUCCUACUAUCAUUACUCUCUCAAAAGCACUCCUUAGUUCACAAAGGGUUUGUCUUGCUUUGUGCAAGAGUUUAAGACAAACAAAACUUCAUCUUAUCCUAAAGGAUAUUUGUCCAAGGUUAUUGCACUUUAUAUCGGACAAAUAAAGCUUAAAAGAAAGUGAUUUCUAUCACGAUUUGAAGCCAAUUCUUGUCACAAUAUUUGCCAAUUCUUUGUUUUUUACCCAACAAUCUUUAGGCUUUAUUUAUACUCUACAAUGGCCGGUACCUUGAAAGAUUUGGCAUCCAAUAUUGUCAAGCUCGAGAGGUUUGAUGGAGGGAAUUUCAUUCGUUGGCAAAAACGUGUUCGUUUCCUUCUCACUGCACUCAAAGUGGUCUAUGUUUUGACCACACCAAAACCAUUGAUCAAUCCCGAUGAAGAAACUCUUGAAGACAUCCGAAACCGUCAGAAAUGGGAGAACGACGAUGAAAUAUGCCGUGGUCACAUCCUCAAUACCAUGAGUGACAACCUGUUCGAUGUCUACCAUUCAAUUGCUACCGCCAAGGAACUUUGGGAUCGAUUGGAGUCCAAGUACAUGCAAGAAGAUGCUACAAGUAAGAAGUUUCUUGUCUCGUCUUUUAAUAAUUAUAAAAUGGUAGAUAAUAAGUCUGUUAUGGAGCAAUUUAGUGAGAUUGAAAGGCUUCUUAAUCACUUCACACAACACAAUCUACACAUGGAUGAAGCCAUUAUUGUUUGCUCUAUAAUAGAUAAGUUACCACCUUCUUGGAAAGAUUUCAAAAGAGACCUCAAACAUAAGAAAGAGGAUAUCUCUCUUGAGAUUCUUGCUAAAUCUCUUCGAGUAGAAGAGGAAAUUCGCAUGCAAGAAAAGAAGGAUAGUCAAAUCCUUGAAGAGAACAAAGAUUCUACUUCAAAAGUGCAUGUGAUUGAAGAGAGGCAAACUGAAAAGUCUCAAGGAAGCAAGAAGGGCCAACAACCCAAGAAUCAAUCCAAGAAAAGAAAGAAGGGACAAUGCUUCUAUUGCAAGAAAGAGGGACACUACAAGUCCGAGUGCAAGAUUCUUCAAAACAAGAAGAAGAAGCAAGAGUCUUCCCAAAACACAAGCAAAAAUCUUGUAGCAAUGAUAUCUGAAAUCAAUAUGAUUGAAGAUGAUUUUGCUUGGUGGGUUGAUUCUGGAGCUACGCGACACGUGUGCAACAAUAGAACGUUCUUCAAGUCCAUGAAACCGGUGGAUGAAAGCACCGUUGUUUACAUGGGAAAUUCUGCUACAAUUCCGGUUCAAGGCAUUGGAGAAGUAGAAUUAAAAUUUACUUCCGGAAAUGUUGUAACCUUGACAAAUGUGUUUUAUGUACCGGAAGUUAGGAAGAACUUGGUGUCGGCUGGGCUGUUAAAUAAAUUUGGCUUUAGACUUGUGUUUGAGUCUGACAAAUUUAUUUUGUCUAAAGGUGGUAUGUUUGUAGGCAAGGGUUAUCUUUGCAAUGGGAUGUUUAAGUUGAAUGUACUUGCUAUUAGAAAUAAUAAGAGUGAUAUUAUUUCUGCGUAUUUGGUUGAGUCUUCUUUUGAAUUGUGGCAUAAUAGGAUUGGUCAUGUUAAUUACAAAAGAAUGCAUGAAAUGAUGAGACUUGAUUUGCUGCCAUAUUGUGAUAAGAUUGAAGGAAAAUGCAAUACAUGCAUGCUAACGAAAAUCACAAGAAAUUCGUUUCCUAAAGUUGAAAGAUCAUCUAAAAUCUUGGAUCUUAUUCAUAGUGAUGUAUGUGAUUUGCAUGGUACUCCUACUUUGGGUGGUAAAAAGUACUUUGUGACUUUUAUUGAUGAUUAUAGUAGAUACUGUCAUGUUUUCUUGUUACACUCAAAAGGUGAAGCUUUGCAAAAAUUUAAGGCAUACAAAUCAGAAGUUGAACUUCAUUGUGAAUCCUUUAUCAAAUGUCUAAGGACAGAUAGAGGUGGGGAAUAUUAUGAUAUUACCUAUUUUGAGUCUGUUGGGAUAAAACAUGAGGUGACUGCUCCUUACACACCACAACAAAAUGGUGUAGCCGAAAGGAAAAAUCGUGUAUUGACAGAAAUGGUUAAUGCACUUUUGUCAAAAUCUGGUUUAAGUCAAGGAUUUUGGGGUGAAGCCUUGUUAACGGCUUGUCAUAUCCUAAAUAGAGUUCCUAAUAAAAGGAGUUCUAUAACCCCUUAUGAAUUUUGGAAUAAAAGGAAGCCCAACCUAAACUAUUUGAAAGUUUGGGGUUGUAGAGCUGUUGUAAAACUCCCAGAACCUCAAAAAAGGAAAUUGGGAGAAAGAGGUGUGGAGUGUAUAUUCUUAGGAUAUGCACAAAAUAGCAAAGCAUAUAGGUUCAUGGUAAUUGAACCUAAUGAUUCAAUUUCGGUUAAUACCAUAAUUGAGUCUAGAGAUGCUAUUUUUGAAGAGAAUAGGUUCACCUCUAUAAAAGAUGUUAUUCCAAAAUCAAGUGAAUUGACAAAAGAUGGUGAAAAUGAAACCAUUGAAUUGAGAAGGAGCAAAAGAGCUAGAAAGUCAAAAGACUUCGGUUCGGACUUUUAUAUGUAUCUAGUUGAAGGAACUAGAGAUACAGUGAGCAACCAAAUCUCAUAUUGCUUCAAUAUUGAGGCUGAUCCCAAGACCUAUGAAGAAGCAAUGAACUCACAAGAUGCUCCCUUUUGGAAGGAAGCUAUUAAUGAUGAGAUGGACUCAAUCAUGGGUAAUAAAACCUGGAAAUUAGUAGACUUACCACCUGGUUCAAAACCAAUUGGUUGUAAGUGGAUCUUCAAGAAGAAAAUGAAGAUCGACGGAACUAUUGAUAAGUUCAAGGCCAGGUUGGUUGCCAAAGGGUUCACACAAAAGUAUGGUGUGGACUAUUUUGACACAUAUUCACCAGUAGCUAGAAUUGCUACAAUUAGAGUGCUACUUGCUAUAGCUUCUAUCCAAAAUCUAGUCAUUCACCAAAUGGAUGUUAAAACAGCAUUCUUGAAUGGUGAUUUGGAUGAAGAAGUAUAUAUGGAGCAACCCGAAGGGUUUGUGAUACCUGGUCAAGAGCAUAAGGUGUGUAAACUUGUAAAGUCUUUAUAUGGACUAAAACAAGCACCGAAGCAAUGGCAUCAGAAAUUUGACCAAGUUAUUCUUGCUAGUGGGUUCAAAAUAAAUGAAUCUGAUAAAUGUAUUUAUAGCAAGUUUGAUGAUGGCAAAGGUGUCAUAAUUUGUUUAUAUGUUGAUGACAUGUUGAUUUUUGGGACUGACUUGGAACAAGUUGAAGUCACAAAAACUUUGCUUUCAAGCAAAUUUGACAUGAAAGACAUGGGUGAGGCAGAUGUCAUUCUUGGUAUGAGAAUCUUCAAACAUGAUAACAAUAUAAUGUUGUCUCAAACACAUUAUAUUGAAAAGAUUCUUAACAAAUUCAAUCAAAGUGAUUGUAUUCCAGCCUCAACACCAUUGGAUCCCAAAAUAAAUUUUGUGAAAAAUGAGGGGGAUCCAAAAUCUCAAAUGGAAUAUGCCAAGGUUAUAGGGUGUUUAAUGUAUGCAAUGACUUGUACUAGACCUGAUAUUGCAUAUGCAGUUGGUAUAUUGAGCAGAUAUACAAGCAAUCCUAGUAGGUUACAUUGGCAAGGUGUAACCAGAAUUUUAAAGUAUUUAAAGGCCACUAAGGACUAUGGUAUAUGUUAUACCGGUUAUCCUUCAGUUUUAGAAGGAUUUUCAGAUGCUAGUUGGAUCACCAAUAAAGAUGAUCACUCGUCGACAAGUGGUUGGAUCUUUAUGCUUGGUGGAGGUGCAAUUUCUUGGGGUUCUAAGAAACAGACUUGUAUCACCGAUUCAACAAUGGCAGCAGAGUUUGUAGCACUUGCUUCGGCCUGUAAAGAAGCUGAAUGGCUACGUAAUUUACUUUGUGAUAUACCAUUGUGGCCAACACCUUUGUCGCCUAUCUCAAUCCAUUGUGAUAGUGCAGCUACACUUGCUAAAGCAUAUAGUCAAGUGUAUAAUGGUAAAUCAAGACAUAUCGGUUUGAGACAUAGUUAUGUCAAAGAUUUGAUUACAAAUGGAGUCAUAUCAAUUGACUUUGUGAGAUCAAAUGAAAAUUUAAGUGAUCCUUUGACAAAAGGAUUAUCAAGAAAUUUGGUGUCAAAGACAUCAAGGGGGAUGGGUUUAAAGUCCAAAAUUCUUGAUCACUAAUGGUGGAACCUCAAUUCAACGCUAGAUACAACGUCUGGUCCUGAAUUCAAUGAGUGAAAGUACAUCAUUCUAGUGGUUGGUGCACUAUGUGAAGUUUAGUCAUCCCAAUGUUGAAUAGUGCAUGUUAUUCUCGCCAGUGCAAAUGUAAGGAUGAGUCAUUGGACUCUUAACGAAUCUUAAAAGUGCUAUCUAUGGCGGGGGCACUAAGAUGUCGCCUAUAUGAAUGUUGGUUUUCGGCAAACCACAAAGUUAAGGACUUUACUUUGUAAACAUUCAUGAAAGGAUAGUGAUACAAGGCCGUAAAAUGUAUCGUUGAAGAACUUAUGGUUGUGCAUUGCUCAGUGUGUGAUGUGUUUAUGAGGUUGGUCCAAUGUCCAAGUGGUUCAAAGCUUGUCUACCAUCUUGAAGGAUUGAUUUCAAAGAACCUUCACUAAGAUAGUGGUUCAAUCGAAAGACACCAUUAUUUAUGCAUAUGAGUGUCAGAUUACUUGGUGACCUUUUAGAAAUCCAUUUUCUAAAUUUUGAAAAUGGCGGGGGAUUGUUGGAAACUUUUCAAAAUUUGUAUGAUGUACAUACAUGAAAUUAAUGUAUAUUCAUUGAUUUUUGGUAUAUGUAUAGUAUUGUGAAUGUUCCUAAAAUGUACAUUCAUUUAUGAAUGUAUUCAUGUAUAUGGGAAUUAUUGAAUGAAAGGAUAGAUUCAUGUUUUGAUCUAAUGAUCAUGAGAUGCAUGAAUUAAAGUGCAUGAAUGUGUACACAAUACUUUGAAUCUGUUCAUACAAGUGUUUAAUGAGAUCUUUUGUUUCCCAAACAAUCAUCCUAUAUAAAGAGGUCAAGUAGAGAGUGGUUUGCUGCAGAAAAUCACUUUCCUACUAUCAUUACUCUCUCAAAAGCACUCCUUAGUUCACAAAGGGUUUGUCUUGCUUUGUGCAAGAGUUUAAGACAAACAAAACUUCAUCUUAUCCUAAAGGAUAUUUGUCCAAGGUUAUUGCACUUUAUAUCGGACAAAUAAAGCUUAAAAGAAAGUGAUUUCUAUCACGAUUUGAAGCCAAUUCUUGUCACAAUAUUUGCCAAUGUGUACACAAUACUUUGAAUCUGUUCAUACAAGUGUUUAAUGAGAUCUUUUGUUUCCCAAACAAUCUUCCUAUAUAAAGAGGUCAAGUAGAGAGUGGUUUGCUGCAGAAAAUCACUUUCCUACUAUCCAUUACUCUCUCAAAAGCACUCCUUAGUUCACAAAGGGUUUGUCUUGCUUUGUGCAAGAGUUUAAGACAAACAAAACUUUAUCUUAUCCUGAAGGAUAUUUGUCCAAGGUAUUGCACUUUAUAUCGGACAAAUAAAGCCUAAAGGAAAGUAUAUGGGAAUUAUUGAAUGAAAGGAUAGAUUCAUGUUUUGAUCUAAUGAUCAUGAGAUGCAUGAAUUAAAGUGCAUGAAUGUGUACACAAUAAUUUGAAUAUGUUCAUACAAGUGUUUAAUGAGAUCUUUUGUUUCCCAAACAAUCUUCCUAUAUAAAGAGGUCAAGUAGAGAGUGGUUUGCUGUAGAAAAUCACUUUCCUACUAUCCUUACUCUCUCAAAAGCACUCCUUAGUUCACAAAGGGUUUGUCUUGCUUUGUGCAAGAGUAUAAGACAAACAAAACUUCAUCUUAUCCUGAAGGAUAUUUGUCCAAGGUAUUGCACUUUAUAUCGGACAAAUAAAGCCUAAAGGAAAGUAUAUGGGAAUUAUUGAAUGAAAGGAAGCAAAGAAUUGGCAAAUAUUGUGACAAGAAUUGGCUUCAAAUCGUGAUAGAAAUCACUUUCCUUUAGGCUUUAUUUGUCCGAUAUAAAGUGCAAUAACCUUGGACAAAUAUCCUUUAGGAUAAGAUGAAGUUUUGUUUGUCUUAAACUCUUGCACAAAGCAAGACAAACCCUUUGUGAACUAAGGAGUGCUUUUGAGAGAGUAAUGAUAGUAGGAAAGUGAUUUUCUGCAGCAAACCACUCUCUACUUGACCUCUUUAUAUAGGAAGAUUGUUUGGGAAACAAAGGAUCUCAUUAAACACUUGUAUGAACAGAUUCAAAGUAUUGUGUAUGAAUAGAUUCAAAGUAUUGUGUACACAUUCAUGCACUUUAAUUCAUGCAUCUCAUGAUCAUUAGAUCAAAACAUGAAUCUAUCCUUUCAUUCAAUAAUUCCCAUAUACAUGAAUACAUUCAUAUUUUGAAGCAGAGCAUCUUGAUAGGAGGGAUUACUAUGAAGCAUAUAACGGGUGAUAAGCAUGGUUCAAAGUCAUGGUCGCGGCUCGGACCGUUCCACAUCAGUCUCGGCAUAUCGGUCACGGUCACGGUCUCGGUGAGAUGCAAAUUUUGAAGUAUUUAAUAUUCUAAAAAUUAUAAACAAUAUUCAAAAAUAUGCUAAACAAAAAUAAUUAAAAAAUUAGUAAAAUAAAAUCUGUAAAAUAUAAAUUUGCAAGCUGACUCGGGCAGAUCCGGCCGAGACUAUCCGUAUCAGAGACUUCUCAAUCGAGUUCUCGACGAGUCAAAUAUCUCGGAAUCAUCUCGUCUUGGUAUCAUAUCGGAGGGGUCGUUUCACUAACGACUCGGCCGAGUCGUCUCGGUCUCAGCUGAGACUUUGAACCAUGCUUGUGGGUGAUAAGUGGUAUAGAUGGGUUGCCUGUGCUGAUGAUUAUCAUUCAUCGGAAUUAAUUGGAGAAUAUCUUCAAGAGAAGGCAGAUUUGAAGACUAUUGCUGAUAUUAAAGCAGAAGUGAAGCAAAUAACUUCACGGCUUAUUGACAAUCUUACCAAGGAAAUACAAGAUAACAGCAGGUCCCUCAGGGUUUGUGAGCGUAAAUACAAUGAAAGUAUUAUACUGUCAUUCGAUUUGAUGACUUGAAAGGAUGAGAUGGAUCGAUUCCAUAAUGAAGGUGUGUACUCAUUCCUCACAUCCAGAGAAUGAUAUCUUUAGUUGUUAAAUGAUUUGAUGCAGUGUUUUUUGCUUUCACUCUUUUCACAAGUGACAAUAUCUGCAUUGAUUUUCCCUCACUUCUUCCAUUUCACAUGAAUCAGAGAUAGAAAGAUGCUGGAUAGCAUGCCAAUCAGUUGAAAAGGUAUCUUCAGAGGAUGCAGCUAGAGGCAUGGAAACAAAAGCUGAUUGAGCGUAAGAAAGAAUUGGAGAAAUGGGAGGCUCAGAAUGAAAUAGAGAGGCAAAAACUUGAACUACAGAACAAAGUGGUACAUAUCUGAACAUACCAUUGAACGUAUGCAAUACUAGAAUAUGGAACUGCAAGCAGAAAAAGAGAGCAACAAUCAACAGAGGAAUAGCAUUCCAGCAGUUGAAAUAUAAACCACUCAAAUCAAAAGCUAAAAGAUUUCGCAACCUAAUGAAAUUGUUAGCCUUGUUUUGUUGUUUGAUAGAUGAAACUUGAUACUCCUGUACCCUUCAUCUUUUGAGUUAUUCAACAAGGAUAUAUGUUAUGUUCCAGUUGCUGAACAGUUUCUGUAGUUAAGCGGUUCCCAUAUCUAUGAACUUCUGUCAAAACUGGUAAUCAAUUUAGAAAACAGAUAUUUGUCUGCUGUGUCAUGAUAUGCGACUAAACUAGCUGGAAAAUGUGAAGAGAGCUGCACGUUUGUUCAAUAACUACUUGUAAAACUGAAAGAGUCUCCUAUAUGUUUUAGGUCAUUUGUAAUUCACACAAGCUGAAGUCCUUUGAGACGUGAUUGGACCAUUGUCUCCUCGAUUCUUGAUUUACUGACUAGCAAAUCAUUGGUAAAGCUGCUGCAGCAAGUCUAUAAUCUUAAAUUACCUGAGACAACUUCAUUUUAACACUUACACUUUUUAGUUGAAGUCUUCGUAGUAGAUGUUGUCAAAGAAUAAACAAGAUUUGUUCAUUCAGACUGAUUGACGAAUUUAAUCCUUUAAUAUGCCCCAAGCUUGCAUCAAAACUAUGUUAGACAAGUUUGCCUUAAUACAGUCGUAAAUUUCUCCUCUGAUGGAAUGCUGAUCUCAUAUUAAACUAAAGCACAUUAUAUGGUUGAUCAAAUACAACUCAAGUCUUGACAUUUAACUCAUUAUAAUCUCGCCUUGGAAUAGAUUAAGAAGAUAUUAAAUGCCUUUCACUUCCUUGUACCGGAUCAAAUCCUCAAUAUUCCACCUUCACUCCAAAAAGCCAACAGGAUCAAGUUCUUGGUGAGGGAUCAAUUGUGAUGUGACAACAGUCUUAAAAACAGAACCAGGUGGUGGAAGUUUACAUUGUUAGUUUGCAGAUGACGGAAAUGCUAUAAUCUGCUGGUCCUUGAAAGACUUCCCAUGUCUUUGGCUUUCUGGCGGAGAACAAAUUUUUGUAUUUUUCCUGUUGAAGUUUUUGGCAAUUCCCCAAAAACAACAGUUCGUGGAGCCAUAUAAUGUGGCAAAUGAUCACGGCAAUACUUGAUAAUUUCAUCUGCAUUUGCAUUACAAUCAUCCUUCAAUUUGACAAAUGCACAAGGUGUUUCACCCCAAUAAUCAUCUGGUCUUCCAACAACUGCAGCUUCCAGAACUGCGGGAUGGCUAUAAAUCACUGAUUCCACCUCAAUCGAGCUAAUAUUCUCCCCUCCUGAGAUGAUAAUGUCUUUGGAUCGAUCUUUUAAUUCUAUGUAUCCAUCAGGGUGUCUCACCCCCACGUCCCCACUUCGAAACCAUCCACCUUUAAAAGCAUCAGCUGUUGCUUUACUAUCCUUAAAGUAUCCAUUCAUGAUGGUGUUGCCUCUGAACAUCACCUCACCCCUUGUUUUUGUGUCCGGUGGUACGCUUUGCAUUGUUUCUGGAUCUUUGAUAUCGAGUUCUUCCAUGCCAAGGUGGUGCAACCCUUGACGAGCCUUGACCUUGGCCUUUGCAUCAGGUGGUAGUGAAUUCCACUCAGGUUUCCAAGUGCAAACUGUUCCAGGAUCCUAUGUUUCGGUCAAGCCAUAGGAAUGAGUAACAUUGAAUCCCAGCUCCUCCAUCUUAAAAAGUACAUGAGGAGGAGGGGGGCAGCGCCUGUCAUCACUAUCACUUUUCCUAGAAGCAGUCUCCGAUCAACAGACGGUGCAUUAAUUAUCAUAUUUAAUACUGUAGGUGCACCACCCAUGUGGCUCACUUGGUGCUUAGCUAUGCACUCAAAAAUCCCUUUUGCAGUUACAUUUCUUAGACAAACAUUUGUGCCGCCCUGUGCUGCAACAGCCCAAGUAAGGCACCAGCCAUUGCUAUGGAACAUCGGAACAGUCCACAAAUAAACAGGCAUGGAUGGCAUUUCGUUUAAAAGAGCAGCAGCCAGAGAAUUGAGGUAGGCUCCUCUGUGACUGUAGACAACACCUUUGGGGCUUGAUGUUGUACCUGAAGUGUAAUUCAAAGCAAUAGGAUCCCACUCAUCAUGUGGCCUUAUAACCUCAAAGUCUGGUCUUCCUGAUGCCAAGAAAGAUUCGUACUCUAAAUUGUCAUUAUUGAAAUACAUGUCACUAACCCUGGAAGAUGAGCUAGCUUGGUCGGGAAUCACAACUAAUUUAGGCGUCUUGCUGCUUGUCUUUAGUAGAAUUCCUAAUGCCCCUUUUGCAAUAUGAAGUAACUGAUAAUCAACAAAAAUGACUUUUGCACCUGAGUGUUUUAGCAAUGUCGACACCAUUGCUGAAUCAUGACGUAUAUUGAGAGUACAGAGAACUGCUCCUGCCAUUGGAACUCCAAAGUGCAGCUCGUAGAUUGCAGGAAUAUUUGGGGCGAGGACAGCGACCUACACAUGUAAUCAAAAGCUUAAAUACAAGGUAUCAGAAGAGACACAUCACAUCAGGUGGUUUAGACAAGAGAACACAGUCUUCUGUUGCAUAUGCACGCAAACUGUUUGACUUGUAAUCCAUGAAAUACAGGGAAAUCUAUGAAAGGAAAGAAAAGUUUUAAGGUUCUGAGGUAGUUCAUGUUUUCAGCUAUACUUGACGAGUUCUAGUGUGCUCUGUGUAUAACUUGACAAUAUUUUAGGGAGAAAUGUGGAGGAGUCCAUUCAAUAGGCCAUGGACAAGUUGGAUUCAAAGUUUCAAACUUUUCAUAAAGCUCAAGCCCUCAGGUCUAGCUAAUUCAGUGUACCUAUAUCUUAGGAAACUCAACCUUACUUUCAAAUUUAAGCAUGUGACAAGACUUGAUUUAGAAGAUCUUCUAGGCACUCAAUGUUCUAUAUCAAAACGUUUACUUUUAGCCUCAUCACAAACCAGCAGAAAUAUUUUCAGCCAGCAGAAGUAUUACUUCCAGCUCAUCAAGUCCUCUAUCAGAAGUAUCAUUAACCAGCAGAUGGAAUUUCUGGUAUACUUAUCAAGAAAGGAACCUCAUCAUUGUACCAUAACUGAACAGCAAGACAUAGCUAGACUGCAGGAUUCAAAGAACUUUGCCAAAACAUUCCAAUGGUUAAAGCACACAGAUAUUAGCACCAGAGAUGCUUUGAUAGGGUACAAUUUGUUAGUAAUUUUAUUAUUAAUUUUCCCUUUUAUCCCUGAUAAAUAUUGUGUUAAUUGCUGAUAUUUACUCAUAUUUGGUAUCUGGACUUAAUUUCAGGAAUGAAGCAGAAAACUACCAAAAAGGAGGGAUUUUAUGAAAAAUAUGGAGACUUCUAAGGGCUUCAAUUCUUGGGCCCUUGAAUUGGUGGGGACCACAAGCUAAUGAAAGGCAUUGAGUCAUUUGGGCUCUUCAAAGAAAGUUACGUAGAAAGACUUGGAACAAGAAGUACUUUGGAGGCUUUGUCCACAUGUGUGGGGACCACCUAGAUAGCCCUUAGUCAUCUUUCUUUUGUUGGUUAAAUAGGGAUAACGUAGAGAGCAGAUCCUCUGUCCAAUAUUUUGUGUCCAAUUUCCUGUCCAAUGUGAAACUACGUAGUUUCACUUAUUAUAUCUGCUGAUGUGACAACUAAAAAUAGGUGGCUGUUUGGCUGCCUUAUACUUUUUUUUCUUUUUUCUUUUUUGGGUUUCUUUUGUUUACACAACAAAUUCCCAUCUUUUUUAAAUAUUCUUUUGUAUUUGAAAUCUUUAAUACUUUGUUUUAAAAAAAUGAGAAUUGCAACAAAGUUAUGUAAACAAAGGAAACCCAAAAAAGAAGAAAGAAAAGAAGUAGAAGGCAGUCAAACAGCCACCUAUUUUUAGUUGUCACAUCAGCAGAUAUAAUAAGUGAAACUACGUAGUUUUACAUUGGACAGGAAAUUGGACACAAAAUAUUGGACAGAGGAUCUGCUCUAACGUAGGGGAGGAAAGGGACAUCUCUAGUUUUUAGUCUUUUAGGGUAGCUUUAGUUUUUCUUUCUUCUGACUGGCUUCUGACACACGCCAGGUGUUCGACAAAAUUCCCCAACGGGAAAAACAUCUUUUAUUCCUUGCUUUCUAGUAAAAAAACGCUAUGCCUUUGCAAUCCAUUAAUUCGUGUGAUGAUUUAAUUAUGCGGCGUGGCUAAGUCUUCCAUCUAGUCAAGGGUCAACUCGACGGCGCAGUCCCGAAAAUCUGUGAAAUCUAAUUAGUUUUCACGCGUUCCUUAAUUUAUUAAUAUUUGCACGUUGUCUGCUUGAAUUUUCAUGGGAUUAUUUUAUUAAUUGGAUGUCAAGGGCCCGAUGUUCAAUGUGAUUUAUUAAUCUCGUGCCAAUUUAGUCAAUUAAAUCCGUAAUUGUUUGAUUGAUUAAUAUUAGUGGCAACUGGUGUAUUUACACAUUAGGGGAACGUGCGAUCUAAUUUAAAUAACCCUCGUAGCGUGUUAUUGAUUAGGGCUAGGUUUUUCUGGUUAUUAAUGCAAUUGGAAAAUUAAUUCCUACGGUCGUAUCUAGGAGUACUUCUCUGGUUAGGGGUGAUCAAUGGUCGUACCUUGGUCAUCUAUAAAUUAAGGAAAAAUUGGUCAUUAGAGUUCAUCGAUGGCUAUAACUAGCCUAUUUAUAAAUUAAGUGAACCUCUCUUGCAUCAAUGAUCGGAUAAAUGGACUGUGCCUGAGUAGUUGUAUCCUUGGCUAGAAUUUAUUUAUUCUUGAUUUAAUUCCUGCUUUACUUGUGCUAGUUAUUUAUUUAUUCUUAGUUGAAUUGUUUAAUUGUUUUUUUAGUUUUACUCCAGUGAAAUCCCCCCUUACCAAUUGAAAUUUAAAAGAGACGAAUAUCUCCAGUCCCUGAGGAGACGACCCUACUUGCCACUGUCUACUAUUUAGUAAUCUUUGUCAACUAAUUGAUUCUGGUAUAUCGGAUUAAGCAAACUCUUCGGGAACAUGGUGAAUCAAGUAACCCAUUGCAUACCUAGAGUCCCUGCUCCAGUACCUAGGAUUAAUUAUUGGCUGCUUUUAGUGGUAGUUAGGUUCUAUAUUUAUUAUUGCACAGGUUCGGCACCUGUCAAUUUUUGGCGCCGUUGCCGGGGACUGGCGUUAUUAUUUGUUUCUUUUUAAAUUCAUUUUUUGUCCUAAUUUUCUGGUUUUCUUCUAGUGUAUGUCUCGAUCUUCUCGUACAAGUGAUUUGAUUUUUGACCCUGAGAUAGAGAAGACCGCGCGUAGAACGAGAAAGGAAACCAGACAGCUCAGAGAAGAGCACUCCAGUGCUACAUCUCAGAGACCCGAGUCAGAAGUUGAACCAACAGAUUCGUUUGGUAACACUUCGAGUGACUCUGACCAGGAGGAAGGCACCAUGGCUAAUGCACGAACAUUAAGGGAGUUGGCUGCUCCUGAUUUAACUCAACAGCCUUUAUGCAUUACUUUCCCGAGUUUGAGUGAUAACACUUCAUUUGAAUUGAAAUCAGGUCUAAUUCAUCUUUUACCUUCUUUUCAUGGCUUACCAGGUGAGGAGCCGUAUAAGCAUCUGCAGGAGUUUGAUGUCGUGUGCAAUAGUAUGAAACCCCCGGGAAUCACAGAAGAGCAGAUAAAAAUGAGGGCGUUCCCCUUCUCCUUGAAAGAUUCUGCGAAGGACUGGCUGUACUACCUGUCACCAGGUAGCAUCACCACGUGGGACCAAUUGAAGAAAAAAAUUUUGGAUAAAUAUUUUCCUGCGUCCAAGGCUGCAAGUCUAAGGAAAGAAAUUUGUGGGAUCAAGCAGCAUCCAGGGGAGUCAAUCUAUGAGUAUUGGGAACGGUUCAAGAACUUGUUGCACAGGUGCCCCCAACACCAAAUAAGUGAGCAGUUGAUCAUACAGUAUUUUUAUGAGGGGCUCCUUUUCAGAGACAGGAGCAUAAUUGAUGCUGCAAGUGGAGGGGCGCUGGUGAACAAAACCCCUCAGGAAGCACGGGAGCUAAUAGAGGGGAUGGCAGAAAAUUCACAACAAUUUGGUACGAGAAAGGAUAUUCCAAUACGCAGGGUGAAUGAGGUAGAGACACCCUCUAUGCAGCAGCAGCAAACUGAGUUGACCGCGUUUGUUAGGCAACUGGCUAUGAGAAAUGCAUCACAAGCCAGGGUAUGCGGGAUUUGCACUGGUAUAGGUCACUCUGCAGACAUGUGCCCAAUGAUUCAGGAAGAAACUGUGGAGCAAGUGAACAUGGCUGGUUACGCGCCCGCGCCAAGGAAUCAAUAUGACCCAUAUUCGAACACCUACAAUCCUGGUUGGAGGGACCACCCCAACCUCAGUUAUGGAGGGAACAGGCAGUCCAAUUUCGUACCAAAUAAACAACCAGGGUACCAGCAGCAAUACCAACCCCGACCACCUCCGCCCCCAAGCUCUGGUCCAUCUUUGGAGGAGAUGAUGAAACAGAUGAUGGCAACCAUUACACAAAAUCAGCAAAGGACGGAAGCAACCAUUACGCAAAAUCAGCAAAGGACGGACUCCGAAAUGCAGGCAAUAAGAAAUCAAAUAAGUCAAAUGGCCACAAAAAUCAACCGUUUGGAGUCCCAAGUAAAUGGAAGAUUGCCAUCCCAACCUGAACUGAACCUGAAGAACGUAAGUGCAAUGACUUUAAGGAGCGGGAAGGAAAUUCAGGGGCCUGAACCUAUGAUCCCUAAGGAUAAGGAUGAGGAAAAGAUUGAAAAUGAACUUGAGAGGGAGGACAGCAAUGGUGCAGAUCUAAAGGUACUUCCAGACCCAAUAAUUACAGUUAAAACUAAUCCCCCUCCAUUUCCUUGCAGGUUGGAAAAAUCGAAGAAGCAGGACAAGGAGAAAGAGAUCCUGGAGGUGUUUCGCAAGGUAGAGAUCAAUAUCCCCCUACUAGACGCCAUCAAGCAAGUGCCGAAGUAUACAAAAUUUCUGAGGGACCUAUGUGUCAAUCGAAGGAGGCUGAGGGGAGAUGAAAGAGUCAUUGUUGGGGAGAAUGUGUCAGCAGUUCUCCAAAAAAAGCUACCACCAAAGUGUGGGGAUCCAGGUAGGUUUACUGUCCCAUGCAAGAUAGGUAAUACUCUGAUUAGAAAUACCUUGCUGGACUUAGGAGCAUCGAUCAACGUAAUGCCAAAAUCUAUGUAUGCUUCUCUGAAUCUCGGUCCAUUAAAAGAAACCGAGAUAAUAAUUCAAUUUGUUGACAGAACAAAUGCAUACCCUGAUGGGUUGGUCGAGGAUGUGCUGGUUAAAGUUAAUGAAUUGAUAUUCCCGGCUGACUUUUAUGUACUUGACAUGGAUGAUGAUAAUUCCCCUGACCCCUCACCUUUGCUACUAGGUAGACCCUUUUUGAGCACAGCACAGACAAAAAUUGACGUUAAUAAGGGUACAUUGUCCAUGGAAUUUGAUGGAGAACUAGUCCACUUUAAUAUUUUCGAUACAAUAGAACAUCCUGUUAACUCUCACCCUGUGUUUGCUAUUCAUGCUAUUAAUCCCUCUGUGCAAGAAUUUUCUGAGUUUGCUUGUAGGGAUAAAUUCAAACUUAUUGAGAACAAGUAUAAGGGGAUGAAAGCACUGUAUGAGGUGAAAAGGAGUAGAAAACUCAGAAAGGAGGUUGCCCUUAAAGGCUAUUUGGAUCCUGGAGGAGGGCUACCCAUUUCCAGGAAAAUUGAGUUACACCCAGAUUGAAGAGUGGUGUUCAAUGUCUAGCCAAAGACGUUAAAGAAAGGCGCUUUUGGGAGGCAACCCAAAUAUUGAUUUUAUUGUUUUUAGUGUUUCAUUUCUUUCACUUUGUCGUUUCCUCGUUGGGUAGUAUCAGUAUUAAUAUUGCCUUCACUGCAAUCAGGAAGUGAGAUCUUGGCGUGCCCACGCGGUGUUGGUGUCUCCUGAGAUCAGAGGACGAAGGCCAAUCUUGGCGUGCCCACGCGGUGUUUGUGCCUCCUGAGAUCAGAGGACGAAGACCAAUCUUGGCGUGCCCACGCGGUGUUUGUGUCUCCUGAGCUCCGUCUGCAGCCCGCAAGUGGCCAGCUCGUGGCCAAGGCCCGCGCGCCGCCUGCCGCUACCACCAGCGCGCCGCGCCUGCACCAGCUCGCUCCACCUCAGCCACCACCUCACGAGCUCGCCAAGCUCCGCGCGCAGCCCAGUCGCCCUCGCGCGCGGCCCUCUCAAUCAGCUUCACCUGCGCACGCAUCUCCUCCACUGCCGCUGCUGUCCAGCGCCACCACUGCCCUCACGCGCCUCUCUCCCUCUCUCUCCAGAGGACUACGCCCUCGCUGCCCCCUCUUCGCUGCGACGCCAGGCCGCGCGCCAUCUCCUCCUCCUCGCAGACAGCCGCGCGUCACCACCUGUCCCAAUUGACAGGUGGAGGUAUUGUACACCCUUCUCCUAUUAGUAUCAAUUACUGGAAUUUGUGGUUGGAUAGAAGGGGGUGUUGAUUUGGGUAAUUUCUAUGGUAAUUUUAGACAGAUUUGGGCUUCAUUGACUACUAGGGAAUUUUGUGGCGCUAUAUAUAUAUUUUUUAGUCGAUUACUUCUGUUGCUGGAUUUGCUAGCUCUUUGGGUUAAUUGCUGAUUUUAGUAACCUUUUUGGGGUAAUAGACUGUCCAUUUAGGGACAGUGACGCCGGUUUUAGGUCCACGUGUGUUUGAUUCAUAUAUUUGGUGUCCAAUUGUGGGUGAAUUGCUGCGAUUGCUGGUUAAAUUUGGGGGCGCCCGUGACGCUUAUAUCUGCUUAUUGGGGGCGCCCGUGACGCUUAUAUUUGCUUAUUGGGGGCGCCCGUGACGCUUAUAUUUGCUACUCGGUUGGUUUGAUUUGUCUGUUGGUCACCAUGGUGAAGCCUCGAUCUUCUUCUAAGUCUAGGACCCCUAGGACCCCUCAACCCCCUCCACCCCAGCAUUCCAUUCCCGCCUCUGACCCCUCGCACGAUCCUUCCUCCUCUGGGAGGCGGGCUCGUCUUGGGCGACAAAGAGGCGUCCAUAUCUCUGACCCUGCACAUUUUGGGGGUCAUUUGGACUUCACCAGGGCAGCCGACAAGCGGCGCUAUGAAGCGGCUUGUGAACGACGGAUUAUUCCUUAUUGUUAUCGGGACGCCGCCACCUUGGGCCUUCUAAAUAUUAGCGUCCCCUUCCACGAUUUGAUUGAGGCCAUAGGGUGGCUCCCCUAUUCUCGUAUUACUGACCUCCCAGCCUUUGUUGAGUUAGUUAGGGAAUUCUAUGCCACAUUUGAAUUCAACCUUCCCACUGGUUACACAGUUUCCACCCCUGAUGUCAUCCGUUUCCGUUUAAUGGGUCAGGAGUUCCACCUUUCCAUAACUGACUUCAACCUUGCCCUUGGUUUCAUUGAUCAUGCCUAUGCUGAGUCUAGGGAGUAUGCCGAGAGUGCCUGUGACUAUGUCCAGCCGUUUUUCUCCCGCUAUCGCUUUAUUUGGGAUGAGAUGUCCGUAGACAGGGAUAACUAUGACCCUCGUCUAUCUAAGGGUUCUUAUCUGAAGGACCCGGCCUCUCGCUAUAUCCACCAUUUUUUGGCUUACAGUUUCUCGAGUAGGCGAGAUAGUUCGGGCAUUCUGUCUAAGCCUGAAUUUUUCUUUAUAUGGUGCAUGCAUAACAAUAUUAAGGUUAACAUUGGGUGUUGGCUCGCUUCUCAGUUCAAGUCCAUUUUGCCUAAAAAGAAGCGCCCCUUGAUUCUUGGGUCUUACAUUAUUCACUUGGCUAUUAAUUUGCAUGUACUUGAUAUUUCUAACCAUAACUUGCAUAUAGCCUGUCAAAUGGAGCCUUUGGAUAUCCCGUGCUUAGAGAAAAUGGGCUUAGUUCGGGAGGGCGCCAAUGGUUGGGAGGUAGUUCCCCCGGGUCCGCUACGCCCUCCCCCUCGGUCAUCUUUUGCCCGAGCUUCCACUGAGGGCGGCAAGCCUGGCCCAUCGUCCUCCGCUCCACCCCCUCCCGGCCCAAUGACCGAAGAAUGGCACCAUCUCCGAAACACGGUUGAGCGGCUUGAGAUGCGGUAGAAACACAUGGACGUUAACGUGCACAAUAUGGCGCAGAAUCUAGCGGCUUUUAUGCAGCAAGUCGGGUUCCCUCCUCAGUUUCCGCCUAACCCUCCCUUGUCUUGACGACUUCAGAGAAGUACCGUUGCCCCGCCCCUUUUUCUGCUAUUGUAUUUUCACAUUGAGGGCAAUGUGUGACUUAAGUGUGGGGGGGUCAGUUUGGGUGCUAGUUAUUCCCAGUUCUCGUUUCUUUAUUAUUUUUCCUCUUGUUUUCUGUUUAGGUGUUGUUCCUUUAUCCCUUUUGGGUGUCUUUCCCUUGCUUCUAUCUUGGUGAAUAUUUUUGGCAGCUCACUUUUUCUUGUUAGUUGUGGUUUGUACUAUGAGUUGAGUUACAGUGGCAAGUAAGAGCAUGUUGUCUUGGUGAAUAUUUUGAGUUUAACGACUUGGUGCAAUUUAUGGCUGACUUGUUUAGGCAAUAUAAAUAUUUUGCUGGCAUUGUUGUGUAGAUUGGUCUCCUGUUUACCUUAGUUCUCCAUAUUUGGGACAUGACGCAGGCUAUGAUCAGUAAUUACUUGAUAUUUUGGUGUUUAUUGGUGAAUAACGUAUGGCUAUACUCCGCUAGUGUCGCCACCCAGUAACCGGGAGUUUUCACCACAAGUGUCGGCUCUCGCGUCAAAAAGUGGCGAUAUCUAUGAGUAAGUGGUCCUGGAGCUGUGAAAAGUUGAGUAACUGGGCUCUUUCAUCUAAAAAUGUCAGAGUUCAUGUCAAAAGACUUGAAUAGCUUGGGACUUAGCCUUAUUCGUGCAAUAAAAAAAAAUAGAAGAAAACGGAAAAGAAAAAAAAAAGAAAGAAAGACAAAAUCAGAUGUGGACAAUGUGUGAGUUUAUGAUCAUAUUGGCCUGCCGAUCCUUGGUUCGUAAUGUUGAGAUUUCGGUUGCCAGUUGACUUAAUUACUGACUGUUGCUAGUUAAUAUUUGGAUUCCCUAAGCGAAUUAGCUAUGAAUUGGACAGGUCUAUGAACUUAGGAGUUAACCGGGAGAGAUAUGUCUUGACACUUAGUCACUAGAUCUUGAUUUUGGGUAUAAGCACAGCUGGCUAUGAUAAUGUGAAAGCUAGCCAUUGUUGAGUUGAAUUUUCCCCAUGCUUGAGGGCAAGCAUGAUUCAGGUGUGAGGGGAAUUGAUAGGGUACAAUUUGUUAAUAAUUUUAUUAUUAAUUUUCCCUUUUAUCCCUGAUAAAUAUUGUGUUAAUUACUGAUAUUUACUCAUAUUUGGUAUCUGGACUUAAUUUCAGGAAUGAAGCAAAAAAUUACCAAAAAGGAGGGACUUUAUGGAAAAUAUGGAGACUUCUAAGGGGUUCAAUUCUUGGGCCCUUGAAUUGGUGGGGACCACAAGCUAGUGAAAGGCAUUGAGUCAUUUGGGCUCUUCAAAGAAAGUUACGUAAAAAGACUUGGAACAAGAAGUACUUUGGAGGCUUUGUCCACAUGUGUGGGGACCACCUAGAUAGCCCUUAGUCAUCUUUCUUUUGUUGGUUAAAUAGGGAUAACGUAGGGGAGGAAAGGGACAUCUCUAGUUUUUAGUCUUUUAGGGUAGCUUUAGUUUUUCCUUCUUCUGACUGGCCUCUGACACACGCCAGGUGUUCGACAAAAUUUCCCAACGAGAAAAACAUCUUUUAUUCCUUGCUUUCUAGUAAAAAACGCUAUGCCUUUGCAAUCCAUUAAUUCGUGUGAUGAUUUAAUUAUGCGGCGUGGCUAAGUCUUCCAUCUAGUCAAGGGUCAACUCGACGGCGCAGUCCCGAAAAUCUGUGAGAUCUAAUUAGUUUUCACGCGUUUCUUAAUUUAUUAAUAUUUGCACGUUGUCUGCUUGAAUUUUCAUGGGAUUAUUUUAUUAAUUGGAUGUCAAGGGCCCGAUGUUCAAUGUAAUUUAUUAAUCUCGUGCCAAUUUAGUCAAUUAAAUCCGUAAUUGUUUGAUUGAUUAAUAUUAGUGGCAACUGGUGUGUUUACACAUUAGGGGAACGUGCGAUCUAAUUUAAAUAACCCUCGUAGCGUGUUAUUGAUUAGGGCUAGGUUUUUCUGGUUAUUAAUGCAAUUGGAAAAUUAAUUCCUACGGUCGUAUCUAGGAGUACUUCUCUGGUUAGGGGUGAUCAAUGGUCGUACCUUGGUCAUCUAUAAAUUAAGGAAAAAUUGGUCAUUAGAGUUCAUCGAUGGCUAUAACUAGCCUAUUUAUAAAUUAAGUGAACCUCUCUUGCAUCAAUGAUCGGAUAAAUGGACUGUGCCUGAGUAGUUGUAUCCUUGGCUAGAAUUUAUUUAUUCUUGAUUUAAUUCCUGCUUUACUUGUGCUAGUUAUUUAUUUAUUCUUAGUUGAAUUGUUUAAUUGUUUUUUUAGUUUUACUCCAGUGAAAUCCCCCCUUACCAAUUGAAAUUUAAAAGAGACGAAUAUCUCCAGUCCCUGAGGAGACGACCCUACUUGCCACUGUCUACUAUUUAGUAAUCUUUGUCAACUAAUUGAUUCUGGUAUAUCGGAUUAAGCAAACUCUUCGGGAACAUGGUGAAUCAAGUAACCCAUUGCAUACCUAGAGUCCCUGCUCCAGUACCUAGGAUUAAUUAUUGGCUGCUUUUAGUGGUAGUUAGGUUCUAUAUUUAUUAUUGCACAGGUUCGGCACCUGUCAUGCUUGAAGCUACAUUCAAACUUGAAAAAGCACCUGAAAUUCAGAUAUCAAGAUUAGACCUAUUCAAAUACAAAAGGUCAACAUUUUUGUAGCGUACUUGCUAGGAAAGUAGUGUUCGACAAACUCUGUCGUAAAUGGCUGCUGAGAAACCAAAAUUGACCCUCAAAUGCACAAUUCCAUAAGUUAGCAAUUUCAUAGUGAUAUCUUUACUAUAAUGCUCCAGACACUCAAAAGCUUCUUGAUAGGUUAGCAUGUCUUUUACAGGUUUCAAGUAAUCUGGUUCCAUUAGGUGCCAAAUUCCCCUUCCCCCACCAUAUCCAUGCGACCUUUCUUUUUUUUUUUUUAACAAAAUAAAAAAGAAAAAGGUUGAAAGAAUUUAGAGUUGGGUAACAGCAAUAAAUUGCAUAAUUAAACCUCCGACUACUACAAAGUCACUGAAUUGAGGCAUGAAAAUGACCCACCAAAAAAAUAUAUAUAAGGGGCAGUUGGUCCCUUGUCGGCUCAUUGAAAUGGAAUCAAUCUAUAGUAAUGAUGUCAAUGCAUGUCUAUUCAACAACCCGUGCAAUGAUUGAUAGAGACAAAAAAUACCCAGAUGAUAUCAUUCCAAACAAAGGCAGAAAUCAUUUUUAACAUUCCAACUAGCUCCCAACAACCAAGUAAUCAGAAGAAAAUUACAAUCCCAAAAAAAAAAAAAGAUUCAAUCGUGAUAAUUAACCAACAACAGAACAAAUUGAAGGACUUUUAAUUACAGAACAAAUUGAAGCAUAGAAAUUAAAGAAAACAAAACGAACUGGACAAGAAGAAAAUGCAGGUAAAUUGUGAAUAACAAAGAAAGCCCAGAAAAUUCAAGGAUUAAAUGGGAACUUACAACAUCAUGACGGGAGAUUCCGAGGGAGUGAAGAGCAGAAGCGAGUCUGGCGCAUCUGUCACGAGUUUCUGCCCAAGUGAACUUUAAAUCGCCAUGCACUACUGAAAUCCUGUCUCUGUAUACAAUUGCCGAACGCUCCAAGAAAUUUAUGGGCGUCAGAGGUACAUAAUUUGCUGAGCAUUUGACAGUACCCUCCAUUGAUGAUUCUAUCCUUUUAUCUGAAAAUCCAAAAGAGCGCUUCUACUAUCAACGGGAAAGUAGAUAAGAGAGGUUGUUUUCCGGUUGAAACUUGGGCGAUGGAUUGUGCAGUAUCGUUGAAGUCUGCUACAAAUAAAUGGACCUUUCCUUGCGUGGGGUGUGAAUUUACCGAAUGAGGCCUUUGUUGACUCAGCUUCAUUGUUUGUCAGCAGAUUUAUUUGCUUUUUCACAUGAUUAAUUUCUAGUUUUAUCUGUGUUUUUGCCUUUUUGGCCUAUUGGUGAGACUGCGUGCGGGUCUCUGCCUAUCUUUGUAUAACCUACUCUAUCCUAAUCUAGGGGAAGGGGAGCCUAAGGAAGCAGUUGUAGAGGCUAGUGGAUAUACAGACCCAACUAGACCAAGGGAGUACUAUGGCACAACCUUUAGAUUUUUUUCGCUGUUGAUGAGGUUUGAACCCUCACCAACAGCCCAAAGAGGGACUGAAGUCCCUCCCUGGUGGCCACUGAGCCAUUGGCCCAGUGGUUGUGCGGGUCUCUUUUUUUUUUUUCAGAAACGAUAGAUUAAUUUAUUUCUACGAAUAGAGAAAAUACAAUAUAUGAGCAAGGGCUCAAGUUCUGGUUUACAAAGGUGUACUGAGACACCGAGGAUGAACGAACUCCUCAUCAAAAUAGAUGUGCGUUGCUUGCUUACUCAGUUCAUAACUGAGUGUAUUAGUACUAACAUUACUAGGCAGGCAAACAAAUGAGCAUGUCCUAAACAUUAAGCUGAGAUAAGUGAUGCACUCGAGAUGGCCUGCUAUAAGAAAGUUGCUUGGACUUUGGCAGCGUAUCAUCUUUAAAAUGUGGUUGCAUGAAAUAUGAACCUGUAUGUUUUGCAAGUCCCGUUCCUUUAGCUUACACAGAGCCAGUUGUAUCGCCACCAAGUUGUCCAGCACAGACGAUCCAGUACUUCUUUCUCUGAGCAUCCACCCUACCCCAAGCUGGUUGUGCGGGUCUCUGCCUAUCGAUCAUUUGGAUUUUGCUCCCGCAGAUUGGCAGCAAUAGUGAUGGUGCACUGACAAUGACCAAACCAUCAGAAGAGCCGUGUUUGAACAGUGUAUCACUUAAACUCGAGCUAAUUUAAAAUGUUUGAGUUUGAACUCGUCAAUCAAGCUUUUAAAACUUGAACUCAAAGCUCAAAUUUUGACAAAUUGAGUUCAAUUGGAUUUAAGUAAUAUGAAGUGAUACUUUAUACACUUUUAAAUAAAAAAAAAAAAAAAAGAUAGAUGCUUUACAUAGCAGUAAAUAUAAGAAUACAAGUUAAGAUGUAUUGUUAUACUUGAACAAGUAUUGAGUUCGAUUAUUCUUAAUGAACUUUUGAAUCUCACAUAUAGAGUUUGAACUUCUCAAACUAUUCGAUCUGCUUGAAAUCGAGCUUAAAUUUUGACCAAAAACUCGCGAAUAGUUAGAUUAAACUUGGCUACGUAGGUGCAUUUGUGCUGGCGAUUUGGUUUAUUGUGACAAUAAUUGAGACCCAAGAAGGAGGAGAUAAAGUGAUUUGACUUGAACGAUCAUCUUAGAGUAUUUCCUACACUACCUUGACACGCUUUUGUUUAGGGUGCAAAACCUAUUGACAUUCUGUCAUUAAAAACUGGUACGUUGUUUAUUGAUACGUAGAAGGAAGUGGAUGAUAAAGCCUGAAGCAUUCCCUUUGCGCAAAACUAUACGGUCAACAAAUUUGUAUACUAAAGCUGAGAUGUAAUUGUAUUUUGUGUGUGAUUUUAUUCCCUACACGGGAACAACUGCACUUGCAUAAUACUAACUGAUAGUUUUAACAAUAAAUGCCCAUCGAAAAAAAUCGUGUGCAAACCAAAUCCUCUUAGGUGAUUUGGCCACAAAGCAAUAAACAAAUAUGUAAUUCUGACAAUAGGUUAAGAAUUCAAACCCUUUUAAAAUGGUAGUGGGACUCUUUAAUUUAGAAGUUAGUUUCUGUCCCUACCUCCUAUAGUCCACUUGAGUAUUCUCUUAAUAUAAAAUAGCUUAACGAUAAGAGUAGGAAUAGAGUUAGAUAUUAGCGAUUGAAAUGAAAAAAAGGUGUAACACGACUACCCAAUUAAUUGAUAUCCCUCACAAGAAGAAAAUUCAGCUUCCACAGGCCUUGUAGGACAAUUCAUAGGUAAAUAUUAUUUGAACCAUAGAUUAUUAAUGAAAUUUAGUAGAGUGCUCGUAUGAAUUCAAGAACAUUAUUCUUCAAGCAUUAGACUUCCGGUGUGCAAAGAUUACAAAAUAAGUGAAUAUAAGGCGAUAUAAGGCAAGGAACAAUAUUCCUUAAUUUGAAUAUAACAUUAGAUAGUAUACAUGUUCUUCCUCUUUCAUAUUUUAGAAAGGGAAACAACCAAAUUGUUGAUGGACGAGUCCUUGAUCUUUCCAUGAUAUUGUGAGAUUUUGGCGGAGAAUUUGCUGAACAAAUUGUUGAUAAUAGCAUCCCCAAAAUGAGCUUGAAUAAGGGGUUCAUAAAUAGCUCUCAAGUUCCUAGAAGACCUUCUAGGCACUGAAAAUGUUCUAUAUCAAAACGCUUGCUUCCCGAGAUGCUUCCAAGAUACUAUGAAACUUGAAAAAACACCUGGAAUUCAGAUAUCAAGAUUCAAGAUUAGACCUAUUUGUAGCGUAAGUUUUCACAAACUCUGGCGUAAAUGGUCACCGAGAAACCAAAAUUGACCACAAAUGCACAAUUCCAUAGGGUUAGCAAUUUCGGGAAUGGGGCAGCUACAAUUAGCAAUAGGUGCGGCUGUUUUACUUUUUUAAUGAUUUAGUGUACACUUACAUAAUUUUGAUGUAUUUCAUGAUUUGAUGUACAUUUAUGUAACUUUUUAUUGUGCUAGUAAUAGUUCACGUACUUUGCAUGUAAUUAUAUUAACCUAAAUAUAAACAUAACAUCUCUUAUAUAUAAACUUUUUUUUUGUGAAAUUUGAUUGUUUACAUGAUAAUAGAAUAUUUUCUAUUUUCUAUUUCUUUAAUCAAUUAUUGUUACAAAGACUAUGUAAAUACGAACUCUUUGAUCCAUUGAUUUUUGAAUUUAUUUUGAGCUUUUUGGUAAUUUAUGGAUUCAACAAUUCUUAAUAUGGUUAUGUUGUGUACUCACAAUAUUUUUACCAUUAAAUCAUAAUAAUAUUUUUUAAUUUUGUACAAAAGAUGUUGUUAAACCGGAAAUGCAUGUAUACAUGUCAAGCGUGAGCCUAGUAAAUAAAAUUUGUAAUUAUUAGCAAAGUAAGGACUAAAAUUGUAAAAUCAAUUUCUGGAAGUGUAUCAGAGUAAAUAAAUUGGCUUGUUAGAUUUUGUCAUUCUAAUUAUUUUCACCAAACUCAUCCCUUCUUUUACCCUUGGAAAGUUCAUUUACCAGCCAGAAUCUAGAUCCGCCUUUUUUUCACUUAAAAAUAAAACCCAUAGUUAAGUUUCUAAUGAAAUCAACAAAUUUAAAAAAUGAAAAAAAUUUGUAUCAAUAUUUUGAAUGCUAUUUGCCAUAACAUUUUGAAUGUUAUUUUUCCUUGGUAAGACAAACAAAAUGGAAUUGUACAAUUAGAAUGAAUUAAUUAUUUAAGAAUAAAAUAUAUGAGCUAUGCUUAUGCCCAACCUCGCAUGAACAUUUAAUUACUCUGCUUUAUAUCUUUUAGCUCAACUUUUCAAUUUUUUCUUUUGUGAAUUUGAAUUGAAUAAUGUGAGGUGCAUUAUUGAAUUUGGAUUGUUUACAUUUUUUUUCUAAGUAUUAUUGAGUUUAGUAAAGAAUGUAAAUGAUUUAUACUGCUUAAUUAUCUUAGACUGUGUAAUUUAAUUGCCAAUGGACAUUCAAUUGAUAGAAAUAAUUGGAUCCUUUUACGUGUUCUUUCUUUCAAUAUUUCUUCACACUAAUAAAAAGCCCAUAAUUAUACAUCUGUCUUGUGAUAUUCAUAGCAAGAUUCUCCAAAUGAGUAUGGACUCUUUUCUUCUUAUAUAUUUCUCUUUUGCUUCAAGAGCAUCUAUUUUUUUGAUACAAAUAUUUUUUACAAUCUUAAAUUAUAGCUAAUGCAAUCGGUCACACUAUUUCGAAUAAGAAAUUAUUUUGGCUAAGAAACUUUAACACACAUAAGGAUUGGAGAUGAAGUGUAAGGGUCACUAAAUAGUUUUAAUAUGGAGUUUUUCAUUUUAAUUACCCUUUUUAUUGAGAUUUAGUUAUUUGGAAUGUUUCAUAUUUUUAAUUACUACUACAAUUAUAAUGCAAUAAUUCUAAUUGAAAGAUAGAGAUAAUAUGGGCACAACAAAACUAAGAUCAAAAAGUGCAUGCAACUUACAAUGCCAAGACUUUUUAAUAUAGUAAAAAAUAGAUGAUAUAAAAUACAUCAAAGUUGUGUGAAUGUACAUCAAAUCAUUAAAAAAAAAAAAAAGUAAAACAACCGCACUAACCGCACCUAUUGCUAACCAUAGCUACCCCAAACCCUGCAAUUUCAUAGUGACAUCUUAAAUUGAAGCGGAUCACUAAGCAAUACAGACUGGAAGAUAUGCACCUAAUGCAACGCAUAUCAACUAUUAGCAAUGUAACAAGGAGAAAAUUGGAUUCUUUGCUUAUUAUAGAUGCUAUAAUGCUCCAAACACUCAAAAGCUUCGUGAUAGAUAGGUCAGUGUGUUUUUUACAGGUUUCAAGUAAUGUGGUUGCAUUAGGUGCCAAAUCCCUCUUCCCCCACUAUAUCUAUGUGACCUUUUGUUUCACAAAAUAAAAGAGUUAUACGAAUUUAGAGUUGAGUAGCAGCAAUAAAUUGCAUAAUUAUACCUCCAACUGCUAGAAGUUACUGAAUUGGUCCCUUGUGGGCUCAUUGAAAUGUCAAUCCAUGGCUAUUCAACAACUUUGUGGAAUGACCCAUUGAGACAAAAAUGCCCAGACGACAUCGUUCCAAACGAAGGUAGAAAUCAUUUUUAACAUUCCAACUAGUUUCGCAAUACUUACCAAAAAAAAAAAAUCAGCAAAUUAAAAAGGAUAAUUUCAGAAACCUGACAAUUUCACUCAGUGCCCUCAAACUUUAAAAAAUCUCAUUUGGCUCUCUUGUUUUAAGCGUUUUGUAACAUUUGAAAUCCAUUUCAAAAUAUAAUAUUAAAAAACUCAUUUUGAGAGAGAGAGAGAGAGUACAAUUUCAUUCCAAAUUUGUCCUUUCUUGCGAUUUUUUAAUUGUCAUAACACACCAAAUUUGUUGCUUAUCUUUUGUAAAUUGAUUGAUGUAGUUCUUUAAUGAAAAUCUAAGAGUUGGUAACAAGAUCAAAAAAACUCUUUAAUAAUUUUUGUAUCAUUUGUUCGGACAAAAAAUGUUAAAUUACUUAAAAUUAUGAGUCAUUUACACUACUCUUAAAAAUAACUUGCAAUAAUUCAUAACCAGGAGAAUACCUUUUGCACUAACUUAAAAAUAAUACAAACAAUUAUAUAUAUAAAUUUUAGCAUGUUGUAUCUUUUUAGUUGUCAAACCAUCGAUUUGGACGUCUAAAUUAAAAAAAUAAAAAAAAUGUGUAAAUGAUUUAUAUAUUAGCUCAAAACACAUAUAUUUGAAGUAGAGAAAACGUCAUUUGCAUUUGGAUUGCGAUUUUCUUAAAAAAAUUUCGUUACUUGUUUCUCUUUGUCCAUGAUACUAAUUGAUAAAUGCUUCACAUUUUUCCAGUCUCAGCUCUGUUAGCUUGGAGUUCUGCUUUCAACUAUAAAGUACUACUCUUUGGAAUUGUCAGAGCACUACUCUUUCUAUUUUUUUUUCAGCAAUAUUAUAAGUAACUAGUUUUGUACCCGUUCGUUGAACGGGAAUCAUUGAAAAAUAAUAAACUUUAGUCAAUUUAUAAAAAUAUCGAUAUAAAAUACAUAUUUAAUGUAUAAUCUAUUAUAACUUGUCUUAAAUAUAAUACUAUGUGCGCAUUGUAAUGUAAAGUAUUCUUAUAAUAUAAAUUUGAAUAUCUAAUUCAGUGAAUAAUAAUUUAAAAAUAGAAAAAAUAACAUUCAACAAUACCAUAACAUUCAAAAACUUGAAAAUAAAUAAAAAGUGCAGUAAAUAGUAUCAAAUAAUAUUCUAAUAUUCAGAAACUUGUUUUUGUUUUUUUUCUGUUUGAACAUUCUCCUCGAUUUGUCCGUGCAAAUCAGCAUUUAUUGAUUUUCUAUUAUUAAUGCAUGAUAGCAAAGUAGGAUAACUAAGUAUAAAAAAAAUAAAUGAUUUAUCGCAUUCAAGUUUGUGUAUAACAAUACGUAAAGAUUAUAUUUAAGUAAAUGGCCAGAGUCUUUUAAUUAAAUAAUGAAUUUGCAGAUAUAUCUAAUAGAGAUAUUUAUAUCGCAUUACUUUCUAGUACCUUUUGUUUUUUGUUGUUUUUUCUGAAGGCAAAUUAACAAACAUCGUAGUAUAUGAUCACCAAAAUCAAUUAACAAACAUGUUAGAAAAAAUCCUACAAAAAUAACGAUGAAAGCACUUGUUUAAAUUCUAUGUAUUCAUACAAAACAAAUAGAAAAUAAAACAAAAAAAAUAAAAUUCAAGAUAUGUUACUAAGCUCUUACAAUUGAAGAUCAACAUGCCUUUUUAAUAUAUAUAUAUAUAUAUAUAUAUAUAUAUAUAUAUAUAUAUAUAUAUAUAUAUAUAUAUAUAUUGAAAGAAGAUGUACCUGAUAAUCAAGAGAAGUGGAAACCCAAAAUCGAUACUUUAAUAUGCCAACCGUUUGCACUGGAAAUACCUAACCAUGAAUUUGAUGCUUGAAAUCAAUAUAUUAUAGGCUAUAUGUAGUGUAGGCAUAGGAAAUAAAAAUUGAUAAGAAUACAAAGAGAUAUUGAUAAGAACAUUAAAAGUAUGUUUAUCUUAAUUUAAGUUGCUUAAAGUACGUAACUUUGGGUAGGAAAUAAGAAUCGUAUAAUAUUAAGAAUUCUUAUAGGAAAUAAAACCAUAAUCAUCCAAAUAACUUUGGGUAGGAAAUAAGACCUUAUGUGACCCGUACUAUGCACGUAUAUAAACCUGUAUGUAAUAAAUUUACAAAUGCAUUAUCAAGAUAGGUUUUACCGACUUUAAAAGACCACCUCCACUAUAUCGAGUCCUUUAAGUGCAUGAACUCCUAUGAUGUGGGUCCACACACGAAAUACUUCCCACCAUCUAGGCAGAGAUGCAUUGUGAUUAAGGAAUUAUUAGCAAAAAUAUAUUAAAAAAAAGGACGGACGGAGGACACUAUAGACGGAGGCCUUUCUCUUGGAUUGGAGGACACUACGGACGGAGGGUCGGGUAGGGGCCUUCGGGGUGCAAAAACUUCAACAAAUAUCUAAUGUUUUAUCUCAUCUUUCUUUAGCUAUGAUAAUGAGAUUUUAUUUCUUUGGUUGAUGACGCUCCAUUUUUUUUUAUGGACUUUUCCAGAAUUUUUCAAUCAGAUAAAGUGCCAUUUCUCUUUGUACAUCAAUUAUACAUGGGGACUGUUAGUCUUGUAAAAAUUUUCUUGGGCUAACUUUCUUUAAUUUUCAUGUCUAGAUUGUUUGUAUGUUGUUCUAUAUAUAGGUAUAUUAUCUUAAAAUAAAAAGGAUCUAUGAUGAAGCUGUUAAAAAAAAAAAGAAUAGGAUACUAUAAAAAAAUAUAUUAUCAUUUAUUCCUAUAUAUCUAAUAGAGGAGAUUUAUGUCUCUUUUAUUUAUAUCGCAUUACUUUCCAGUUCCUUUUUUGGGUAGGAAAUAAGAAUCAUAUAAUAUUAAGAAUUUUUAUAGGAAAUAAGAAUUGAUAUAUAUCCAAUCAAAAAAGGAGCAAGCCACGUAGGAAACUACUUGCCGUCUCGUUAAGCCACGUAGAAAAGAGAAAAUAUGAAGGGAUAAGUAUGAGGAUACGACUUUAUUAUAUAUAUAUAUAUAUAUAUGAUUGGUCCGCGCAGCGGACUGAAGUGGUCGAUGUGUGAAUGCAAGGCCUUGCUUGGAUUGCUUGUUUCAGUCGGAAAAUAUUGUCGUUUUCCGUGAUCACAUUUCUCUAUCACCUUUUUCCUUCAUAUAUAUCAAAUCGCUAUAGUAAUUUUUCCAUGAAAAAUGAUAGAAAAUGCAAUCCAAACAUAACCUAAGAUUAUGCUGAUCUUUACGGGUCCCACAUGUUGUAUGUUUUAUAUUGUACUAGUAGUAUUCCAAAUGGGUUUUAGAACGUUCUCAAAAUAAAUCGAUCAAUUUGAUUGGGAUCAAAACGUGUGGGGUAAGGUUUUUUAUUUUUACAUAAUUAUUCAGAUAAAACCAACCCAGGCAGACCCAAUUAUCUUUGUAACUUACAAAAAACUUUGAUCAACUUUCAAAUAUAUUAUACACUCUUGACAUUUAAAAAAAGGGAUAAUUUCGCAAGCCUUCCCUGAGGUUUUUAAAAAUUACAGAGAGCUCUCUCUAGGUUUUAAAAAUUACAUAUACCUCCCCUAUUUUUAUUUUUUAGUAAUGAUAUAGGUUCAACAAUAUGGAUUUUCUCACAAAAUUUCUAAAUUGCCCUUUAAACUAAGAAAAAUAUAGUAUACUCAAUUAUUUUCUUCAACACUUUGUACAAAUCAAUAAACCUAGUUUUUAGCAAUCAUUCAAGUAUAAGUUUUAAAACUAAAUAGCAGUCCAAAAGAUCCCAAAUUACAUGUAUAGUAUCAAUACUUGCUACCUAAAAAAAACACACACAUAUACCCCAUUGACAACCAAUUUUAUAUCCCAGAAUUAAAUAUCAAUGCUCAAAUACCUUUUCAAUACAAAUUAAUCUCACUUAGAACUGCUAUUACAACCCUUCUAUGGCCUUAAAAAUAUUAAUAUCUCAAAUAUAUAAAAUAAAUUCUACGUCCACAAUAAAAUCAUAACAAAAAAUUUCUAAUCAAAUGAAAGAAAUCCUUAUGUAAUUAUUGACAUUUUAUAAAAAAAAUUUUAACAAUAAACAAAAUAUGAUAAAUUCAACAUCUUUAAUUCUUUUUCCUAAUUUCAAUCAUCAAUUUCAUUAUUUAUUUUUCUAUCACUACAACUCUCUUCAUUUCCUUCUAAUUUGACAUAUAAUCUACUCCUUCUGUUGAUUUUAAAAUUUCAAUUUGCUAAUAUCCACAAAAUUGAAGAUAAUAAAAAGAAGUUAUAUUAACUAAAAAAGAGAUGAGUGAAAAUAGACAAGAGACAGAAAAAUAAUUUUUUUUUGAGUUUUGUAAAUUUAUUGCCUUAAAUUUAAAAUUUUCAACCAAGUAGAGGGCAUUAUAGGUAUUUUACUAUACCAAGGGAGGUAAGUGUAAUUUUUUAAACCUGAGAGGAACCGAGUGAAAUUGUGACAGGUGCCGAACCUGUGCAAUAAUAAUAAAUAAAUCCUAACUACCACCUGAAACAGUCAGUAAUCAAUUCCAGUACUGGAGCAGGGACUCUAGGUGUGCAAUGGGUUACUUGAUUCACCCUGUUCCCGAAGAGUUUGCUUAAUCCGAUAUACCUGAAUUAAUUAUUUAACUGAAUUUCCUAACUAGUAGACAGUGGUAAGCAGGGUCGUCUCCUCAGGGACUGGAGAGAUAUUUGUUUCUUUUCAAAUCAAGAUUAAUGGGGGGUUUUGGUAUCAAAAACCAACUGAACAAAUUAAAUGCAGAAAAUAAUUAAUUAAAAGAAAUAACUAAGAGAAACUCUAGUCAAGGGUAUACUUCAGAAAUGGUUCAUGCACUGAUCAUUGAUGCAAAAAUAAUCCCAACAUUUAUUAAUAGAUUGGUUAUAGUUGUCAUGCACGCGAUAAACAACCAACCCUUCCUUAAUUUAUCGAUAGCUAAGGUACGACCGUUAGCUAUUUCCCUAACCCAAAAACAAUCCUAGGUACGACCGUAGAAUUUAAUUUCUGGUUUGCAUGAAACCUUAGAAAGACCCAAUCCUAACUAACAAACACGCUACGAGGGUUUGUUUAAGUUAGAUCAUAUAUUCCCCUGAUAUAAACCCAAUUACACCAGUCGCUACUGAGAUAGAGAUAACGAACAAUUACGGAUUCAAUUACCCCUAUUUAGCAAAAUAGCCUAUAUGAAUAAUUAAUUAUUACGCACUAACCAAUCAUACACAAGGCUAUGACAAUUAAAAGCAGGAAACAUAUGAAUACCAAUAAAUGGAGGAAACAAUUAAAAUAAAUUCGAUUUCACAGUAAUUGUUGAACCAAGUCUUCAGUUGUCCCCUUGACUAGAAUUGAGAGGUUAGUCCUCCAUUAAUGGAGAACAACCAUGCGAAAAAGCCAAGAAAAGCAAACUAAAACUAUGCUAAAAACCUAAACUAAAACUAUUGAUUGAUAAACCUCUCGUACGUUUCUCCCUUUUUGAAGCCAAAAGGAAGUCUAAUGCUAUCUCUAGUGGUCCCCACACCAAAUUCAAAGUCUUGUACGUUUCUUUUCCUAGAGUCCAAAUGACUCAUGCUUCUUAUCCGUGGUCCCCGCACAUGUGGACAAAACCUCCAAAGUACUUGUUGUUCCAAGUCUCUCUACGUUGCUUUCUUUGAAAAGCCCAAAUGACUAAAUGCUUUGCACUAGCUUGUGGUCCCCACCAAUUCAAGGACCCAAAGGUUGAAGUCCUUAGAAGUCUGCAUUUUUCCAUACAAGUCCCUCCUUUUUGGUAAUUUUCUGCUUCAAUCCCUGAAAUUGGGUCCAAUACCAAAUAUAAGUAAAUAUUAAUAAUUAAAACAAUAUUUGGCAAGAAUAAAAGGGGAAAUUAACAAUAAAAUACCCAACAAUUUACACCCUAUCAAUUCCCCCCACACCUGAAUCAUGCUUGCCCUCAAGCAUGGGAACAGCAAUUGAACACCAAAAUUUGACAAUGGCUACUGCUCCAACUACCGUAUUGCCAAGAUGCCCAAGAAAAAUAAAUAUCAAGUAUCACAGGUCAAUAUCCAAGAAAAAUCAACCCGGUUAGCCUCUGAACCACCAACUUCUCCAAUUUAAAGCAAACUAAUCUAAGAAAAAGGAAUGGUUGCUCACAUUUAUCAGCAAAUGGUCCAACUAUUAACCAAAAUCUCGACAUUAAGAUCACAAACCGGCAAGCUGAUUUAUUCACAUACUAACACAAUCUUACUUCACUUCUUUUUUUUUUUUUGUUUUUUGUUUUUUGAAUAGCAAAGACUUAGUCUAUAGCCCUUAGAGUUUUUUGACGCGAACUCCAAUAUUUGACAGAUGGAGGAGCCCGGUUACUCAGCUCUAAUUGCUACGGGACCACGCACUCAUAGCAACUACUACCUUUUGACGCGAAAAUCAACACUUUAGGUGAAGAUUCCCGGUUAUUCAGUAGUAAUCACUAGCGGAGUACAGUCAACUCUUAUUUAUAACCAUAUAGCACAAUAACUAAAAAUAACACAAAAAUAACAACAGCCAGCCUCAAAUUUCCAAACAUGGAGAACUAAAAUUAAUAAUUGGACCAAUUCACAAGAAAAAUGCCAACAAUCAUUCCCUAUGCCUAGAAAAGUUAACUAAAAAUUAGAAAAGUCAAGCAAUUAUUGAUAUUCACCAAAAAGAUGUUCCUGAAUUCAACCACAUCAACUCGAUACCUUUUAUUAAUAAACUUGGCAACAUCAGAAUCAGAGACAACAAUCCAACAUCAAAACUUGGUAUUCAUAUGAAGACUGACCAUUAGAAAAAAGAAAAGAAAAGAAAAUAAACGAAAGAUGGACAAAAACAAACAAAAAAAAAUAAAGAUAAACAAAAAACUCUAGAAACUAAAAACAAAAUUACUAGCACCACAAUGAUUCCCCCCCACACCUAAUUCACACAUUGCCCUCAAUGUGAUAAUGUAAAAGUAGAAGGAAGGAGAGGGGCAACGGUACUUCCCUGAAGUCAUCAAAACAGGGGCAGUUCAGGUGGAAAUUGUGGAUCAAGACUUGCAUGGUGACGUCAAUAUGGGUCAUCCGAGUCUCUAGUCUCUCAACUCGCGUCUGGAGCUGGUGCCAUUCGUGGCUUUACCAUGAACUCUAAAUAUCACUCUAAACAACAAGAGACUACCAUUGCCAACAAAUAAUGGAAGCCAAAAAUUCAAAGCAAUAACAAUUUUUAAAGCCAUCCCAAUGAACAAAAUGCACAAUUCAAUCUCCCAUAGAUUAAACCAGACCCCAACACUUAUAGCAAAUGCAAUCAAUAAGUACUCAUGGACCCCAUGUAGUCAAAUUCAGAAUUAAGGCCGUCCAAAGUGCAACAACUGCUCCAAAUACCCCAAGCAAGUCAAUUAAAGGCAACCGACUUCAAUAAGCAAAUGCAAACGGCACAUUCAUAUCCCAAUUCAACGAAUAAAUGCAGGAAAGUAGCCACAAUACUAGAGCACAGCUCCCAAUAAUGCAACAGAACAGCAACUCGAACAAACUAGGAACUGUGCUAGUGUCGUACUAAAUCAACAACUUUCAGCAAUUAGACACAAUCGGACACAAUAUCGCGACAACUAUCGCCAAUUGGACAGAUGAUUGCACACUCAAUCCAACCAAAAGUUCUAGCAACAGCCGUUCAGAAUUGAAGCAACAAAUUAAUCCCAAGAACUCGAAUUUUCAAACAAGCAAGCAUCUCCAAAUAUAAGCAACAACUAUAGUGAGAAGACCCCACCAGUACCACUGGUGGGCACACAAGGAAGAAUUAAAUCAAAUAUGAUCGAUCGAUAGCAGGAGCACCCAAAUUCAAUCAACAACAAGUAAUUCAGACAAACAAAAGCAAAAGAGAAACACAAAAAGGGGCCAGAUAUCGAUCAAACAAAAGCCAUUGCCCACCAUGAAUAAAGAAUACACUAAAAAGCAACAGAUACUGGUAAACCACAGAGGGAAAAAGGGACCGGACACCGUUGUUGGCAGCGAGACCGAGCGCUUGGGGCAGCACGGCAGCGUUUAGGGCAGGCCGUGGGAGGAAGGAAAAGUCACGCGAUGGAGCAAGAGGCUGCUGCAGAGGUGGGAGCGAGCUGGGAGGUCGCGGCGCGCAGCUGGUCAGCGGUGUGCAGCUGUGCGAGGCGCGGGAGCUAGCAGUGACGUGCGCUGGUCAGCUAAGGAGGAGAUGGGCGGCGCUCGACUGUCGCGUGGCUGCGACUUCUGGCUGGAGCUACUGGCGGCGCGCGAGCUUUGUGGAUGGACGCGAGAGGAUCUGGGGUGGUCGAGCGCAGGUGGAGUGAGGUGGAGCUCGAGUGGGUAGCCGCUGUUGGAUGGCGGCUAGUCAGCAGCUGCCGCGGGCUGGAGAUGGCGAUAGAAGCUGCUGGAGUGGGGGCGAGCUGGCGGUGCGCUGGUCUCGGUCGCGCGAUGCUGCCGCGCGGGAGGAAGAGGAGUGCGGCAGCGAUGGCGACUGGGCAGUGGCGCUCUGGGCCGCGGCUUGGGCCAGGCGAGCUUGUGGCGGCGAGGAAGUUGGAGCUGAUGUGGUGGUGGAGAUCGAUGAUUUGGGUGGGAUGGCCGGCGGCCGAAAGAAGAAAAGAAGGAAAAGGGAAAUAGGGAAGAAGAAAGAAAGAAAAGAAGAAGAAAGAAUUUUCUUCUUUUUUUUUUUUUUUGGAAUAAUUUUUUGUUCUAAAUUGAAUUGAGAUUGGAAAAUUCGAUUUUUGAAUACCAAAACUGAAAAUGAAAAAGGAAAUUACUUUUAUAAAAUUUUUUUUUUUUUUCAAAGAACCUCUAGCUUAGGCGUGGGCACGUCUAACUGCUAUAGAGUCCGCAGAUCCUGAACGAAAAUUUCUUUCCCUCAGGCGUGACCACCUGGCGUGGGCACGUCUAACUGCUAUAGAGUUCGCAGAACCUGAACGAAAAUUUCUUCCCCUCAAGCGUGACCACCUGACGAGGGCACGUCUAACUAUUAGCUUCCUGCCACAAAAGCAACAAAUCACUAAAUGCAACUAACACUUAACAAAAAUUCCAAAAAGCAUAAGAAAACUAAAAUAAAGAGUCUUGGGUUGCCUCCCAAGCAGCGCCUUUCUUUAAUGUCUUUGGCUAGACAUUGCCAUAUUUAUUCACGGAGGAUAAAAUCUUGUGGCUCGUUUCAGUGCUUCAUCCUCUAUAUAAUCCUGAUAGCCCUCGUAAAUAGAGUAAUUCUUGAGCACACGAGCUACGGGCUUCCAUGGACUAGUAAAUGGCGCCAAACAAGUCAACGAUAAUUUGCAUUCUCCACUCUCUCCUCCAUCACACGCCUUUAUCGGUUCAAGAUAUUUGACCAUCGUAACUCUUAACUUAUUCCUGUCAUGAAACUCAAAAUCGUCUGGUAUGAUAAAAUCAAUCUCACUAACAGGAAUUAAAGAAUAUGAGUCAGGAAAAUAUUGAUCAAGAAAUGGAGGAGAUGUCACCGCAUUUGGAGAUUGUUCACUGGAUUCAUUCACUUGAACCAUUUGAUGUUGGGGUCUCAUGUCUUGCACUUCAACUUCCUUUUCAACUGCAUUUUUAGAUCCUUCUUCUUGAGAUUCUCGCAGCACCAUGUCAUUCGUCAGGAUAAUUGCACUCUCAUCUUCCUCAUGGUCGAUAAUAGUUUGUGAGGGCAAUUCUUCACUUUGAGAAACCAAUCGAUUUAUUCUGGAUGUCAAAAGACAUAGUUGAUCUGCCAGAUAAUUCAUUGCAUCCUUCAUCAUCUCAUUCCUCAUUUGUGUCUCCUGUUGGAAUUGGUAUGUAUUAGUAGUUAUUGGUUCAACUAUCUCUUCAAGAGACAUACCUGACAUAGAUGACGAUUCUUGAGACUCAUACUGCUGAAAAUUCAUUGGCCCCGUUGUAUAAUUAUAAUUGGAGUUAUCCCACCCUCCUUGAUCAUACCCGUAUGGAUUAGGGUUAUACCACGUUUGAGACCAGGGUGAAAAAUCUCCAUAAUUAUUGAGUGGGACACUCAGAUUAUCUUGAUAUUCGGGGCACAUACUGGUUGAAUGAUCCCUGGCAUAACAAAUUUUACAGGUUGCAGCAGCCAUUCUUUUUCUAAUAGAGUUUACUGCCUCUGCACGUGCAAACUUAGAAAAAAAACUAGUCUCAUCGCCUUCCCCGGAAACAAAAUUUCACCAAAAUACGGAGUGUUAGAAGCCAUAAACUAUAUAAAAAAAAAUAAGAGAAAAAUAAAUAAUAAAAAAAAUGAACUCAAAAAGAAACAAAUUAAUCUGGCACCAGUCCCCGGCAACGGCGCCAAAAAUUGACAGGUGCCGAACCUGUGCAAUAAUAAUAAAUAAAUCCUAACUACCACCUGAAACAGUCAGUAAUCAAUUCCAGUACUGGAGCAGGGACUCUAGGUGUGCAAUGGGUUACUUGAUUCACCCUGUUCCCGAAGAGUUUGCUUAAUCCGAUAUACCUGAAUUAAUUAUUUAACUGAAUUUCCUAACUAGUAGACAGUGGUAAGCAGGGUCGUCUCCUCAGGGACUGGAGAGAUAUUUGUUUCUUUUCAAAUCAAGAUUAAUGGGGGGUUUUGGUAUCAAAAACCAACUGAACAAAUUAAAUGCAGAAAAUAAUUAAUUAAAAGAAAUAACUAAGAGAAACUCUAGUCAAGGGUAUACUUCAGAAAUGGUUCAUGCACUGAUCAUUGAUGCAAAAAUAAUCCCAACAUUUAUUAAUAGAUUGGUUAUAGUUGUCAUGCACGCGAUAAACAACCAACCCUUCCUUAAUUUAUCGAUAGCUAAGGUACGACCGUUAGCUAUUUCCCUAACCCAAAAACAAUCCUAGGUACGACCGUAGAAUUUAAUUUCUGGUUUGCAUGAAACCUUAGAAAGACCCAAUCCUAACUAACAAACACGCUACGAGGGUUUGUUUAAGUUAGAUCAUAUAUUCCCCUGAUAUAAACCCAAUUACACCAGUCGCUACUGAGAUAGAGAUAACGAACAAUUACGGAUUCAAUUACCCCUAUUUAGCAAAAUAGCCUAUAUGAAUAAUUAAUUAUUACGCACUAACCAAUCAUACACAAGGCUAUGACAAUUAAAAGCAGGAAACAUAUGAAUACCAAUAAAUGGAGGAAACAAUUAAAAUAAAUUCGAUUUCACAGUAAUUGUUGAACCAAGUCUUCAGUUGUCCCCUUGACUAGAAUUGAGAGGUUAGUCCUCCAUUAAUGGAGAACAACCAUGCGAAAAAGCCAAGAAAAGCAAACUAAAACUAUGCUAAAAACCUAAACUAAAACUAUUGAUUGAUAAACCUCUCGUACGUUUCUCCCUUUUUGAAGCCAAAAGGAAGUCUAAUGCUAUCUCUAGUGGUCCCCACACCAAAUUCAAAGUCUUGUACGUUUCUUUUCCUAGAGUCCAAAUGACUCAUGCUUCUUAUCCGUGGUCCCCGCACAUGUGGACAAAACCUCCAAAGUACUUGUUGUUCCAAGUCUCCCUACGUUGCUUUCUUUGAAAAGCCCAAAUGACUAAAUGCUUUGCACUAGCUUGUGGUCCCCACCAAUUCAAGGACCCAAAGGUUGAAGUCCUUAGAAGUCUGCAUUUUUUCAUACAAGUCCCUCCUUUUUGGUAAUUUUCUGCUUCAAUCCCUGAAAUUGGGUCCAAUACCAAAUAUAAGUAAAUAUUAAUAAUUAAAACAAUAUUUGGCAAGGAUAAAAGGGGAAAUUAACAAUAAAAUACCCAACAAUUUACACCCUAUCAAAUUGUCAAAAACCUCAAGGGAGGUUUCUGAAAUUAUCCAUAAAAACAUAACAUGAGCAAUGGAAAGAGGGAGUAGAAGUUUUAAUAAUUCAAUGAUUAUUAUCUAUUUCAAAAAAUAAAAGUUCAAUUAAUUUGAGAUCACGAGCUUGAUUAUUGAGACGCUAAGGAGACUAUAACUGUGCGUCUCUAUUUUGAACCAAGAUGCGAAAUAGCUAACCUUAAAAGAAGAGGUGUGUUUCUGUUUAGUGAUGAUAAAAUAAAUUCAAGUGGGCAAAGUGCACCUUAUCCCUAAUUACAUUGGAGAUUAGUGCUAACUGACCCUUUGCUUUAUUUCAAUUUGAUUGCGAGGAGACAAAAGCAAUUUCUUAUCACUCUUGGAUGGAUAUUAUGAACGUGUUUAGAUGGUAGAUUAUUUGAAAUAAUUUUUUAAAAAAGAGUACGAUGGUAUUCUUUUAAAUAUAUAUAACAUAAAAAAUAAUAUAUUAUUUGUAACGUGUGUGAGAUCUAUUAGUGCCCGCGCAAACAUUCAAUCAGAGAAUCAGAGAAUCAGAGAACAUGAAGGCCCCAGCAACAAAGGCAUUUCAAGUGAAAAUGCCAACAAGCCACAGCCCUCAAAAGUGGUUUGGAGAAAUUUCAAGCUUUUGGGUCCCACAUAUUUUGUCACAAUCUUGUGAUUAUCAUUCAAAAACGCAUGGCCACCUGAAAAACGAAGGGAGUAUUUUAAUUGAGUCAAGUCCAUAUUACUUGCCAUUUGUUAAUUGGUGUGUAUUUAUAUCAUUAGCUGUUAGUAAUUGUUCUUUUGUACAAAAUUUUCCCUCUAGUGAUUAAUCCUUUUUGUUCAUUAUAAAAAUUCAAUAGGACUAUUUUGCACUAUUGAGUUUGUGGGGGGAAAUAAUCAGUGAUGAUUUUGCAGUAAUCUAUUAUGAAAGUAAAAAAACCUUUCAAAAGUUUUUAAUGUUGAAAAGAACUACGUGUUUUAAUUUUAAAAUAACAAAAUGCAAUACAAGGUACCAAAAUUCUAUGGAGAAAUCAUCAUUAUAUUUAAGUAUACAUGCAAAACUGGUGGAAAUUAAAAUAAUACUCCCUCGGCUUCAAAUUAUUUGUCUCAUUUCAGGAUUCAAAUUUUUUAAAGAAUAGUAAGUAAUUUGACGGUGAUUUUAGUGGAUUUGUUUUCAAAAUUAUCCUCGAAAAUUCAAAAUUUUAAACUUGGAUUUAGUGCCAAAUAUUGAUUAAUGUGAAAAUAACAUUGAAAAAAGAAAGAGAUUAAAAGUAAAUUUGAGUUUAAUAAAAUAAUAAAUAUUUUAAGACAUUUUAAAAUAAAAAAGUAAAUCGGGAAGGAGUGAAAAAAAUAAAACGAAUAAGAGAGAAACUACAAGACGAUGAGUUAGACGUUAAGCCAAUUUGCUCUCUUACUGCAUUGUGAUAAGGAGGAAUCAGAGAGCCAAUAAGAAAUGUGACCGAAGAGUCAAGUUGCAGGCUGGCUCACACAUGCAAUUGUCGGCAACUUCCUUUGAUAACAGGACAGCUUUUAUGUGUCUUUAGAGUGGCGCUGUGGUCCAUUGUGUCUUUAGAGUCUAAAGCUGUGUCUUUAGAGUGUGCAGUGGAGCCCGGCAUAUUGCAAAGGCGGACAAUUUUCAAAGUCGACUUGCAAAUUUCAUUCCCUAUGAUAGCUGCUGAAGUUGAACCUUUCAUUCCACUUCAAAUUAUUUGUUUCAUUUCAAGAUUAAAUUUUUUUUAAAAUAUUAAAUAACUUGACGGUGAUGUUAGUGAAUUUGUUUCUAAAAUUAUCUUCAAAAAUUCAAAAUUUUAAACUUAAAUUUAGUGCCAAAUAUUGAUUAAUGUGGAAAUAGCAUUGAAAAAAGGUGAUUAAAAGUAAAUUUGAGUUUAAUAAAAUAAUAAAUAUUUUAAGACAUUUUAAAAUAAAAAAGUAAAUCGGGAAGGAGUAAAAAAAAAAUAAAACGAAUAAAAGAGAAACUACAAGAUGAUGAGUUAGACGAUAAUUAAGCCAGUAAGAAGCAGAUGACGAGUUAGACCUGCUUUAUUCCACCCACUGUUUUAGCUGCAAGUUGCAGGUUGGCCAUAUGCUGCAGAUGCGACAAUUUGUCGGCAAGAAGGUGUGGCUACGAAUUGUCGGCAACUUUCAGGAAGUCAGGGUAAAGCGGUAAAAGAAAAGUUCGUUGGUGACGUCUUUGGAGUGUAGCUUUGCAGAGUGAAGCCGGGGGGCAAAUUGCAAAAAGUGGAAAAUUUUGGAAGUGCAAAAAGUUGUGUGGAAAAAUUUUCAUUCCCGCAAGUUUUAGCCUCCACAGAUUUUGCUGCCCUUAGUUGCCAAAGUUGAACCAUAUCCUUCCUUGUCUCAUCGCAGAAAGCAUCCCCCCGUCACCAUUGCAGAACACUUUCAUCCUAAUUCCAAUCCCAAGCGAGAAAAAAUGGCUGAUGCUGCUGUUAGUGCUACCAUUCAGGUUGCGUUGCAGGCGGUUGUUUCCCUUGCCGCUGAUCAUGUUAAUCUGGCUCGUGAAUUCCCAGAGGAGCUGAAGAAACUCAACGAUUCUGCUGAAAUGAUCGGAGGCUUCUUGGCUGGUGCCGACGAGCAAAUGCAUAGCCCAGUGGUGCAAAUUUGGCUCGAGCAGCUGGAAGAAGAGGUUUUCAAAGCCGACAAUGUGCUGGACGAGCUCAACUAUGAAAAUCUUCGUCGGAAGGUGAAGUAUCAAAAUCAACUCACGAAAAAGAAGGUAUUCUUCUGCUUUUCAUUCUUUAAUAAAAUUGGUUUUCGUUGGAGGUUGGGUUCAAUGAUCAGGGAGAUCAACAUGAACCUUCAAAGGAUCCAUCGGGAUGCAGAAGGUUUGGGACUGGCCUACAAGCACCAAGUUGAAGAAGCAUUCCCUACUAUAGCACCUGGAGCCACAACAAGCCGACAGACCGACUCUACCAUUGAUCGAAGAGAUGUCCUUGGAAGAGAUAAGGAUGAAUCAGAAAUAGUUAAGAAGUUGUUGGCCGAAUCUGAAAGUGAUCGUAUUUCAGUUAUUUCCAUAACUGGCCCGCCAGGAUUAGGCAAAACAACUCUAGCUAAAGCCGUUUUCAACACUCCACAAUUUGACAAUCAUUUUAACAAAAAAAUUUGGGUUUGUGUGGCUGAAGAAGUAGAUAAAAUCGAGAAGGUCUUCAAAAUGAUUCUAGAAUCGUCAACAGGAAAAAAGGCUGAAGUGGAUAAUAGGCAAGUAAUAGUUCAAGGAAUUGAAAAUGAACUUAAGGAAAAAAGAUAUUUGCUUGUUCUCGACGAUUUGUGGAAUGAUCAAGAAGGAUUGUUGGAUGACUUUUUCACCACAUUGAAGGCACUCAAACCGAAGAAAGGGAGCUGGUGUCUGGUUACCACUCGUCUGCAAGAAGUGGCAAUUGUUCUGUCUAGACAUCCGCAGAUCAAUUUUACUCGCCAUGAGCUGGGAAAGCUAUGCGAUAAUGAUUGCUGGUCCAUCAUUAAUAAAUGGGUAAAUGUAGGGGAAGAAGUACCAAAAGACAAAAAGGAGCGAGUUUUAAGAAGAUGUGAUGGUCUACCUCUGGCAGCAAAGUUAAUUGGAGGAUUGUUAUCUAAAAAGAGAAAAGAGGAGUGGCUAUCUAUUUUGGAGGAGAGCCUCUUGAAUCAAGGUCAGGGUGGGAUCGAGCAAAUAGUUAAGGUGAGUUUUGAUCAUCUGUCACCUGCACCGGUUAAGAAAUGCUUCGCAUAUUGCUCAAUUUUUGAUCAAGAUACUGAAUUGGAACAAGAUCGACUAGUUGAGCUUUGGAUGGCUGAAGGCUUUCUUCAACCGGAUUCCCAAAAUCAAACGAUGGAGGGAAUGGGAUAUGAGUAUUUCAGAAUUUUGCUGCAAACUUCCUUAUUGGAAGAAGUAAGAGAUUGGAGGAGAACAAGGUAUAAAAUGCAUGAUCUUGUGCAUGAUUUUGCAAAAUCAAUUUUGAAUCGUAACAGCAGCAAUCAGGACCGUUACCUUGCGGCAUCUGAAAGAAUGGUAGAAAACAUGAACGAAAAAAAAUCAGCAUCACUUCGCACAUUAUUUCUGGAGGGUGGCAUAGCUGAUGAAAUGUUAUCAAAGUUCAAAUACUUGCACGUCCUAAAAUUGUUUGGAGCAGAUGCCAAAAAGCUGCCGAAAUCCGUUGGCAAACUAAUACAUUUACACUUACUUGACAUUUCACGUUCUUGUAUUACAACUUUGCCAGAAUCUCUUUGCAAACUUUACUGUUUGCAAACACUGAGAAUUGGCAAGCUUGAAGAAGGUUUUCCAAAGGAGAUGAGCAAUUUGAUUAGCAUGAGACAUCUUCACUAUUUUCAUGAUGAUACAAGACGCAAAAUCCAAAUGCCAUCCGGGAUUGGACGAUGGACUUGUCUUCAAACAUUAGAGUUCUUUAAUAUAGGUCGUCAAGAGGAAGGUCGUGGUAUCCAAGAGCUUGGAACCUUGGAAGAUCUUAAAGGCUCCUUGGAGAUCAGAAAUCUUGAAUUAGUAAAUGGCAAAGAUGAUGCUGAACUGGCAAACCUAUCUAAAAAGCCAAAUCUGCAUCGGUUGGUAUUUGAGUGGGGCAAUAGGGAUCGGGAAAGUAAUAAAUGCGAUGAAAAUGUGUUGGAAGGCCUCCAACCUCACCCAAAUUUAAAAGAGUUAC
Molecule: long non-coding RNA, 101290 nt
Filed under: Coffea arabica (coffee)
Lineage: Eukaryota; Viridiplantae; Streptophyta; Magnoliopsida; Gentianales; Rubiaceae
Description: long non-coding RNA (CARA_LNC000011)
Source: RNAcentral